Molecule: long non-coding RNA, 90597 nt
Filed under: Linum usitatissimum (flax)
Lineage: Eukaryota; Viridiplantae; Streptophyta; Magnoliopsida; Malpighiales; Linaceae
Description: long non-coding RNA (LUSI_LNC005075)
Source: RNAcentral
CGGCGGGGAAUUAAACUAAAAUAAAAAAACAUGCAUAAUUAUUUUCAAUUUUCAUCCAUUUACUUCUUGGCAGUGGCGUUGUGGAUGGCCUGCUUCCCCUGCUCGACGUAGUGGGUGGUGCCGGCGACGACUGUGUCCUUAACGCCGAUCGCCCCCUCCUUGGUGUUGGCCACGAUCCCCGGGCCGGCCGGUGCAACCACGGCUGGCUUCUUCUCCUCGGCCUUGCCGCCGCCGGGCAUCAUGUCUUGGGCUUUCUUCAAUAGUCCGUCCAUAUCUAGUUAUAAACAAGUAGGAUUCAAAGAGAUGGGAAAUUGGUACGUAAGAGAUUUUAGUGUGUUUUGAUGGGUUUCAUGGGAUAUAUGGUACGUACUAGUUAUAUAGUGGUACAAAUUUUGGGAAGUUUGGAAGAUAUUUUGAUUGGCUUUUGCUGUGUGUGGCUUACAAUUGGCUUGCCGACAUCGAAAUGAACAGGUUCUACGUGAUAGUCUUUACACGUUGCUCUUUGCUGCUUUUUCUUUAACAUGAAUAUAUACUGAUAAAAGGUGGGACCAUUUAUGAGCCGGGCAGCUCGAUCGCAAGCAGUUCGGUUUAAAUAUUCGCUUUUGAAAUUGGUUUAAUUUGACCUGAUAGAUUCAUGAGCUAAUUCGAGUUCGAGAAUCAGGUCUAGUAUAUGGAUCAUUUGUAAAUUUAAUAAUGUAGUGUGUACAUGAUUGCUUCAAAUUACGUACGGUAAAUCACAUGUAAUUUGUAAUUAUGCUAAUGAAAAUACUGGUACAUCGUUUAAGUUUAAUUAACCAUCUUAAGUGGGAAAAGUAUAAACUUGUAAAGUUUUAGGAUAAUUUUUUCUUUUAGGUUUGACUCAUCGAAGUUUCUAGUGUACAAGCUUCCAAUUCUCCGUCCAAAUUGGACUCAUUGGGGGUUUUUUAAGAGUAAAGUUCGAGAUGACCUCGAGUUUCAUUCGCCAAGGUUAGUUAACGAGGCAAAUUUGAAUAAGCUCUAACUCGACAUAAGUUAAAAUAUUUUAACUCAAACACGUUUAAAAAAUAAUUAACUAAUAUUCUUAAACACGAUAAAUUUUGACUCGAAUCGAUUUGUAAACCGUCUUAAAAAUGAUGAUGAGUGAGAUUAUAUAUAUAGAUAAUUUGAAUGGUUUUAUGCAUAUAGAUUGAUAAUUUGGAUUAUUUUUUGUUAGUUGUGGUUUGCUUUGAGUGCCUUUUUUAACUUGUUGUGGAGUAGUCAUAAGAGUAGUAGCUUGCCACACACAGUCUAUACUCUGUACGAUGUGGCUUUAAUUGAUGGGAAGCCAAUCAAGAUCAUGGGUUGGUUUUUGUCAGCUUUUAUAAUAAUCUGACUGAAUUAUUUGAUUUUGAGUCAUAAUAUCUAACCGAAAAAUAUUUAGGAUAGGACCAGAAAAAGCCAACACAAGUAUAGUUGCCGACAUACNNNNNNNNNNNNNNNNNNNUAAUAAUGUCGACCACUGAGAGGUUUUGUGGAUAUGCUUUCGAGAUGCCUCAUAGCCAAUGCCAUAUUUUGCUUCUUCUUGGAAUUAUUUGUAAAAAUAUACUAAACCUACGGAAAUANNNNNNNNNNNNNNNNNNNNNNNNNNNNNNNNNNNNNNNNNNGGAAAUAUUAAAGUCGAUAAUCCGGAUUUGAAGGGUGCUUUGGUCUCAUUGUUUGUUUUAAGUAAAUUUUUAAAAUAUUUGUACAGUUCUCCAUUCUUAAUAUAGCUUACUUUUGUUGAUAAAAAAAAAUAAGGGGAACUAAUUUUUUCAUUUUCACCAAAUUCUAAUUUUAUUCCACAUUCCGCCUCAUAAAAUACCAACAGAUCACUAAUUUAUGAGGAAUGAGUGUUUAAAAAGAUACAUAUGUUGAUUUUAUGUUUAGCGAUGUGUGAUACACGAUUAAGUAUAUAAUUUACCAUCACAUUUUGUCGUACGUUGAUGUUUACGUUUACCCAUUUUGAUUGAUCCAAUGUAUAUGCUAUGAGUUUUUCAUGUUCCCCGCAUCCUCGGCUCGUUCAUUUCACAAAUAUAGGUUAGGUGCAUGAAACAGAUUUNNNNNNNNNNNNNNNNNNNNNNNNNNNNNNNACAGAUUUUAAUAUUAAUCGAUACAAUCCUUUCCAUAUAACUCAUUUUUAAAAAAUUUAGCUUCAAAGAAAAUGAUGUCCAAAAGAUUAUAAGCUCGAAUGCAUGACAUGUACCAUAAUUAGUUAUGUGAUACUAAUCAAUUAUCCGCGGCAGAAGUGUUAUUAAUUAAAAUAAAGAUCGAUUUAGUCUUCGGUUUUAGACAUUUUGGUGGUCGAAUACAAACUCUUGAUGAGUAACACAAAAUCCAAAUCCAAAAUCUAAAAUCCAAAAUUGAAAACCCAGUACUCUAGACGCUAAACUUUAAAAUCCAAAAUAAAAAAUCGAAACCAACCACUAAACCCAAACUCAAACCGAAACAAAUAAUAAAUUAAAUAAUUUUGUUGAAAAGACUUCCGUGUCCUUCUUAUGCAGACGUUAGAUCUGUCAAAGUGCAAAACCCAUAAAAUUUAACGGUCUAGAAUCAUCCUGGAAUGUUUUUCCGCCUGGAUUUUAAACCUGGCUCAAAAAGCUCGAUAGAACGAAUCGGGUAGAGCAACCGUAUAGAAUGUUUAUAUUGUUUGAUGUGCGUUAAUGAGAGUAAUGUUUUAAUCUCCCCGUGGCGAGCCCUGAGUGACUUGGGGGUGUCGAGACUAAUCAGGGUCGUUUGAGCGUCCAACUGUAAUCGAGGGAGAAAUCCUAGCGGGAAGGAAACCUUUCGACAGUUCGGCGCCUCGAGUGGCCAAGCUGUUGCUCCGAGGCUGAUAUAACUGAGAUUUUAUAAGUUAAUUAAAUUAAAAACAUGUUUUAAUUUAAUUAAACAAAUACCAUGAAAUAGUGAAGCAGAAAAAUCAAAACAGAAACAAAACACCACAAAAUGUGAGUACAAACUGGAAAAAGAAACACAUUACGGAGGUCGAUCGGUGAAGACGGUAGGGUAGUGAGCAUUUAAAUUGUUUCUCCUUCACUUUGUUUUAUUCCGAUGAUUUGAGUAAACAUCAAAGCUGUCCGAAACCGAUAGGAGAUACGAAUCUAGAGUCGUUCCCGAAAAACGCAUUGGCCGAUAAUUUGGUGACGAACUCCGUCGGGUGGAAGCCAUCCCAAAACAAAUGCUCGUCUCGAUUCUGACAAAGUGUAGAUGUUUGGUUGCACACCCCGCUUCCUUCUCCGCAACACGGGACUUCCACCUCCUUCAAACCUGCACAUCGGUUGUUCCAAGUAUGGAUAGUUGAUAUUCAUUAUUUGUUUUAGUAUAUAGUUGAGUCAUUAUUAACUAUAUUUUUACCAAAAUCGGCACCGUGGCUGAUGAAAUCCAUAGUGAUGUUGAAGGCGUUACCGAGGGAGAACUUAACGUCGGGAGCUAACUCCGCAAGCUUCUUAGAUGCCAGAGUGAAGCCGUCGAAGAAAGCUUGAGCCAGCAAAUUCGCUCCAUCGAAGCAGCCGCUGGUUUCAUUGAACGAUCGCGCAAAUGGGCAGCACCCAAGUGCCGGAAUCAUCACUAUGGCGAACUUCUUUGCUCCUUUUAUAUACAAUUCCUGCCCAAUGUAACGUAUUUCGGUAUCAUUCAUUCCGAAAUCAUUUUCUAACCACUCAAAUUAUAUUGAGAUUAAUUGGUCAAUAGUAUUAAAUAUUUUAUUUUAUUAUAGAUCCCACUUUACCAAAAAUCUAGCUAACCUGAAGAUGGCCUCCGUAUUCCGUAAUCAAAGAGGUGACCAACUCCUCGCCGGAGACGUUGAAAUUGGGAGCAGCGGGGAAGGAAGAGAUAUUCCGUAGGUAAUCGAAGAUGUCGUUGCUUCCAACGCUGAUGAGAAACACGGACUCCGCGAUCAGCUUGGCGGCUGCUGUCGGCCCUAACAAUGCUGACAGGUUUGCGGCUACCGUCGUAAAUUGUUCUAUCUGGGUUUUCAAAGGAACCACCUGCAAAACAUUUUGAUCCACCGAGAUUUGAGUUAUAGUACCAACAAUUUUUUGUAUCAGAUAUAUCGAACUGGUAAGGCUAAUUCAAUACUUACUCCGAUGGUAGAGCCGGUCGAGUCGAAAAUUCCACAGCCGGCCGAGGCGAAGUUGACGCCCUUCGUUAUGGUUUCGUUGAAUUUUUUACUGCAGGCCCCGCCGGCGACGAGAGAGAGGAACGGCGGCGGACUUCCGGUGAACCCCAUUUUCUUUCCUGUCGCGGGAAAAAAUGAAAUAGAAUAACGGUUAGUUCUACAUAGUCAAUGUGAGCUGUGAUCGAGCCCACGGGCCCAACAUGGUCUAUGGUAGUAAGCCCUCAAGCUCAAGAAGGAAGCUGCUGUUGAUUAGAGCGGGUCACGAAUCGCGCUGGGCCCAAUUUAGGUUCGUUAAUGUUUAGCGAAUUUGAGCAAGACAAUUUUGGUUUGUGUCGAGUUUGAGCUGACUCGUUAAAUAUCAUUGACGGGUCAAACUCGAGGUCAGCUCGAACUUCGUUCAUAAAAAUCUCUAAUGAAAAUCUAAUUUAAGCAAAAUUUAUAUGGAUAAGUCAAGUUAAAAAGGUGCUAUGAUGGUUACCAAUUUGGUCAGCAAGAUUGAAGCCAUUGCUGAACCUUCCAAUGGGCAAAGAAGAAGAAGAAUCAAUGCCAUAAAACGGGAAGCUAGCGGUCGCCGUGCUGGCCGGCAAGUAAUCAUUGGUCCCGACAUCGACUAUCGAGUCCCCAAAUACGUACACCGCCGGGAAAGUACAAGCUGACGGCGAUGAGCAUGAAACACAGAUGUGGUUGUUAUCAAUAUUGAGAACCAAGAAGCAAACAAGUAGUAUUGCCGACAAAACCCUGAAUUUCGUCGCCAUUAAUUUUUCAAUUCCUUUGUGUUUGGUUUGGGGGUUCUCGAUCCUGGGCGGCUCCUAUUUAUAAACGAGACACGUGUCUUUGAAUUCUAUGUCGAAUAUCUAUUUGCGGCUGAUUAAUUUACAAUUUACAUGUUUGUUUUUCUUUUCUCGUCCGGUUAUAAUUUAAUGUUACUUCAGAGGCGAGUUUUACGAUUGGAAGAACAUUUAGGUGUAGACGUCCAAGCCCUAGGUCGUCGGCGGAUCUUGUUAGAUUUUGUACUUUGGUGUUCUGUUUCUUCCUGCGGAAUGGACUAAUGAAGUUUUGUCAUUUUGAUUUCACUUUUUUUAUAUAGAGUUUUAUCGUAAAACCUUCAAUGAUAGAUUGUAAUCAUUAGUAAAAAAUAAAAUAGAAUAGCGCAACAUUUAAAUAAACAGUACGGAAAUAAUCAACAUUCGCAAAGAGAAGGUUAAACGCAGGAUGGAAACCAAAGGGAAGAGAGUGCUCAUAGUGGGCAAGGACAUUCACGACGUGCGCGGUUGCUUUCACGAAAAAGUGUGUGUGAUAUGCACAACUCAAUUUCUCUUCAGGAGUUGCUGCGUCUCCAUAAUGUAAGAGAGAUGUCGAAAAUCAUCAGAAGGGUGAUCUCCCAGAACACUUGAAAUUGUACAUUGAGAAUCCAGUUGCAAGGUCACCUUUCAAAAGCCCCGAUCCCAAGCAAGUACAGUAGGGUUUACAAGGAGAGAGUGAGUGAACUUCGCAAGUAUAGACCUUAGAGAGUGGUUUACAAAUGAUUAUUUUCUGAGUUGCGCGAUAAUUAGUGGUUUGGGAGAGCGGCUUAGCUUGUCACCUAAAAUUUAUUACGAUCUACUGGUCUAGUUGGUUCGCAAGUUUGAGUCAACUCGAAUCGAGCUAUGAAGACGAAUCAAAAUUACCUCAAGUUCAACUCAUUUAAUUUACUAUUAAAUCAAACCUUUUCGAACUUUAUAAUAGUUUUCGAAACCAAAUACGGGACGGCGGACGAAUAGCUUGUAAAUACAAAGAGUUAGCCGGUGAGAAUAAAUGCUGCUAAAUGCUGUAUAUUAACCAACGGGCAAAACAAAAGCAUACGUGGGGAAUCGAUAAGAAUUAAGAUGAAUAAGAGUACAAGAUGAUCAUUUGAUCAUGCACUUCGAUGUAAUAUGUCGGAUGACUUCUGGGGACUAUACAUUACUUUAAAUAAUGACACACACUUCUUACCAAUAAUAAUAAUAAUAAUAAUAAUGACACACACUAACUACACUUUAUAUUAUUAUUGUAUUCUUCCGAACAACAUUGGUGUAUUUUAGGACAUUUUGGAUAGUCAUGUUUGGAAUUUUUGGGUAUAUUUUUCGUGUGGAUUUACAGUAUAUGAUUUUUUUACGAUAAUUCGAUAAAUAUCCACAUCACAUGCAGACGGUAUCAUAAAUACAUAGCUACCCCUUUACAUAAGUCAGUCAGUGAUAAAACGAUCAGCAUUGUCACAUUUAUUUUUAGUUAUAAAAUAUUCUUGUUAAUGUACGAUAAAUGUUGGUGAUAAAACGGUGUUAUAUCCACCACCGACGAUUUUUGCCGUCCUUUUCUCUUCCAAUUUUUAUUAAGAAUCGUUUGGUCCCAAUAAUACUUGAGUUUAAUAUAGAUUUUUAAAAUACAUAGAUACAUAGCACAUGAUUCAUAUUCAUUAUUCAUCAGCUGAUCAAGCAACCAACUGCAAAAACUAACCAUCUAGAUAGUACUUUAGAUGUUUUAUUUUCCAUUGGAAGACCACCCUCGAAUUUCAACAGCUCAACUUGUUAACCAGCUGUUUCAAACUCACACCCUCGCCAACAUCCUUCCUAACCUGUUCCUUAAUCUCCCCAGCAACCUUCCUCAGCUUCACAUCCUCCAUCAACACCUUAAUCCUCUCCCCAAUCUCUUCCCCCUUCACCAAGAAAUCUCCCAUCCAACCCCAUUCCCCACCCAUAAACCCUAGCCCACACCUCUCCACCACCUCCCCAUUGACCAUCUGAUCUCCACCAGGCGGCCACCCCAUCAUAGGAACACCAAACCACGCAGAUUCCACCACAGAGUUCCACCCGCAAUGGCUCAAAAACCCUCCCACCGAUUCGUGCCCAAUCACUUCGGCUUGAUCCACCCACUCCUUCACCACCACCCCUCUCUUCCCAACCUCCUCCGUCAUCUCCUCUCCCAAAACAUCUUCCAACGCCUCUUUGUCGUUUUGGUCCACCACUUUGUCCUUCACCACCCAGACGAAAUGAACCCCUGACCGGAUCAGCCCUUUUCCCAACUCCUUGAUCUGGUCUCUUGGCAGAGUCGUCCUGCUCCCGAAGCUCACGUACACAACGGAUUUCGCUGGCUUCCCUUCUAACCACUUCAACGCCAUUUCUGUUCCUGUUGUUGGAAUAAAAAUCACUAGUUUACCAAUUGUGUUUAUUGUGUCAUGGCCUCAUGGGUACUAAAAUGUUAUGAUAUAAAGUGUAGAAUAUCCUAAAAUUCAUCAAUAAUUAAACGAGGGGCUAAACUGUAAAUGACAAAAUAGCUACCACCAUUGGUUAUAGACAGGGUUAUGGUCCCCAAGAAUCGGAUACCAACUCAUUUUUUCAUAUCCAAUUAAAGAAAUUUUAAGAAAGAGAGAAAACUACAUUCUUCAUCAAAGAUCUUUCUGUACUUCCUGCAUUUGUUCUUCCAUUAUAGCAUGAAAUUAAUGACUCUGCUACUAAGGCAUCGAUUUUAGGUCGAAACUGGACCAAUUUAUAAUACGUGCGUCCAAUUCUGUCGAAUAUGUUAUCUGAACACAAAACAUGACCGGGUUCAAUUUAGAAUAAUUGCAAAUUCCAACUUGAAUAUGAACAUAAUUGUUUAUUUAUCGAUAUUUUCAUGCAAAGGUUUAAGGGGCAAUAAAGACAAAACACCUGAGCCUCUUUCUAACUUGGUCUCGAACCCAUGGGGGAUCAGUCCGAUGUUGAACAGAGGAGGUAAACGGUCAUCUACUUCCCCUGUUCUGAUCGCUUUCAGAGCUUCAGAUUCCAGGCAGUCAAACGAGUUUAUCACCACUCCGUCGAAUUUGGAGAGGCACUCGCCGCUGGAUUUGAACAAGCUGGAGAACAGAGUCUCCGGGUUCAGAAGCACCGGCGGGACCGACGAUCUCGGCACGUCUCCAAUUCCGGGGACUUCGAAUUUCCCGGCGGAUUCGAGUUGGGUUUUGGAUAAACUAGGGUAAUGGGAGAGAAAAGAGAACAUUCUGGCCGAGGACACGUAGAGGAUGUAGUUAGGGAUGUUGAGAGGUUGGGUGACGGAGAUGGUGGAGGAGAGUAAGGAUACGUCGGAGAACAGAGCAGCUGGCGGCGGGGAAAGGGAAGAGAGGAUGGAAGAUAAGUUUGGGAGGGAUCGGCGAAUGGCUUCCCACUGGAGGCAAAAGGGGUCGGUGGAGUUGGCGGUGGACGGGUCUAUCGGGAGGAUGUGGAAUUGCUGCUCGGAGACUUGUGGGUAAGCGGCGAGGAAUUUGGAGAUUAGUGAUGACUCUGCCUGAGAUACGAUUGGGUGGCUGGUGAUUAGGGUGACGUGGCAGUCUUGACUCAGUAAGUUUGCGGCUAGGCGGAGGAAUGGCAUGAGGUGGCCGGCGCCAGAGCUUGGGAGUAGGGCGACGUGGGGAGAGGGCCGGCGAUGGAGGGAAUCGGCGGUGGUUGUUGUUGACAUGGCGGCGGCUUUGAAUUGGAAUGGUAGUCGGAGGGGGGGAAGGUUGAGGUUUUGGUGAUCGAAUGAGCGACGUAGUUGGAUGCUUUUGUAGGAGUUUUGUCGGUAGCGGUGAAAACGAUUUUUUACUGCGGAACACCGUUAAAAAAAAUAUGUUAAUUGUUUCGGAAUUCAUAUAAGGAAGUUACAAAAUUUAUUGUUGCUCACUUAUAGGUUAUAUUUGGUCGCGUACAUCUUUGUUGUUGAUUGGUUGGCGUGAACUCUAAAAAUAUGUUUCAAUUUGACCCCUUAGACGAUAUGAUAUGAGCAAUAUUACCUCGUGGUAAAACAAUAUUACCAUGAACAACAUUCAAUUUGACACCUUUAUCUUGGUUGUUGGUUGCGGUUAGGAGAGUUUAAUAUUUCAUAAAUGCAAAUUUCAACUGUGAUGGAGUUGAAAGUGACUCCCUUUAACUGCAAUUUGCAGCAGAACUUGAUUUCAUUUUCAUAAUUAAUAUAUAUAGUAAUAAUUGUCUAAAUUGGAAUUUUGAUUUUAAAUCUUAUUUAUUUGUAUUAGCAUCAUUCUUCGUCUCCAAUUCAACAAACUUAUAUAUGGUGUAUAUAUAAGUUUGGAUCACUAUUAAUAAGACUACCCCACCAACCCAACCACUCCCAUUAAAUUAUUAUUGUGCCCUGUACACCCUGCAAUGGUCCACUGUGUUUAUGAGCAUUGCAUGGAAUGCGGAUCCAAGAUCAAACCAUACACCGAGCUAAAUAUUGAAAUUUAUAUAUCAAAAUAAUCCAUUUAUAAAUAUAUAUUUUUUAUUAUUUUUAGAGAAGCUAAUCAAGUGGCACACCGUUUGGCUCAUCUGCUGCCCAUUCAUUCGUGUUUUUGUGAUUGGACUGCUUUUUUUUCUUCCAUCGGCCAUUGUCAAUGUGGUAGCCUGCGAAACGAUUCACUCAUUAUUCUUAAUGUAAGUUGUUUUUCAUAAAAAAAAGUUGUCCUUAAAGAUUAAAUAUAUCAUCAAUAACUUUUUUUACUAACCAAACAGUGGGCAAGCUGAAAUUAGGAUUAGCAUAUAUUGAGUAGGUAUUUAGCCGAAACAACAAAAUAUUUAACCGAAUUUAAAAUUACCAUGAACCAUAUUCAAAAUAAUUAUAAAUAUAUAUUGAAAUUAGGAUUAGAGCCGAAAUUUAUCUAGAGCCGUGACUAUAUAGUCACCCCUAUAUCGGUCCCUGUAAUGCAAUCAAUGAAUAAGACAUUCUUCCCGUGAAUGUUGAAACAAGCAAGGACGGUAUAUAUAUUUCCUCUGGAACUUUUUCCAUUCACUUGUGACCAACUCAUCGGUUCCAGAAGAUAAUAUUUCAAGGACCAACUUUCCUGUCACAAAUAAUAGUUGUUGGCGACACUGAAAUCUGUCGUUGAUAAUGUAAUUUCCCGACGACCAAAAGAUUCAUCCCAGAAGGUUAGUAGUUUUAGUUCUAUGGCAAACGGAUGAUCAUAUUUCAGAUGUAUGAGGAUUUUAAUUAAUCGAACAUUCAGAGUUUUUAUCUUGGAUUUUUGACCUUACCUCCAACCCGUUAAGGUAAAACAACAUUUUUUUUUUAUAUUUUUCGAUAAAUCUGUCGUUUGUCCAUUUCGACAAAAAAUCCUCCAAUUUCAAAAUUUCAAUACUCUUUUUUCUUUUUUAAUUUAUGCUUCAUCAUCGUCAAUAUCUCCUUUUUCUUCUUUGAUGUAGUAGAUAAUCAAUCAAUGAUUCUUCAUUAUUAGUUAUCAGAGUUUGUGAUUCAUCAAACUUAAAGAGUAUUUGGUUGGUUUUCCAGUUAAUAAUAACUGAGGGUUAAAAACAUCAAUUCAAUCAAAUAUAAUAAUGGUAUUAAAUCAAAUUUAAUAACUUUUUACUGUAGCGGUUAUUAACAAUUAAACAAUAGAUAUACACUAACUGAAAUCGAUCCGAACUGUUGCCAAACCUACCCUUUGCCACGAAAAUGACCACAUCGAUAGGACACGAAGUCGGAGAAUUCAAAAUUUAAAUUGUGAAUCAGCCGCACAAAUACGGUGCGUUUUAGCUUUUAUUUCUUGUUGUUUAAGCCAGAAAAGAAAAAAGGGUAAGCAAGUCAAUAUUCUCUUUCACCGCUUUCUCAAACUCCCCGGAAAAACCUCUUCUAAACCUCCUUUCUAGAGUUCUCUCAUCAACACCGCCGGCGAUUGAGAUGGAGAUAGAUCCUCCGAUGCAAGCUUCCGAGCUCUCUCAGAUCAAAGACGAAGACCUCUUCAAAGCCGCCGAGACCGGCGAGUGUUCGGUCCUCAGCUCGCUCCCUCCGCCGCAGCUCACCAAAUCCCUCUCCCUCCGGAACGAUGACCGCCGCUCCCUCCUCCACGUCGCCUCUUCCUCCUCCUCCACGUCGCCUCUUCCUCCGGCCACCCCGAGGUACUCCGAUUCGUGAAUCGAUUUCCAAAUUUGUUAUGUUCGUUGCUAAUGCGAAACCAAAUUUGAUAAUUAUCAGGCGGUGAAGAUUCUGUUGGAGGUUGAAGGAUCUGAAAGCGUUGUGAACAGCACGGACGAGGAAGGUUGGGCGCCGCUGCACUCCGCCUCUAGCAUUGGAAGUGUUCCGAUCGUCGAGAUUUUGUUGAGCAAAGGUAAAGAAGAGGAACAUGUAGUGUUAGUUGGAAGUGCCCGUAGUUUGAAUUGAUUUGAUGACUGGGAGGAUUUUGAAUAGGGGCGGAUGUGAAUUUGAAGAACGAUGGAGGACGAACUGCGCUCCACUAUGCUGCGAGCAAGGGAUGGUUGAAGAUUGCUGAAGUGUUGAUUGCACAUGGUGCUAAAUUGAACGUGAAGGACAAGGCUUGUAAACUUUACUUGACUGUGAUUUGAAUGUGAAUAGCUCGUUUUGUGAAGCUACAUUGUCUUAAUACGGUUUCUCUAAUGCUGUAUUCAGGUAGGAUGCACACCAUUGCAUCGAGCAGCGAGUGUCGGGAAGGCGGAGUUGUGCGAAUUCUUAGUUGAGGAAGGAGCAGAGGUUGACGCUGUGGAUAGAGCUGGUCAAACACCUCUUAUGAAUGCUGUGAUAUGCGAUAAUAGAGAGGUGAGCUUUGGCCAAAAUGCUUUAGAUUUUUCUAUGUUUCUCAAAUGGUAGCCCUUUACUGUCAAUUGGAAGUUCUUUCUGAAUGCUUGCUGUAAACAGGUAGCUCUUCUUCUAAUAAGGCAUGGAGCAGAUGUGGAUGCGGAGGACAAAGAAGAAUACACUGUGCUUGGUCGAGCUUCGCGCGACUUUAGGGAUAUUCUCAUUGAUGCUGCAAAAGCCAUGCUUGAAGGGUGAAGCCUUCCCUGGUAACAUAACUUAGGUUUGGCUCUCCAAUCAGUUGAUUGGUUAUACUAUCCGAACACAUGCUUGUAUGGAUCCUGUAGCAGGGAACAUCUUUCAUCCUCGGUUUUAGUAGCUUCUCCAAGUUUUUUUCUAGCUACAUACAGUUUUGUUAACUCCUUUUAUCAGAAAGGUUGAUAGAAUCUUGAUAACCACAUUUGAAGCUCUAGAAUCUGAGGCAGUUUCCGAUGCCAGAAAGUAUGGAGGUAAUACCUAACUUGCCUCGGAUUCUUGAACUCACACACACCCAUGUGAGUUCAAGCCUGAGGGACUCCGCGAGCCAGUGAGAUGGCUCGAGUGGCUCGUUCGUCAGGUCUGUAGUAUAUGCUUGGUUUCGGCAUUAGGACAGCGUUACCGAUAAUAGACUUGAUAGUUCAACCACAAACACAAAAGAAAGAACGAAGAAUCUAUCGUCUCAGACUGGUAUAAGUAUCGGAAUAUGAAUCAAUCAUCACUACUCUCUUUGUUUCUUUACAGCUAAGGUUCUCAUGCUUAUUCAAUCUACGGGUACUAAUUACUAACUUGGUAGGUUAGUUUCCACACCUAACACAUUCAGUGUGCAUUUAUGAGCGUUGUACAUUGUUUUCAGUAAGAUGCCAAUGUCGAAUUAAAUGUCAUCCAUACCGGAUGAUAAUAAUUUACGGUUUAGCCCUCACUCGACUAGAGCUACCAUGAUCAUGUUUAUAUUUUAUACGUCGAACACAUUUAUGCCAUCCGAUUACUGCUUCAAAUCAUCCGAGAUUGCUACUAUGUGUAGUAAGUUUUCUACUAUAGUAAAUGUUGAAUUACCCGGGAAGUGAGAAACUAUAAUAGCGAUACUAAUCGAAACCUAAUGUCUGCAUUUGAUCAAUUCGAUCCAAUAUGAUGUCACCGAUCGAUUUCGACAAGAGUAAAUAUCGAAUUACGUGAGAGAUUACAAAAAAUUAUCGUGGUAUUGAAGUUUAGUGGAAAAUGGAAAUGGGUGAUGGAAGAAUUGUACUAUGAAUUGACGACAUGGUAUGAUCGUAGCCACAAGAUCCACCUAACCGAACUACCCAAGAAAAACAAAACCAUCUACAUAACCUACAAGUCCGAACUACUACGUAACACACUCUUCUAACUCGCACUUCAAACUCCCUCCCUCUGACCACCGUCAAACAAAAACCAAUGACAACCUCCGACGACCACCGCCCCCACGUAGCCCUUCUCCCAAGCUCCGGCGCCGGCCACCUCAUGCCAUUCCUCCGUCUAGCAGCAACCUUACUCGCCAAAAAUGUCCGAGUCACCUUAAUCACCAGCCACCCAAUCGUCACCGAUGCUGAGUCAUCUCUGAUUUCCCAUUUCCUCGCCGCCUUCCCACAAGUCUCGGAGCAGCAAUUCCACAUCCUCCCCAUAGACCCAUCCACCGCCAACUCCACCGACCCAUUCUUCCUCCAGUGGGAAUCCAUCCGCCGCUCCCUCCACCUCCUCUCCUCCAUCCUCUCUUCCCUGUCCCCGCCGCCGGCAGCCAUGGUCUCCGACAUAACCUUAAUCUCCUCCACCAUCUCCGUCUCCCAGGAGCUUCAAAUCCCCAACUACGUUCUCUUCACUUCCUCCGCCAGAAUGCUAUCUUUGGUAACCCGUUACCCUGCCUUCACCAAAACCCAGAUCGAAUCCGCCGACAAGUUCGAAAUCUCGGGAAUCGGAGACUUACCCAGAUCGUCGAUCCCGCCGUUGCUUCUAAAGCCGGAGUCUUUAUUCGCAACCAUGUUCAAAUCUAACAGCGAGAAUCUCCGCAAGUUCGACGGAAUCCUGAUCAACACGUUUGACAGGCUGGAAUCUAAAGCUCUGUCAGCGAUCAGGAAAGGGGAAGUUGCAGAUGGGUUGCCGCAUUUGUUCAAUGUCGGAUUGAUUCCUCACGAUUUCGAGAGGAAAUUAGGAGUCGGAGGAAGGAGGACGGGAGAGGUGAUGAAAUGGUUGGAUGGGAAGGAGGCGAAUUCGGUGGUGUAUGUGAGCUUUGGAAGCAGGACGGCUCUGUCGAGAGAUCAGAUUAAGGAGCUGGGGAAAGGGUUGGUUGAGUCAGGGUUUGGGUUUGUUUGGGUGAUGAAGGAUAAAGUGGUGGACAAGGAAGAUGGGGAGAGAUUGGAGGAUGUUUUGGGAGAGGAGAUGAUGAAGGAGGUUGGGGAAAGAGGGUUAGUGGUGAAGGAAUGGGUGGAUCAAGUUGAAGUGAUUGGGCAUGAUUCGGUUGGUGGGUUUGUGAGCCAUUGUGGGUGGAACUCUGUGGUGGAAGCUGCAUGGGCUGGGGUGCCUGUGCUAGCUUGGCCGCUUCAUGGAGAUCAGAGGAUCAAUGGGGAAGUGGUGGAAGGGUGUGGGUUGGGGUUUGUGGGUGGGGGGAAUUGGGGGUUGGGUUUGGUUAAGGGGGAGGAGAUUGGGGUUAGGAUUAAGGAGUUGAUGGGUGCUGAGAAGAAGGUGAGGGAAUUGGCUAAGGAGAUUAGGGUUGAGGUUAGGGGUGAUGUUGGGGUUGGUGGGAGGUGUGAUUUGGGUUUGGAUUUGUUGGUUGAGAAGUGGAGUACUUGAACAAGUGUUUUCCACUUAGGGGUUGUGGUCCAAUUGACAGGUUGGAUCUUUAAUAAUGUUACAUUUUUAGAUUAUGUUUGUUACUACACAAGGAAGUUUAAUUGAGUUGAUUAAAGAGCAUUUAGGAAUGUUAUGUUGCUUAAUGGUUACACCCACCAAACAAGCUUAAUGGAUCCAUUAUAGUGUACUUUUCUACUAGUGAUACCACGAUUACGAAGUCCUCAUUCCCACCAAAACGAGGUUCAAUCAAUUCAUAAUAACCACAUGAAAAUGGUACCAAUAUGGUUAACCAUGCCCAUUUAAAAUGAAUAAUCAUAUUUUCUUAGUCCCAAAAAUAAAAUACAAAUACUAUUAAGUGUUUAUACAUAAAGUGUUAAAACUCCAUCUUAAUAUAUUCGAAAUCUCUAACUACAAAACACAAUACGAUAUUUUAAUGGAGCAUGAAACACCAUCUCCCCCAUCUUCCCAGUUUAAUAUAUCUUGAGCCAGAUUCACAGUAGUUCCUCCCUAAAUUACCCAGCUCUGAGAGGCACUUAUUCAAUCAAGAACUCCACUUGUCAACCAACAAAUUCAAACCCACAUCACACUUCCCGCCAACUCCAACAGCACCCCUAACAUGAACCCUAAUCUCCUUAGCAACUACACUAUCUGCUUCAGAAGAUCACACAUGUGUUGCUGCAGAUGGCUUACAUAUAAAAGGAACUGCUGUAAGUAUUAUAUUUUACAUUCAGGGACUAUUAAUUACUCUAUUAGUUGAUAUGUUUUCCAAACUUCUUUUGCUCACAAAACAUACUUCCAUAUUUUCUAUGUUUGUUCAUCCAAAUUGCUGUUUUCUUCUUGUCCACAUUUCUGCUGUCAGUAUUAUUUUGUGAUUCAUUCAUCUAUCAUUCUAAACAUUAACACAGGUUGAAAGGUCACCAGAUGAUAUAGUUGAAAGCCUGGAUAUUCCAACAUCAGCAAAUGGGAAAGAUAGACAUGAAUGUUACCAAAACAAAACAUUAAUCGUGCCUAAGAAUUUUCUUUGUGUACCUGAUACCUUGGAUCCCAUGGAAGGUAAUAUUCUAUCUAGUUAUCAUUACGUUUCGAGUGAUUGACCUAACAACAAAACUGUUUCCCAACACAGAACUGGUCUGAUGUUUGUUAUACUACAGAGUACGCACCAAAUGCUCAGGGGCACAGUACAUGCUUUGACAAAGAACAAUCAUCAAUUGACACUUCCAUUUCAGAAAGAGUGGUUUCUGAAUCAAAUCAAGGAGAUGAAAUAACCACAGGGAUGUCACACGUAGGCAUUGACAAGGAAGAGCCAAUUGUAGCUGACACUUUCAUGUCUGAAGAAGCGCUUUCUGAACCAUAUAUGGAGGAUGAACUGGCUGCAGGAAGUUCAAGUGGAAGCUCUGCGAAGUUUGACUCUGAUUCAGCUGGUCAAGACACAGCAAAUUUAAUGACGACACUUCUGCUUCCACAAGCAAUUCCUCUUCUUAAGGAAUCCUCGGACAAGAAAAGGAAAUCCAAUGCCAUGGCGAAAAACUUUAUUCCUAGAACAAAACCUCAGGAGGAAAAUGAAGAAAUUUCUUAUGUUCAAUUGUCUAAAAUCCAGCAAACUGAGGCUGUUGUUGUAGACAGUUUUGAGGACAAACAAUGUGAGGAUUAUGUUCUAGGACAACCUGUGCUUCUCUCUGACAAUGCCAAAGAACAAUCCGGUGAUAGGGAAGAUGAAAGAAUUCCUCACACUUCUGACGGCCCUCUAGAUCUAGAAUUAAGGGAGGCAGAUAGGGAAAUCUCUGUACCGUCAUCCAAAUCCAUUGCUACAGGAGCAAGGACAACUGAAACCAAGAAGCAAGGCCUUUGUCCAGGUGACAGAAAGGUAUAUACGAGAAAAAAGACUGCUGCUAAAGCAGUAAAGCACAGUGAUCCCUUGUCAGAAAGCAUAAUAUGCAGAAACUAUGGAGAAGGUUGUGAUCCACGAUCUAUUCUCGAUUCUGAACCUUUGAAUGUCAGCCCCUCCAUUGGUGAUGCACAUCAAAAGGAUCUGUCCAAGGAUAGAAUCGGUACUGGAGGGCACCCCCAUUCUUUAGAAGUGGAGAAAAUCACCACGAGUUGCAGGCCUGAGUCAGAUGAUCUACCUAUUUGUGUGUCAACUGAAGGCGAAGGAACUUCAGACGUGCCUAUUUUGUGUGUUCCAGUUUCAGAAGAAAUCCAAUUUAAUUGCAAAGAUAGGUUGGUAGAGCACAGUGCCUUGGUGCAUAUCGAUGGUUCCUUAAUAUCACAGCAAAGAAAUGGGGAUGGAUACAUCAGGUGGUAUAGAAGUUCAAGAUAAUGCUGACCUGAAGCUCCAAAGCAAUUUUGAGCUUCACUUUAACUUAGAGGGCAUUGCUGAGAUUGUGGGCUGCUAUAUCCACCCGCUUCCUGUUUUGCAGCUAUGGUUGAGCUCACAAGAAAAUGAAAUCUACAUUUGUGCCCCAUGUGGCAUUCUGGCGGAUAAACACAGGACCUUGUUUCUUUAUAAGUUAGCCACUAAAGCCCUAACUGCCGGAUGCCCAUCCUUUGUUGGUCAUACGACGGUCAAUUGGCCAUCUCCAGUGCAUAUGUUUGGUAAAGUAAGAUCCCGUUUCCAUAUUUGAAUUGGAUCUUGUGUGCGAAUUUAUGUCAGGGUGCUUACCCUCGCGCUCCUCUUUCUAGGUUGCGCCGGAAAGGUCCAGUUUUCAACUAACCCCAGACGGGCAAUUAUUUGUUCUACAUGGCAGCACGAAAGUUCCUUGUUGCAGGUUGAAAUUUCUCUGGUUCACAUUUCAUAUUUCCCGGUAACAUAAACUAUGCUUCUCCACCUAACACUACGCUCAUUCUCAGAGAAGGGAGAACGGAUGGUUUAUGCUCUACAUGUGAAGCAGAUAGCUGUAGUACCAGCUCUGUGAAGAUUGUACGAGUAUAUUUCGGACAUGUAUCAGUCUUGUUGGAAUUGAGGGCAGAUGAAGAAAUCGAAUGCAUCCUUGUCUGUGAACCUAAUAAUCUAGUUGCUGCUGUUGAAAGCGGCAAACUGCAUUUGUGGACCAUGGAUUCUACGUGGAGGUGAGCUUUAUCUAACUGUCAAACGUUCGGUUCCCUUUCUGCGAAUGCUCUCCUGUAUAUCUCAUCGAGUACUGCACUACUGUUCUCAUCGUCUUAUCAAUUUCUCUGUCUGCAGCACUUCAAAGGAGGAGCACACUAUAUCAAACACGGGUUACUAUUCUCCUCGAAUUGUGGAGUUAAAGAGGAUUCCUAAACCUGAAUCUCUAGUUCUAGGCCACGAUGGCUUUGAGGAAUUUACACUAUGGUAUGUCCUUUAAUGCAUCUAGACAUGUUUAUAAUGAUUCUGUUCCUUGACAUGGUUCCUUGACAUUGUAUUUUGUGUAUGUUCUUUCAAUCUAUGUUGUAUCCUUACUCACCCAACUAUCAUGAUCAGUCUACUGUUCUGCAUUUUCUUAUAACCAUAGUAUGCCAGCAUAUGUACUCUUCUGAUAAACUCGGGAAAAUGCAAUGUUUACUAAAUUGUAAAGCAUCAAGUUUACAUUCCUGCACAUGAGUAGUUGGCGCUCCUCUCCGUCUCCCUUCAGAAUGCCAUUUUCAAACUGGUUCCGUUGCCGUUUCAGAAUGAGCUGAUAUGUAGUAUGCAGAUUCUAACUCUUUCCUGUAACUCUUUCAGGGACAUCUCCAGACGAACCUUUGUUUUGAGAUUCUCCUCUCCAGGAACUUCAAUCCAUGCGUUCAACCCUAUCAGCUGGUUCAGCUGGCAACCACAGCUCACUGCCCAGAGGACCGUACCAGCAGAAUGAUGGAAGCCACAAAAUCAUCAUUAACAGAUCGUCCGUUCCCUCACAAUGAAGGUGAAGAUAUCGCCAUCUGGCUUCUCGUCUCAACCAACAACGCAACCGACCGUCCAACAGAUGAUCCAGUGGUAUCCUGGAGGCUGGCUCUAAUGGCCCAAAAUACCAUGAUCCUCGGACCCACGUUGGAUCCAGGGUGAGUUAGAAUUUUCUAAGUUGGAACUUUGGAGACAAUUGUCAGUAAUUCUGAGACUUGGUGAAUCUCUUGCUUUUUUUACAGGGCAGUAGCUGUCGGCGCAAUAGUUGGCCGUGGAGUCAUUGCCACUGACGAUGGAGUUGUGAGCAUGUGGGACUUGUUGACAGGGAACAGACUCGGCAGUCUCCAUCAUUUCAAAGGUAAGCUUUUGGUCGGUUGAUUUCCAUCGAACUGAACUGUGGAGCGUGGACAGUGGAGCUGCACCUUUUGGUUCGAAUCGAAUUGCAAGAUUUGUGAUUUUGAUUUGGUUUGGAAAAAAACCCACGUUGACAGUGACUGGUGGUUUUGUAAUUUUGGUGAUAUAUCCCAGAUGGAAGGGUUUCGUGCAUUGCAACAGACGAUUCAUCAUCAAGCUCGAGUUGUUUUGCCGUUGGUAGCGAAACAGGUCAGUUAGUGGUCUAUCGACACUUGUAAAUUGGCCUCCAAGAGGCUGUAGUUUUCCCAUUAGGAGUAAUUUGUAUGUUUUAACAUCAACAUUUUUUAACUGCCAACACUGUAAAAAGGUGAGUUUUCCUAUCACAUUAUGAAGUAAAAAGCUUCAAGACAUAGAGAAAAAAGCUUUAACAAUUUGUAAUUUUUAAUCUCGUUGAAUCCCUUUGAAACCAUGAUUAUAAUAAAAAAAAUGUUUCGAUCAUGGUUCAAACUCACGACCACAAAGUUAAGAGUUUUGUGCUCGAGGAACUGCACCAAGCCUAGCUAACUCAGGAACGAAAACAUCUGCAUUCUUUCUCAUAAAAAAAACUUUGAAAUUGUUGGUGUACGAAAAUGGAUUAAAUAUAUUGCACUAAUAAACCAUAGUAAAUUGGUAUAAGAAAGUUGACUUAAUUAUUUUCAUUAUGGUUUUGCGGUGAUAAUCACCAAACAAUAGUGAUUUUAAGUGUGGCGGACUACCGCCACUUCCAACCUACCUGGAAAAUAUUUACAGUGUGUUGUUUAUUAAUGCAAUAUAUUUACUCCAUUCUCGUCCGCUGCACCCAAUAGUAAUUUUGUCUCCUGUCAUCGAUUAGCAUGCUGAAUUCAGUGACAUCCUCAAUCCCUCCGUUGGCAGCUCGAACUACCUCUUGGCAAUCGGAUUCAAUCUCCACUGUACCAAAAGAUCAAGAUCCCUGGAGCUAAGCCACUCAAUGGUAUUCAGUAAAGCCAUCGCUUCACUCUCUCUACCAUCUCGAUAGCCCUGGAAGCUCCGUUGUCUUGACACGAUGAGCGAGUCUGCCACGUCCCGGAUGACUGCACCACUGCCCAAUCGAGUCUUUCAAAUCACAUUUUGAUAACCAGUGAUCAGACCCCAUCUAAUACCGUGGGCCCAAAAAACAAGCCUUAGGCCCAGAGAAUUAUAACUGGCUGGGAAAUGAAUUAGCUGCUGCACUUUAGGGUUUUCAGAAGCAAAAGCACCCCCUAUAUAAACUCGCGUAGCUUCAGCUCCAAUAAUUGAGUCAUUCAUUCAUCUUCUUCGCCGUUGCAGUCUGAAAUGGUUCUUCCCACUGUUUUUAUUCGAUCUAGUUUUCCUGUGCUUUUUAUAGGAUCGUCUCUUCGAAUUCGAUCUGUUAGUCCUCUGUUUUCUAGUUAUUUUUCCAAUUGAUCGGCUCUAUAUCACGAGUCAACAGCAGGCGCCUUCCAAUGGCGACCCGACUGCCGCUUAGAGCCAAAAUUAAAAAUUUUAGUUUCCGGAAGAAGACCCUUGAAACCUAUAAUAUCCGUUUGUUUCAAGAUACAAUAGCCCGGUUACAUUUCUGCUCUGCAGAUGAGAUAUAUAAUUUUCUUCAAAUCUGGCUUUUCUUGAAAACAAAAAAGAUUUGUGUAUGGAGGUGGCAUUGAAGUCAGACACGGAUGUUUCGGGGUUGGUAAACAGUGCCCAAUUCAUCUUUUGCAUGGUGCCGAAAUGCAGGUGCUUCUUAUCACGAUUGGAGGGAGUUUUUCCUACUCUGUAACUUCCCUUCAAAUUCCAAGAAGCCAUAUCUCGCCUUACACUACUUCUUUUACCAUUUUUGUUCUUGCCUGAUUCUUUUUUUCCCUUGAAUUUAAUAUAAAUUUAAGCAGUAUUCUAUGUCAAUGAAGUACUAAACCCAGAUUCUUUCACCUGGCUAUGUUUGUUGGAUGGAAUUAUUGAUAGAAUUUGAUGGGAAGUGACCAUAUUGUAGGAGGAUUAAAUAUAAGGUUAAGAACCUUACGUUCUAUGAACUGAGCUUAGACAGACUAGAUUAUUGGAGUUAAAGUAUAUAUUUUUAAUGUUAUUGAUUCCCGUUGAUCCCUUAGGAUGGAAUGUUCAUGCUCAAACUGUCGGAAACCUGUAUGCCCACUGUGUGGCUAGAACCCGCGAUCAUGAGAUAAAGAGGGCUCGAGCCCACCACCACCCCAAAGUUAAAGAGUCUUGUACUCUACUGACUGAGAGACAACAUGGCUUGUUGGCACAACAUACCACCUUUCACGGGGUCGAACACCAGCUCUCUUAGUAUGGCAUUUACUUGUGCCAGGGUGAGAAUUUUGAGUUCGUGACUGCCUGACUGGAGGAAAGCUAAAGAAAACAGACGACAAAAAGAGAACGAAAGUGACGUGAAAUACAACUGCAUGUUUGAGAAGUAGACUUGCAGUCACACUUCUGCCGUGUGAAUCAUACGUUACAGAACAUAGAUACAAUGUUAGAGACAGCCAUGACAACAUAUCUUUCAAAAGAAAUCUAGUGGCACGUGGAAAUGCAGAGCUAAAACGUCACAGCAGGUGAAAACAGCUACAACAUAGACUUGGCAUCACUGAGAUCGAAAUAAAACCUCUUUAAUCCGAUACGAUUCUUGCAAAUGCCGAGACCAAAAUGGGAAAUCAAAAUAACACAGUAUAAUCACUCAACAACCUGUAACAAACAUUAUGCAGCAACUAACAAUAAAUAACAUGAUAAAGAUUAAUACUAUGGAAAAUCUCCGCAAGUAAAAACUCUCUCUGUGACCUUAAAAAAAGAUUAAUACUAAGUAAAGUCUUGCUCUACUUGGUGGCUCAUUUAGCAAUGGCGGAUGCUGGAGUGUCGGAGGAAGGGUUCAGUUCAUCCCAAGCUUCGAUCCAGGUAACCAUAGCAUCUGCAAGUUUUUCGAAGUAAGGAUCCACCUUCCCCAGCUUCUCCUUGACUUCCUUGGAGAGCUCGAUGUAGCAUUUCUGGACAGAGGUUGCUUCCUUGGAGAGCUUCACAGAUUGGAAGAAUGGGAUGAUCUCUUCCUGCCAGUAUAUCCCUUUAUACUCCUUUUUCAGGUUCACAAAUGGGUUGCUGGCCUUGCUAUGCCAUAUGUACGGCAGCCCUGUCUUGAUCCCCCAUCCCAUAUGGUCACAGAUCACCUGCAUCGAAUAGACGAAGAUGAAUUACCUCAUAGCAAAUAGGGCCGGGCCAAUCUGCAAUGUGGUGACUAUUAUCGAUAAGCAGUAAAGAUUGUUUCUUUCACCUUAACCAACCCUAAACCCAGUAGACUAUAUAGUCUAAUAGGGUCAAAUCUACGAUACGAUGACUAAUGUUGAUGAGCAGUAAAGACCGUUUCAUUUACCUUGACACACCAACCGGCCCACAUGUCAUCGUAUCGGCCGAUUGGCUGACCAUCUCCCAUUAGUCCAAAGUACAAUGCAGGUCCGACGAGUUCACGGUCGAACGCUAAGUUCAUGCCACACAUUGGGAACAGGGUUCCCUUGGGGAUCGUCAGGACAGCAUCAACAUACCUGCAUUGUCCAUAAAAUUAAAUCCCAUAACAUUAAAUCAUUAAAAUCUAGAAACCCCCGAAAACAAUUCAUCACCAAGGGCAUGAAAUACUGGCGAAACCUACCUGGUGUUCCUUUCCAGUGGCUUCACAAGCUGAGUAGGAGCAUCAUAAUCAGGGAUGUUAAGCCACAGACCAUGAGAGACUGCAGUGGUAACACCUUCACGGAGACUGAAAGGAUACCCGCGAACAAAGUCAGCACCUUCUCUGUACGGAUCGUAGAGGGUGUUGAAGAAGUGUGGAGUCGAUGGAGACAAAAGGUUUUUGAUGUGCUGCUCCAGUGCAUUGAUCUGCUGUCCCGAGGGAUCCGAGGCCACCUGCAAUCAAACAAAAUCACACAACAAGCCUCUCAAGAACAGAUUAAACCCUAUGAAAUCAAGCUGAGAGGGCCAUGAAUUGAAAGUUGAUACCAGGUCUGCUUCUUAUAUAUCAACAAGGACUUGCCAUUUUGAACUUGUUCAAGCCCAUGAACCACAUUCAAGCUCUCCAAUUCGCUAUCACUAAUCUCUUUCGGGGAAAGCCAAUCACUCUCCAAGAUUAUAAGUAUUAAGGAAUACAAUAUAAACCAAUUUUGAACUUGUUCUAAACAACUCGAGUUAUUAGAGCCUUUGAGUGAAAGUUUGAAUCAUACUAGUGCCAACAUAACCAAUUCAGGUGCACGAUGAUACAUAGACCAAAUCGAGUUAUUAAGAUGCAAUGGUUCUCUAUGCUGAUCAAUCAUCUUAACCAGUCAUCUAAUCACAGAGAGUUCAGAUCGAGAACUAGCUAUCGAAAUUAGACAGUUGACAGUAAUCAUUAACAAGCAAGCAACCAAGUCAAACGCAAGUCAAAACACACAAUCAAUUCAACCAUAAUGUUUUUCAAAUUUUCAAUCAAGAGUGAAUAACUUACGAAGCAAUCGUCAUCAAUGGUGUAGAUGUACUUCUUCUUGGACACCAUGAACCCGAAGCACCUGCAAGCGGAAUCCUUGAAGGAAAUGCAAGAAGCCUUCGGACCCAGAAUCCUGUUGAUGUCGUUCCUGUUGUAGAGUUCAUAGUCAAAUCCUUCGGGGACUUUGAUGACCUUGGACGGAUCCCCAUCUUGGACGAUGAUGAGAUGGUAAGGCUGGAAGAAGGGCCUCCAUUUCUCCAAGAAGUCCAGGUUCCGGAUCGUCGGGAUCACGAUAUCAAGCUCGUCUUGAACUGGAAUACAAAAAUCAAGUAUAUAACCAUAAUCCUAAACCGAGUACAACAAACUUAAUACUAAAAAUUAAGUACAAAUUAAACGAUUGAGUACAUAACCCACAACAACAAUUAAAUAAAGUACAUAAGCUUAACAAAAAAAAUUAAACCGAAUAUAAAACCUUAACAAACUGAAUGCACUAACAAAAUCAAAACAAAAAGAACUUAGAGAAAUGAAGAGGCAAUUAAAAAUAUGAGAGUGACAAUUAAGAAUUGACUCCACGAAAAAAGGAUGAGAGUGAGGAUGAGAAGAAGAGAGUGAGGAUGAAUGGACUUCCAAAAGAAAGAAGAAAUAGAGAAGAAGAAGAAGAAGAAGAGAAAAAGAAGUAAGAAAAUGAAAUAAAAAGCCAUGUGAGCGGUUAGAUUGAAUAAUUAAAUGGACAGUUGAGAUUUUUCCUUGCUGCGGCAAGGAUUUCUAUCUUAUUUGUUGUUGACCCGUAAUCGUCAUGGAUCUCUGCUUUGUUUUUUUCUCCAGUUUGAUGAAUGUUGGAUUGUUGGGCUUAUUAGAUAAAAUAUCAGAUGCUUAUAUGGGCUAUUAGGCUGGGCCUAUAACAUUUAUUCACUCCUCCCUCCUGGGGUUUUAGGCGAUUGUUAACCCAUUAUCAUUUUUUUAAUCCAAGAUAUAUACACAAGAGAGUAUUAAUGAACAAUAACUGUAAAUCUGACGGGCCUAUGUCGAGAUCGAGAUAAUUAAGAAUCUAACGUGUUAUAAGGUUGGUGGUGAUGCUAUUUUGGCGUUAAAUUUCCUCUAAUAAUGAUUAUAUGUACCCUUAAAGUAAAUUGGGUUCAAAUUAUGUAUAUAAAGCCGGUGCCCCGAAAGCUUGCCCGCCCCAACCCGAUUUGAUCGGAUUAUUGACCCGGGUUUACCUGCCACCCUGAUCUAUUGGGUUUGGGCAGGGUUUCGGAAGGUCCAAAUCCGCCUCGGCAACCCGAAGGGGGUAAUUGUUAGGAUUUUUCCGCGAUUUCCUAGUCCCCUACUCCCCCUAAUCAAUCUUCCCCCGCACCGCAACGCCAUCAUGACUACAAUAGUAGGUAGAAUUUUAGGGAAGAAGGAAACCCAGAUUUGAAAUGGUUCAAUUAAAGGACAAGCCUGAGAUGCCUUAGUUAACUAGCAUUGGUGGUAGCUGCUAAAGAGGUACAUUCUGUUCAUGAGUUUUUCUUAAACUUAUCAUUCAUAAUUAAUGUUGUUAUGGCUUCUUGCAGGCAUUAUGAUGAGUUUAGAGAUCGCAAGUAAGCUGGUAUUGGAUGAACUUGAAUCUGAUACAGAUUCUAACCAUAUCAAUAUUCUACCACGAGCUUGUAAUAUUCGCCAGAGUUCACAUUUAAAUUUAAUAUCUAUCCUUAUCCGCUUAUAUAAUUCAACUUACAGUGUGCUAGAGAACAUAAAAGGGAUGUUGUAACUAACUUUAGCCAUGUUGCCUAUAUGCAUGGUUUCAUAAACACACUAAGUUUAUGUUAUAAAUUGAAAAGAAAUGAAUUAUAAAGUAAAAGGACGGAGAUGCAAAACCAGAGAGGUAUUUGUUGUGGUGAAGUGGAGGCCAAGCAAAGAAGCUUUCUUCCCCAAUCCAUCCCCUACUACUCUUUUAAUUCUCAGCUCUAAAGCACCCACUUCCUAACCCAGCCAAUCUCUCUUUCUUUCCAAACCGUAGCUGUCAACACCAUCUUCCCAAUCACUCCGCAAAGUUGUUUACCAGUUCUCUGGUCUAAUUUUAGCUCUAAUUUCCAGCGGGGGUUACGUACUGGCAAGAUCACUACAUUGUCACCCACAAAUUAAAUGGGAUCGAACGAAGGUGUGAUGAAGCGGUCGGAAGUUGACACUCGGGCGCCGUUCCGAUCUGUUAAAGAGGCGGUCACGUUGUUCGGAGAGAAAGUUUUGGCCGGCGAGCUUUACCCCAACAACAUGCUUAAACAGGUGGUGUUUCACUUUGUAGAUUGAUUAACGAGUCUGGACACAGGGAUAUUGCUUCUCGAAUUCAAUUUAAGAUCAAUCUGGAUCCUCGGAUUUCUAUAUGAUUUGAGGGUUAAGAUUAAUCAGGGGUAAUAUAGUUAUGUUGUUUUAAAUAAUUUUGUUGGACUAGAACCCAACCAUCUCCUGUCACCGGAAAGUUUUCAAUUAAUUUCUCGGGGAUGUGGACAGCGUUGGUGAAAUUUUUUGCACCCACGUGAUCACCUUCGUUGACUCUAUGUUUCUUGAAAACUUCUAUUUUUCUGGAAACAUUCUCCGAUGACGGACCGUACAACUUUAUAUGUAGAGUUGUAUGAAUCAUGCAAAUAUAUAUAGGUUUGUACAAACCCGUACAUAAAUGUAUAUACAUUUAUAUGAAUUUUUUACAAAGUGUAAUACUAUGAUAGUUAAUAAACACAUUUCUAAUGACUGAAAUUUCAAUUUUACCCUUAAACACAUUUCUAAUGACUGAAAUGUCAAUUUUACCCUCGUGAUUUCAGCCGUUAAAUCUAAUGCACGAUUUGUAAGACGGCUUAGAUUUAUGCGGGUUUAAUGGAUCCGAUCAAGAAGUCAUUUUAUUGACUUCAGAUUUGGACUGUUGAUAAACUGACGUCCAGUAUAAGGGAAAGUGCAAUAUAGCCACUGAAUUAGUUUUUCUAAUCAAGACCAUGCAGCAGGUUGGUCGUAAUGGAAAGCUAGACACAAUGACAUGUCAGCUGGAAGAAACAAAACAGAGCCUGGAAAAGGCAAAGGAGGAAAGCACACAAAUGGCGAGCUGCCUCUCCCAUCUUAAACAAGAGCUUGAACAAACAAAGCAAGAGCUCCAAAGACUCAAACAGGUGAAGGAAGUCCAGAUGAAGCAAUCGACCAUCUCGAUUGACCCGCAAUCCGACAUCCACCAUGGCCAACAAGACGUGAAACUAGUGACGGUACCAGAUGAAGAUGUGGAGUUUCAGAAGAAGAGGUACGUGACAUUUGCUAAUAAUGAAGGAGUAUUUGAUAAUGAUCGGAGGCUGGAGAGACAUCCUUCUUUGAGAAAGAAGAAGAAGAAGCCGUUGAUUCCUUUGAUUAUUGGAGGACUCUUCUCCUCUUCUAAGAGAAAGGGACACCAUCACCACCACCAUGAAAUUGCUUAAAGUUUGCUGUAGGUGCAUAGUCUGAAUAAUCUUUCUCGUGUGAGACGAUGACUUCUGUUGUACUUUUUUGGCCCCCAAUAUUCCAGUUCAAGAACUUGUACACUUACCAACUUAAACAUGUGUGCAUAGGUAAAACAAAAGAUAACAAUGCAUGAAAAAAGGAAAGAGGCUAGGAGCUAAUUAACACAAUAGUGAAAAUCUCUAAGUAUAAUUAUCUUCCCGAUAGACGGCUGAAGCAAUCAAACACCAGAAUAUUGCGUGAUUUCCAAGUCAUGUAACCAGUUACCGAAGAUCACAUACGAUCGAUACCAGUUACAGACGAUUAUAACAUGUUAUAUGCGAUUAUAAUCAGUUAUAUAUGAUUAUAUAUUACAUAUGAUUAUAACUCAUUACAUAUGAUUAUAACAUGUUACUCAUUUAACAAGUUAUAGACGAUUAUAAUUAGUAACUUGUUAUAUAAAUGAUCAUAACAUGUUACCCACUUGUUGUCAACCCCAGAUUUCCCGUCCCCGGCCCCGAAGGAAAAAUGGGGAUAGAUUUGAUACCGUCCCGUCCCCGUCGGAGACCUGGAUUUCUAGAUUUUACCCGUUUGGUAGAACAAAAAAAAGCAUGAAAACCAAAACAUAAAAACAUGAGUAUGAGCAACAAAGUAUCAUAAUAUCAAGUCUGUUCCAUGAAAAUUGGAAAUCAAACAUCAAGUCUAUUCAAACCCAGAAUUACUCGAAAAUAGUAAAAACGAAGGCCGCACAUCAAUGCUUCAACUGUUUUAUGAUGUAGUCGGCUGCGAUGAGGAUCAAGUAAUCGACUCCCCUAAACUGAAAGCUGAUUCUAAAACCACAUAUGUGAUUGGCACAACAAAGAAAUCCAACUAUUGUCGACAUAAUGAUCAGUAACAACCAUAUAUCCCUUUUUUGGCAAUUAUCCGACUACUUUUUUGACAAAAAUUUAUAACUAAUUAUAUUUUGUUAAUAACUAAUCAUAAUUAUAACCAAUUAUAUUUCAUAAUAACUAGUUAUAAUUACCCUUUAAAUAACUUGGUUAUAAUAAUAACUAGUUAUCAAAAUAUAUAACCAAUUGUAUAAAAUUUAAUUAAUUAUAAAUUAUAACUGGCGUUAAUAAAUGCUUAUAACUCGUUAUAUUUAACAUCUAACCGAUUAUUAAAAAAUACUUAUAUAAAUAAUUAUGAAUAAUUCCUUUUUCAGCUCCUAACCUUUUUAUGGCUUUAUGCGGUUUCGUUUUUUUCAAAUUUAGUCCUUCACUUUUGAAUUUUUGCAAAACAGCCCAUUGUCCUUAAUUGUAAAAAGUUCAAAAGUUACUGACCACGGAAGUAAAGUUCAAAAGUCUCAAACAAUAUGCAGAUUGGUCACUUAAAUUCUGAAAAGUGCUGGAUGGUCACUCUCCCUACCAAAUCUGAACAUCAUCGCCGACGAGUCUCACCGUGGCAUCUUCAUCUCCUCCUCCCCGAUGACGACGACUUGACCUCUGCUCACACCGUCCCAGAUUCAACCAGAUAUGGAGGCGUCGCAAUUUUCAACCGGAUCUUCAUCGGAUCUCAACCUCCUCUGCCGAAGUUCGUCGACUUAAUUGGCACUGGCAUUAGUAUUUCAGGUGCAUCCGUAUCGGUCAACUCUAUUUGACCGGGUAAUUUCAGCUUGUGAUGGGUGGGUUUCGGGUGGGUACCUAAGUACUGGGUUGGGUUUUCCAUCCUUAUUAAAUAGAAAAAUCAUACAUACAAUCAAUUAAUGGCAUCUCAUGCCCAAUAUAAACAAUAUAUAUAAUUUAUUUUCAUGCAUAUAAUUGUCUUCUUUAUAGACAUAUAUAAACUCGAUUCCUCACACCUAUAUAUCAAGUAUUCAUAAAUUUGGUCUCAACGACAGAGAGUUGGUAAACCCAUGCCGUCCUCUCACCAUAUUAAGCUCACUCCGUAUCAAACACACACUCAUGUGUUCAUACUUCAUACAAUAUGUGAGUCUUAAACACUUCUUCAUAUCCGAAAGAUUGUGUGACAUGUAAAAAUUUAGAGGAAAGUUUCGAUCUUCUUUUUUAUUGAGCGUGGCUCGAAAAUAAGAAAAUUCUUAAAAAAUAAGGAUAGAGAAGAUAAUGCAUACUCCAAUACAGAACAAUAAACCCUAAAGAAAAGUUGUGAUUUUAUUUACGAUAGAGCAUUUCUCGAACUUUCCAAUCACAUCAUACACGGUCCAGUAUAGAAUAUACGAAUCACUAAUAAGAACAUCAUAGACAUUACAGACAACUAAACUGCCAUCGACUGAAUGACUAAUUACCUUCUUAAUAGAUACGAUUGAAGCUUUGUUUACGUCAAUUUUUGGGUUUUCAUGAACUCAGGUCCAAGUCUGAGGAACUCAGUGGUCUCGCCGACAAAUGGGAAUCCAAGGGUUCCAGGAGGCAAUCCUUUCUUCUUGUACCUGAUGUCAUUCCAUUUGAAGACAAUGAAAAUGCAGGAGAUGAAUGCCAGGAUCAGAUCAUAGGCUAACCCAAACAAAGCCAUUGUUGAAUCUUGUUUGCUAGUUUGUUCUCCUGUUUCUUUUGAUAUUGUGAUGAAUUUAUAUGCCAUCAGGAUAAUCCUAUUCACUAAGUUGCCUUGUUAUAAAUUUGUAGUAAAUGGAAACCAAAUUAAUCAUAUUUUCUUUUACAUUAAUUGGAAAUCUGAAUUUGUUCCACUUCAUAGUGGUCAUACUUAUUAAAUAGUUAAAUCUUAUCAGGAAGAGUACCAAACUUUUCCGAUUCUGUUUCCUGCAAACUCUAAUCCUUUGAACAGAACAGAAUGUUCAAAGGAUUUGCAGUAAUGUUAGGAUAAAAAGUUGCAGCCUUUUGUGGGAAGCUUUGUCUGAAAUUUACCCUUUGCUAUUAUCCAUGAACCAUUUUAUAUCAAAGAAAAUUACCAACGUCUCGGUUCAAUGACUACGAGUUCAAUCUAUUUUUCACUUGUACCGGAUCGAGACUUCAGUAUUCAUAAAUGUACGGUUAGCAACAGUUCAGGUACACAGUUGAAUCGAUUUUUCCAUUUAGGCGGUUUUAAAUGGUAUCAUGGAUACCGGAAUCCAACUUACACUCAUAUCUGCCGAUUUUCGGUUAUAACCGCAGGCUUAAUUUUGAUUUUGAUCAAGACUUCAUCAUUCUCAGACCAACUAACUAGGCUUUUUCUUUCUAACGCAGUAACACUGCUGUAAUAAUCCUGAACUAACAUGAGAGGAUUUCUCUGUACACAUUGCAUUCCGUAUCAGGUCAAUGGACACAACAAUACUUUUGCAAAGACAUGGAACUCCAUCCAUAGCUUUCCUAUAGUCGGGAGCUUAGUUCAAUCUCUUUGGAUGCUGCAGUUCGAUUGUUACUGCUAUCUUGAGAGCAUAUGUAAGAAAGUGAUUGCAUCCAAGAGACCAGUGAAGGCUUGCGAAUCACGUCAUCAGAUUCAGCGACAUGUUCAUAUAGCUCGUCAAGGAUCGUGUUUUGGCCAUCUUUAGGUAGCUGGAUGAUCAGCUGCGCCAGUUGCUUCAUCAGGUAAGGUAGCACCUGGAAAUGGAAUGGUAGAAUCAUGAAUGUACGGUAUCAGCAAGUUCAAAUUUACUUUAUUUUUGUUUUUUCUGUAGCUAGUGUGACAGUUCUGUGAUGCUUACUUGAAUAUCGACGAGGGAAACGAAUCGAAGAAGCAUAUCGAAAACCUUCUUGCAAGGCUCCAACUCUCCUUGCCAGUUCUUCCAGGAAUCAGCAUUUUCCAUGGAGACGUUCGAACAGAGGUUCUGUGCCUUUUCGACGAUGCUGUGGAUGCAGUAGAAUAUGGCUGGGCUUCCUGCUGGGAGAUUCUGGAUCAAAUGUGCGAACCCAGAUGCCAUACCGUCGAAAGGAGUAGAGCCCGGAUAGUCCUGGUCAUGAUCAAGAGAAAAAUAAUCAGUUACCAAGAUUAAAGCUUUCUGAAAAUUUGGAAAUUUGGUCUCUUUUUACUUACUGAGAGAGAUUUCUGCACAUAGUAAAAAGCAAGUUGCUCCUUCAAUGAUACUGUUUCGCCACCAUCCGACUCCUUACCCAAAGAAACGAAUGCCACGAACAUAGAAUGCGAGGCUCGAGCUAUCUGCCCAUGUGGAUGUUCCAUAUAUCUGACAGCAUCUAUGUAAAGGAACCAAAAUUAAGGCUAUCUGAUUAAGAACAUCAUAAAAACAAAGUGCCUUUUGAAGGAUACAAGAACAUAGUUGGAGCCACCACGUUGCUGAAUAGAUCUGCAGGAAGGCGCUCGAUGCACGUAGGAAUAACGCGCAGGUAAAACAAUAUCCUGGAAGUCUGCACUUCAUCCUUCAACCAAGUAUAUUGCACUUGCUGAUGGAAAUCUGGAGACAUAUCAUUCGGAACUCUUAGUGGAUCAGAGUAUGCAAAAAGUAACUUGAUGAGAAUCGACUCUUUUCAGUACGAAACGUGUUACCUUUAGGGUUUGUCAGAUCAGCAUAACAAGGCAUGGAUUCCACGAAAGAGCUGCAAGCAGCCUCAUUCUCCUGUACACUUACAACGACACCUCGUAUCGUGUCCAUAUACUCAGGUAAGCGAAUACGACGAAAGUACUCCAUGCAAGAGAACGAGACUAAUAUCGAUACUGAUGUCUUCAUCAGAGUUUCGAGGGAGAAGCUUGAGCUCAACUUGUGCUUACUAACAGUCAAGGCAAAAACAACAACCAUAAGGAAGGAAGACUCAGCAAUUUUCUCAAUAUUCGCAAGCAACGGAUCUUCUCUACCACGAAGCAAUAAAGCUGCCCGCCGAUGGCCUGAAUAUAUCUCUUGGCAGAAGCGCCAAACCGCAUUCUCAACGAUGUUCUUGCCCUCUUCAUCUGCUGAGACAUACUGGUUGCAGAAAACAGCACUUACGGCCCCUGCUUCUUUGAAAAGAACACUAUUCAGGUGAUUGUUUACUUCGUCGAACUCCAGUAGUGGUGAACUGACUGAAGCAACAAUUCUCGUGUAAAAACCUCGCAAAGGGAAUAUCUCGGUCAGUAAUGCUGUAGCAAGAGACAGUAGCAGAGGAACUCGGGAAGAUACUGAGCCAGCUCGAGCUAAAGCUAAAGAAACACACUGGAAUAGAAGACUGGUUGAACCAUCAUUGACCUUAGCGUUUAAUUUCUGUGCGAUGGAUUCUAGCAUAUAUUCUGAAGAAGCCCUCAAUCUGGAAACCAAAUCCAACCGUUGACCAAUCGGAACCGAUCUAUUUAAUGCUCUGAGAACACCUCCUGCAGCCAUAAUAAGGGAAAAUGGUGGAUAGUCUGGUUUUCGGGUUUCGAGAACCUCUUUUGUAAAAGUUUCUAGCUUUUCCUGAGAACCUAAUUUCAUGAUACCAGGUAUAACCCAUUCUACCAAAUGCAAAAUCAUGAGACCGUUUGUUAAGCUACUACACGGUCCGUCUUCCUUUCCCCAAAUCCCCAUUAACGAAUCCAAAACCCUAUGAUAGUGUACAUUCACGGAAGAACACAAGGCAUACCCGAUCCCGGCAAGAAACACUUCAACUGAACGAGCCAGUCUAUAGUCUUCCUCCAACAGUCUCGAAACCAAAUCUAGACAUACUGUUUUAGAACGUUCCGAUGCAGAGGUCACAUAUGAAAGGGCACCUAGAAGAAGAAUUGUAUACGAAAAUAACACCGAGUCCUUUGUAGCUCCAUAUUCGCUCGCCACAAACUUGGACAAGACCUCUGCAGCUGAAUCUAUUACCAUAGAAGAUGGUCUAGAGGACUUCAUAACCCAGACAUAUAGCAGCCGGAGCAAAAGAGGAUGUGCUUCGCUAGGAAGAGCGAGUUUCUCCAAAAUGGCAAGUAAAAGCUUUGCUUGAGGAUCAGCAACGUAAAGAGAAUCUUCGGAGUCUCUCAGAAGGGUCAAAGACUGCAGGUGACGGGGUUGGAAUACUUGGCUGUGAAGGCAGUCUCUAAGAUCAGCCCAUGCUUGAAUGAUGUUACCAGUAGACGAAGAGGAAAACUGGCUUGUGGUGGUACUGCUACUGCUACUGCUACUGCCACUAAUGCUGUUGCGGCAUUUCUCCCGCUUGUGGUGGGACUGCUACUUCUACUGCUCCUGCCACUAAUGCUGCUGAGCCAUUUCUCGAGAAAUAGAGUGUUUCUUUGUCUAGACAUCUUGUUACUGUCACAAUUGAAAUUUGAACACACCAGUUUUUGUUCAAACUGAUCUAGAGGUUCACUUUUCCACCAGCACUAAAAGCAUUUGCUCCUCUCCCUUCACAUCUACAAACACCAUUCACAAAUAGUAGGUCUUAUUCAUUGCAGUAAUCACACUCUAACUACAUUACUUAUGAAGCACAUUGACAGUUUUUCUUUUCUAACUAGUUUUGACUACCUGGAAGCACAGAAGGAAAUCCAAAUCGACAAACAAGAGCAACAGAGUUCAGGAAACUACAUCACUUAUCUACCCCAAAGUAUCAUAUCAGCAUACCAGCUACCAAUUUCAGCGAAACUACGGAUUACGAGCAUAACCAGGUAGCGAAACGACUAUGGGAAUUGAAAGAUAAUUACCCGCUCCUUCAUGUUGAGCGAACGCAAUCACCUUCCCCACCUUGGAGCGAGGGAGCCGAUGGAAGAAUCCGAAUUUUGUUAUCGUUCUAUCCGAACUUUAUUGGGUUUCCCAAGUGGGAGAAAGAAGUUCAGAUGAAUGACGAACUCUAUCGAUGGAAACUGAUAAGUGAUAGCCGUCACAAAUUUUGCCCGGCGGUGUAUUUUUUGCCGGGGAGAUAUUAAACGGUCAGAGUGUUGAUGAGCUAAUAGUGUUGUUGAUCAAAGCUUACAGAAGCCAAUUGAUAAGCCCAAACUCAUGAUGGCCCAAUUCUUCUUUAAUUAACAUAUCUUAUAGAAGCCCAUUUACUAACCAUCCGCGGCAAACUUUAGCCCAGUAAGAGAGCGGAAGUCGAUCUUAUGGAAAUGUAGGGGGCGUAAGAAUGGAUAACAUAGACAUCCAACAACGUUUGAAAACUAUAAUCAGGAACCGCAUUAUACAAUUUGUGAUAAAGAUUGCGAGGGUACCAUAUGAGGAGAUAUAUCUAUAAUUAAUUGUACAAGAGUAUAUAAUGGUAUUAGAAGGUGUGUUAUAGUGUGUAUCGAGAAUUACUAGAUCGUGCUCACCUUAGAUGAUGAUAUCCGGAUUUUAUCCAUUCCGGGUAAGUCGUUGUUUUGAAGUUAUUGGGUUCAAAACCGAGCUAAACAUAUGUGGCAAUAAGACUUAUACCGGGCCGAGCAUGCAGAGUAUGCAUGGCUGAAUUCAUAGGUCUUUUCCAGCAUUAUCGGCCAAAUGGUUUUAAUAUCCGGCUGCCACCUCUCAACAAAUGCCUCCAGAAGAGGCUCAUUAACGUGGAUCGACAUGCACUGGCUCAAGUGAAGAAGUCUCGAUCCUUGCAUGAUCGGCCAAAUAGUCUUCGUCUGGAUGUCGAACUCGCUCACUGUGUCUCAUUACUUAGGGCGCUUCAGGAACCUGAAGACCUUUAGAUCUAUGUAUCCCCCGUAAGACUGCCACGAGUAUUGCACAAUGUGACCUCCAAAGUUGGGGAUCACUGUCGGCGUCUUCGGUCUACCAUCUGAACGCCCUGCAGUAAGCUCUCAAGUACGACUGAGUCCAUGUCAGUGCACUCCAAUGGCAGUCUCCUCCUUCCGGACCCGCGCAAGUCGGCUAGGUUUCCCUCCUCUAACGCCAACACUCACGGAGGCAUGUGACGAGCCUGUAAAAGUGAGGUGCGGAGAAGCCAUGUGCGCGGAAGUCUGUGUGUUAUCGUACUCAAUCCCCGACGGUGGAUCCUCAUCCUCGUCAUCAUCUUCCGGAAACGACCUAACCAGGUACGUAAUAGGAGGGUACCAGUCGGGGCAACCGUAGAUUUUCAACUUCUUGUUUUUCUUUGCUGCCUCUCCCUCUUUCCGCCUCGAAAUGGUGAUCACUCUCUCUUUCUUCCGAUCUAAAAUGCCCACUUGUUUUCCUUUCUCUCUCAUUUUCUGGAUCCCAUCAGUUUCUUCCUCUACCGGAUCCUGACUGUGCGAUUUACCUCCACCAUUUGUCUUCGCCAUAGUUUUCACCAAACUGCAUUUAAACAAAUGAACGUUUCUAAUACAAUUCGCUUUCUGCUAAAUUAGGUUCACUUACUAUUCCUAACAAAAUCCUAAACCCUAACUAAAAAUUAUCUAAUUAUCCUAAUUACUCACUAACAAUUAUUUAAGUACACUAAUCACCCACUACUAAUUAUUCUAAAUAUUCACUAACAUUCUCUAAUUACACUAAUCACUCACUAAUAAUUUUCUAAUUAUCAUAAUUACACUAAUUAAAUUAAUUAACUUUUUGAAAAAACCGGCCGGUCGGGGCCUCUGAAGGCACUUUUUUUGAUUUCGUUCCUGAAACGAUCGCUUGGAUCUUCGAUUUCUUUUUCGGAUCAAUGUUUGACAGUGUUUGUGAGAGCUUGUGAGUGUUUGAUUGUGUUUGAGUUAGUCAAUAUACACAACUUCUUAUAUGGAUUUUAAUUUUAUAAAAAAAUAAUAUUGUUAUUUACUCAAAUUAGGGCGUCAUUUAAUUCAAAUGUUAGAGCGUCAAAUAAAGAUUCAGCUUGAAAAUGGCUGCGGCGAACUUCUUGAACUUUGUGAGGCUCCCGCAGGCUGCGAUAGGGUAAGUAAUCCAGAGUUGGAGCCAUCUUAUGGACAAGAUGCUGGUUCUCGCCGCCGAUUUGUAGGAUUUUAAUCUUUUAAAAAUCAGGUGGAUGAUUUCAUCCGGUAGUUGUGAGAACUGGUCGACGGCGGCCGGUGAUAUUGUCUUCCUCCUCAUCUUCCUCCUCCUACUCAUUAAUGCCGUUGCUUUUUUGUCCCCCGAAACAAAUCACUGUGCAAUAAUUAAUUUAUAAACAAACGGUGAAUAACAUAAUAAGAUAAUUUAGCUUAAAUAAUUAUUGGUAAUGGGCUAAUCAUCUGUAAAUAUUUAUAAUUGGUAGUACGCUAAUCAUUUGUAACUAUUUACACCACGAAUUUAUAACUAGUUAUAAUCACCGGUCAGAUUCCUCCUACAAAAACGUGAGAUUGACAAUUCACAAUGGACGUUGAUAAUGCAUUUACAUUACCUAAAAAAAGUAAUCGCACCGAAACUUUCGAUAUAUCAGGUACACUAAAGAAUUUCACCUUAAUUAAGGGCUUUAUGAUUGAUUAAUUUAGAUUUAUGAUCAAAAAUCAAAGUUUGGGGUACGAUUAAAAAAUUGAUUUUAUAUAAUUUAAUGUUUGAAAGUUAGAAUUUAGCGUUUAAUGAUUUAACAUUAAUGUCUAAAAUUAUAUGUGAGGUGUUUAUAAUUUAUUGUUUCGAUUUAAAAUUUUAGAAUGAAUAUUUGUAAUAUUGAACAUACCGUAUAUACAUAUAUACCAAAAUCCACAUAUAUUUAACAUUUAGGAUUGGUAUAUGAAUGGACAAUGUAACUGUUUUGAUUGGAAGAUCAUAUGGUACGUAGCAGCGGAGAAGGAAAUUAUUUUGGGAUGGAAACGUUGGAUAGUGGAAACUAGAAAGUGUAAUAACAUUAUAUUCACCUUUUUUUACUCGAUUCAGUCAAUUCCUUAAUUUUAAAAAUUAUUAACUGAAAAUCAUAAAAUUACUUAGUUUGGGCCUGGCAGACUGGGUAUCGGGAGGAAAUGAUUUGGACUCCGGCCCAGGAAAGAAAACAAAACGUGACUUUUGGUGCAAGGUGUGGUCAUCUCUGGUUCACAAUUAGAGUUAUGGGCUUCUCUCUCUCUCUCUCUCUCUCUCUCUCUCUCUUCAUCAUGACGAAUAUUUCACCUACUCAGCACGGGCUCAAUACGAAAGAAAAUUUUGGAGCUCAGCUCACAGCGAUUUGGUUCACUAAAUUUGAACCUACACUCCGCGAGGGAGAAGAAGGAGACCAUCUUUCCCAUCCUUCUUCUUCUUCUUUUACGUAGCCUCACUGUGAGAAGCCCUCUAAUUCCAGCUAUGCCGGAGCUCACAAAGCUGCACUCGAUGCAGGAAGCUUCCGAGCACAACUCCAAGGACGAUUGCUGGAUCGUCAUCGACGGAAAGGUGCUGGCUCCCCCCUCCUCCUAAACCUAUUGAGCUUCCAUGAUUUCUGCUCUCUUCCACGUUUAUGGCGUUUUUUCACACCGAUAGAUUGGUGUUUAUUAACCUUGAUUGAUUGUGGUUUUGAUUUGCCGAUGAAAUUUUGAUGUACUAGUUUAGCUAGGAUUUGGGGAUUGUAGCUUGGAUAUUGAGUUCUUUCGAUGAUUGAUUACUCUAGAUUAGCGAAUCCCCAUCUUUAGUUUUUCAUUAACUUUUGUGGUUUAGUUGUAAUCAUACACUACAUUGGUUGAUGAGGUUUCAGAUGAGGUUGUGAAAGCUUACACCUCUCUUAGUUUAUUUUGAUAUGCGUAAAAUUAAGUAGUCAUUGGUGUUGCCUCUUGCUGGAUGCUGAGCCUGAGGAAAUUAGUGGCUGCAAGAGCUUCAGUGCAGUGAAACAGUCUGUAAUUGGCUUCUUAAACCAGCUUGCGAGGAAAAGCAUGACUAUAGUGUUAGUCUGAUACUCUGAUUAGAUAUGACAUGGUUUUAGUAUGAAAUAGUGACCAAUACGGGUGGUUUGAUGGUUUGCUCGUCUUGUACAUAGUUUCACUUACCAGAAACCAGACAGCUAGUAAUUUGUUGCAUUAGAAACUAUUUGAUUUUGUGAACCGCCGUCCCUUAAUCAAUGUUCAAUUGGUUCUACAAGCAAUUAGAUGAAGCUGCAUUUGCAUUGGUAUACAGUUCAUUGUUUCAAUUAUCGAAUUGUUAUGCAACUCUUUCCAAUUUGGUGAUUCGUCUGUUUCGCCUGUUGGAUUCUAAUGUUUGUCUUUCUGACAAAUUCCAGGUUUACGAUGUGAGUUCAUACCUAGAUGAUCACCCAGGAGGAGACGAUGUUCUCCUUCAAGCAACAGGUACUAUCUCAAACUUUUCCCUACAUUAUGCACUAGUUCUGAUUUUGAACUUCAUGUUAAACCCAUUGCAUUCUCGGUAAACUUUUAUGAAGGGAAAGAUGCAACCGAUGAUUUUGAAGAUGCGGGGCAUAGCCAGGACGCAAGGAAUGAGCUGAAAACCUUCUUCAUUGGUGAGCUAGACACAACGACCACACCAGCCAUCCCGGAGCUCAAGAUCAUUUCCAAGAAUGAAAAGUCGGAUUCCGUGAAGAAGCUUAAGGACUUGACAAGACAGUACUGGGCUGUACCUGUAGCAGUCGUAGGAAUCUCUGUGGUGGUUGGCGGCAUCAUCGUGUACCUUCGUAAGAAGUAGAGAAAAUGAUGCUGUUGAAUCAAACUUAUUCUCCCCCUACUAUCAUGCUAUAGUUAACGUCCUAGAAACGUCUUACCUCGAAAAUUUUGGAACUACUGCACAAUCAUUGUUUGGCUUCUUGUUCGAUUUUCUGGGCAAGGGCUGUUUCAGAUUCCGUUCAUGACAGAAUCGUAUGAAUGAAUGUUAAGAAGAGCUUUACAGUGAUUCGAGUGGAUUAUAAAUAGUGGCUUCUUAUUCUUAUGUGGUUACAAGUUUACAACUGCUAUAAAGAUCUAGAAUUUCUUAUGCACAAACUCACACGGCAAAAACCAAAGUUCUGUUCAUUUAUUCUUCACUUUCAUCUCCAGCAUCAAAACGUUCAGGCGGCUAACGAAGAGGCGCGUCUGUAGUUCUUUCUCACAGCCUUUGAAUCUUUUGUCGAGCCAUCCACCACUAAACCUUGUGCACCAAAGCACAAGUACUUGUUCAUCAGCUUCGUGUUGAGUGAUGUCUGCCUCUUAUGACCCGCCCUGAACUUGGAUGAUGCUGGCGAUUCGCCGACAAUCUGGUCUUGAUUCGAUGAAGCUGGCGAAGAGAUGUAAGAGAACGAGGAUAAAGGGCUGUAAGUCGAUUGUAUUGGACCAGAGAAACUCGGCUUUGCAUGUAUGACUCCAUGCAUCAACUCUGCGGCAAAUUUCCUUCUUGUUAAAGGACUUGGAAGAGCCGUUCCACUAACCGGACAAAAAGAGGAAAGCUUAGAGUAUCGUUUCCUCAAUGGAGGUGGACACUCUUCGAAGUUUCUGCAGAGAUGGAACGAGUCUAUAGACUCAUCGUCUGUGGCAGUGCUUCGAACGCUACGAUCUUUAGCUUUUUUCCUAGGCCAUUGGAGUAAAGACUUCAACUUGCUUGCCGCGGAAGCUACUUUACUGGGUGAUGCCUUCUUCUCCGAAUUCUCGAAGCUCGCCUGUUCACUGUAAUCCGCGCUCCCCAGCUCUCGGCUAACAUCGGAGACAUACUCAACACCAGUAUGCAAGAAUAUCUCGCCAUCCGAAAUUCGAAAAGAGGUACCAGGGCUCAUCCCUAUGCCAUGACCUCCCCCUUGCAGUUUCGAAACAAUGUACUGCCUACUCGAGAGCCCUCCAGCCGAAACCAGCUGGUUGAUCAAAAUCUCGGAAGCUGCCGAUCUGGGCUUCUGCCGCAAGUAAUCCAACGGAGUCAUACCCUCCGAAUCCUUGAUGUUCAAGUUUAUGGAUGGCGCGGUCAUGAGAAGCUCGACUAAAUUCGACUGGAUGUUCUCGAUCACAGCAAUGUGGAGAGCUGUUCUUCCGUCGUUGUUCUUCAAAUUGAUGAUCUCUUCAAUGUUGAUGAUAUCGGAGGAGAGUAUCUGGUUCAUGAGCUCGAUCUGCUUGUCCAUUCGACGAAAACCGGGAGUUCUGAAGCCCGAAACCGCCAUGUGGAGGAAUGUGUCUCCGUAGACGUUUGUUAACGAGCUCAGAGAUGGACAUUCUUGGAGUAGAGCCUUGACUACUGGUAAGUGACCUCUGUAUGCUGCGAUAUGAAGGGCCGAGUUCGAGUUAUUGUCGAUCGAAGUGACGAUAUGGUAUGAUGCUAUCAGAUCCUUAACCACCUGCAGAAACAAAAGAGAGAAAUUAUCCUGAUGAACUGCACCAGUCUGAAUGUUCGGUUUGCAAAUAUCUCGUCCCGAAACCUGGUUUGACUUAAAAUGAGCUAAGAUUGAGUUAGGGUACGUUUGACUCGAUAAGUUGGGGAGUUGACUCGAUUACAAGUUUGCUAUAUGUGACUUGCAAAUAACUAUAUCAAAUUUCUGUUUAUUUGAUCAAUUACUAUCAUGAUAAGUCGAGGUUAAUAUUCUAGUUGGAGCUCGGAUUCGCCUAAAAUCUUCGUCGAAAAAGAGUGAUUUUUACCUCAACUUGGCCUCUACCAGCAGCAGAAUGCAGCACUGUAGAACCCUGUUCAUCUCUGAACACUAAAACAUCAGAACAAUCCACAAGCAGCUCCUUCAAAAUCUCCAGAUUCCCGCCUCUAGCAGCACCAUGGACAGCUCGAUUCACAAUCUCCUUCUCAAACUCUGAUUGAUCAUUCUCCUUCAAUUCCUUCCCCGGCGGCGAAGUGGCGCUCCGUAGCAGAACCCUGAAAACCUCACAGUCCUUACUCCUCGCGGCGGCGUACAGCAUAUCCGUGACGCCGUACUCUCCUUCUCCGAACACAAGAAACGGAUCCCUCGCCAGCAGCUCAUUCACAAACUUCAGGUCGCCGGCGGACGCAGCCGUGUAGAGCAACCACCCGCCGUACCGGGCCCUGAGCAGGGAGCAGCCUCGCUCGCCGACGAUAUUCUGANNNNNNNNNNNNNNNNNNNNNNNNNNNNNNNNNNNNNNNNNNNNNNNNNNNNNNNNNNNNNNNNNNNNNNNCUCGAGCCGGCGGAUCCGCCGCAGGGAGGAGAGCUUGAUGAGGAGGUUGUUGUCCAGGUGGAGAAGCUCCCGGACUAAGUCGUAGUGUCCGUUCGCGGCGGCGAAGUCGAUCGGCGACGCGUACCACCACUGGUCUCCGGUGCUUUCCCACCGGAGCGGGAAAUUCGACGGCGGCGGCAUAUGGUGGAAAAAAACAGAGCACCGGAAGAACUCGUGACCGAGAAAAAAGUUUAAUUCUUUUUUCAAAGGGUUGCGAUUGAGCUUCUUAACAAUGGAGAGAUGGGAUUUGCAGACGCCAUUAGAGCAAAUUAGUGGGGUAGAUAGCCUACCAGAAGGAAAUUUUUUUGUGGAGGUGGAGAUUGAAAGUUACGUUGAAGGAGAGGAUGUACAGUUGGAUUUGCUUUGUGGGAUUUGGAUGAUUUUUGUAUCCUUUCCUUAUUGUGGAGAGGAAUUUUCCGAAAAGAUUUCUUUUUUCCUUGUUGUUUUCUGAUUGAUUUGUUCUUUUGCAGUAGAGAAAAGGAGUAAGAUUCCUUCUGUAAUUAUUAUCCUGUCGAGUUGAUUGAGCCACGCUAAUGUCUCUUUCUUCCCGCGUUAAUUCGUUAAGAGAGUGCGGAUCCUAAGACAAUUAACCACAGGAAAAAGUUUCGAAUUUUCGUUAGACUCACUAAUUCGAAUUCGAUGGAUAUGAAGUUCAUGAGUUAAUUAAAAUUUAAAAAGAAACAUCGACAAUAUGUGUAAAUUGAUAAUGAUCGGUUUUGUUACUUCAUUUCCAUUAAUGUCCAUCGAUUCGAUCUUCAGCCUACGAUAGCUAAUGGAAGGAAACUUCGAUAGAGUCUCCUUGAUCAAAAUUGUGAGGUUAAGAUUUUUGUUCGCCUAUCAAAUCAUAGUAUCCAAAUCUAACCAUACAUAAUUAUGUUCUUAUUUCAUUAUUUCAGAACAAUAUUAGAUGCUCCCAAUGCAUGGAUUCCGCACAUAAAAUUAAUCACUAGCAACUUCGCACGGUAUCAGAGAAGGCACUUCAGUUGAUCGGUGUGUUUGACCAACGUAGCUUCCUUGUUCGAAGAAACAAAGCCUUACCUUGUAGGAGUUUUCACAUAGUGAUCCAUCUCAAGUUCCAAUGUCGACAUAGAUUGGAGUUAGAAACUCCUUUGAGCAAGAAAACAACAAAAAGUUAAAUUCUUUGUUUUGAUCUCCAUAGAGAACUUCACCUGUAUGUAUGAAACCUGGCAUAUCAAAACUCCCUCAAGACCAACAACACAGCUUGCCGACUGAGAGCUAAUGAAUAAAAACAGCAUAGAAUCAAGCAUAUAAUUUUUACCAACACAAAGGGACGACUGGCCCAUCUCCACUGCACAUUGUCGGCUCUUAAAGCCAAAAAUAGAACCCACCGUCAAAUCAAUGGCUAAAACUUCAUGGAAGUUUUAACCUUUUUCAGAGAUAUAACGCACAUCCAAAUGCUAACGAGGAUAAACUGCCAAGAAAGUCGAGUAUUUGUGAUCACUAUGCUACUUGUCAUAUAAUGAGUACUCUAUUGUCAUAGAAUCUGGAAAGCACAAACUUCGCAUUCCCUCAACAUCUACCUUGUCACAUUCUACUAGAAGCACCAAACAAGUCUCUAGAGAGCCAACAUAUUUUUACGAGGGGUCAUGCUGAUCGGCACGAGUUCGUACUCCGUACAAAAGCACUCAAAACGACACAAGACUAAUAAAUUCACACAACAAGAUAAAAGAAAAAAACAAUACAUGAGAUCCGAAGAUAAAUUAUGAUUAGAUUCGAAUCCACAACCUUUCAAAGUGUUAAAACACCCACUUGAAAAAAGUUUUAACCUUUAGUUAUCUGUAGCAUUGGAUCACGAGGAUCUGCUCCCUUUACUCUUUCUCUCUUCUCCAAAUUGAGGGUUUCGGUGAGAUUCGGGUAUGUAGAUAGAUAGACAUGGCCAUGUGAAUAGAUCCGUGUCCCCGAGGUCAACACACUAGUUGCCAAUACAAUAUUGCAUCAAUCCAAGGAUGCGAGCCAAACCCUAACCCCACUUGCUUUGGCCAGAGAGCAGCUACAGAUCUUUAAAAGUUUGUCUCUUGUGAUCUGCAAAAAGGGUUCCCACUUGGACACACAGAGAAUGAAACUGGUAUCUAUCUUCCAAUCUUAGUAUCCGCUUGAUGAAAUGCAAUCAUGGGAAACAAGUUUCAACAAAUUUAGAGUUUGUGAGCUCACCCAUCUCAUGAGCAAAUGCAGUCAGUCAAACUGUCUUUCCCCAGAUAUUGAGUGAUGAAUCAUGGAAGCUGACAUUCACGUCACUGCUACCAUUUCCCAGGUCCGUGAAAAGUGAAAAGCAUUGACCUUUGCAUAUACCGUAACCACAAACAGCAGAGUUCAAAUCAAGUGAACUUGUUUCGAUAUGCUGGCUUCUCUGUAUUCAUACAUGCUUCAUGAAAGCUUCAAUCUUUUCAGCAGCAGCAAGCAUACCAUUAAGCCUAACUUCCUCCAGAAGAACAUUGCACGUUUGAUACCUAGGCUUUAUAUCCUUACUUAUCAUUUCCUCGAACAAUCGGUAAGCCCACUCGCAUCUAUCCGCUCUACACAGUCCAUGAAUCAAAAGCUUGUACGCCAACAUAUCGAGACUGAGAUGAUGCUUGUUCGCCAUAUCAUCCAACAACUGUCUCAAUAAACCAUCCACCUUCCAACUCUUCAAGCACGACUGAAGCAACGGACAGUACGUAUGAACAUCAGGCUUACACAUCAUCGAACUUUCCAUCUCCUUGAGAAGAUCGAAACCCCUUGAUGGUUGACCUUGAUGACAAAACAUCGCAACCAUUGAGUUAUAAGUCGAUGUAUUCGGCACCACACCCACCCUCGCCAUCUCUACAGCGAAAACACGAACCGCCUCCUCCACUUUCCCAGAUCUUCCGAGCAUAUGAAUCAAUGCGUUGUAGAACAACGUAUCGGGUCUACACCCAGCCGAUUUCAUCCUCUCCACUAUCUCCAAACCUCGAUCAUAAUCCUCCGAUUUCGUCAAAUGACACAGUAUUGUCGUAUAAGUAACAACAUUAGCUGGAGAUCCUUGUUCUUCCAUCUCAUCAAGAGCGCUAUACACCUCGCCGAACUUCCCCUGCUGGCAAUGGAACUGGACGAUGGUGGAGUAACUUAACACACAAGGCUUAACCCCGCAGCCUUUCAUCUCUUGUAACGUCCAGUAAGCCUCCUCGACCCGGUUGAUCUUACACCAACCGUGUAUGAAGAUAUUAUACGUGUUGGCAUUGGACGGAAUGUGUGCCUUCAGCUCCAAGAAAAUCUCGCGAGCUUUCUCAACUCGUCGCUCUUUACAAAGUGUAUCAAGCAAUAAAUUCAUCGACUCGGUACUCUUCCUCAGCCCGAAAGUCUCCAACUUAUCGAACAGCCUAACGGCAUCCUCCCACUGCCCUGCACCGGUGUACCUCCUCAUAGCCUUCCCCAGCGUCUUGAGCGUUACAAGAUUAUCUCGAUUCAUUUCGUGUAAGAAGGCAUUCAUCUGUUCCAUCUGCCUCAUCUUGCCCAAUAUAUCCACAACCGAAUCGUAAGCCUCGGGGGGUGACAGUAGUCCGGAUUCGAUGACUCGGCCCAUUUGAAAACGGCCAAUGCUGACUUCCAAUCAUCUUUGAAUCGAGAUAGCAACUUGGAAACGAGAUCUUGAGACGGUUGAAUGUUCUUACAGACGUUGUCUUGCAUUAGUGAUUGAAGAAUCUCGUUGUGGCUGCUGCCACCAUGGUCGUCAACUUUGGCUAUUAUGAAGCUGACAUCAGCCGGGUUUGCUGACUUAGUUUGCUCUUGUUCAUCGAAUCUAGUGGCUUGUUGGGAAAGAGAUCGGUAAUCAAAGGCAUAUAGGCCACGAGAGUUCAGCAGACUGAGAAAGGAUAUGGAAUGCCUCGGAAGCUUUUGAAGAAACACCAUGAAUCAGUUUGAAAUUUAUGCUGAUUAAUCUGCCAUGGAUAUGGAGAGUCAGAUAUCAGAAUCAAAAAUAUCACUCAAUAAGGUGUUUUCAACAGUGUAGAAGCUCCAAACUAAUACAGGUACGACAAUAGAACAAAAGCCAAGGAUUCACAAGGACUGACGAAUUCAGUAGAGCUUAAUAACGGAUAAGCUCGAUUAAACAGUAAAAAAAGAGCCUUUUUUCAGUAAUUGAUAGUUGGUUUUUGAAUACAGGGAUCAAAAGAGGGUUCUGGGAGAGACGGAGAGAAAAGGGGUUACCAAGUGAACUGAGAGCCGGAGGGAGGACUGUGUGAAGCUGUAUCAGGUAGUUGGUGCGACGAUAUAAUACAAACAGGCGGCGGGAAAGGCGAGCAAGUUGGAUACGGCGGCGAGGAUGCAAGGCGGCGGAGAAAGACGGAGCAGGGAAGUAAACUGUCGGCCAGAGAAGUAAAAAGAUGGGUCGCCGGAAGCUAAGAAAAAACCGGAGGGGAAAUGAGCCGGGCGGAUACGCGUUAAGUUAGAAUGGGCUAAAAGCCCAAUAUCAAGGCCCGAUAUUCACGACCAAGGAAAACCUGGUCGAGAAAGCCAAAGCCAAACAACAGAAAACAGAGCUUUUGAAACAAAGAAAAAGCCGUUGAUAAUUUAAUUAACAUUAGAAACGUCUGGUACUGAAACUCAGAGCCCAUAUCACAAAACCAAACAAACUUCAAAACCUAAAUUCCUCUCCUUAUUCCAUAUUAGCUAAAAGGGUUCCAUCCGAAAAAGACACCUCCGAUACCACAGUAAACAAAAGCAGGGAAAAACAUGAACAAUCGUCAUGACAUUGAGAAUCCACCAAAAGCUUCAGACGCCAUUUCCACGUCCUAGUCUCUCAGCCCCUUCAAAGGCUCUUCGCCAUGUGGGAGAUCAGGUCCACUACACGGGUACUGUAGCCCCAUUCGUUGUCGUACCACGACACAAGCUUGACGAAGUUGUCGUUCAAUGCAAUUCCGGCCUUGGCAUCGAAGAUGCUUGACCUGUUGUCACCGAGGAAAUCAGCAGAGACAACAUCCUCAUCGACGUAUCCAAGAAUGCCCUUGAGUUUACCCUCAGACUCCUCCCUGUAAAAUACAGCACCAUCAUUAUUAGUUGGAUUCAGAGAACAAGACCGGAUGCUGCAGGUGAAUGGAAUGAAGGAUUACUUGAUGGCAGCCUUGAUUUGCUCGUAGGUUGCGGCCUUCUCGAGCUUGACGGUCAAGUCAACAACUGAGACAUCAGCAGUUGGGACACGGAAAGACAUUCCAGUCAACUUGCCGUUGAGUACUGGGAGAACCUUGCCCACAGCCUGAAAUGGAACAACUAUUGAGUACUGACUCGCACAAUUACAAAGUGGAGAUCAAUAUUGCAAGAAGCUCUCUAAUUAGUAUAAUACCUUGGCAGCUCCAGUGCUGCUGGGAAUGAUGUUGAAGGAAGCGGCUCUUCCGCCCCUCCAGUCCUUGUUUGAUGGCCCAUCAACAGUCUUCUGGGUGGCUGAAACAAGAGAAGAUAGAAAACCAAUCAGAUUACAAUUACACAAUAAGCAAUCAAAUAGAGAUAUAUAUAAACUUAAACCUACCAGUGAUAGCAUGGACAGUGGUCAUGAGACCCUCAACGAUUCCGAAUCUGUCAUUGAUAACCUGCAACACACCAAAAGCAAACAAAAUCAGAACCAAUAACUAGACAUUUUCGUUAUUGAUUCAAUAACUAGUGGAUGGCAAGCUUUACCUUGGCCAAAGGAGCAAGGCAGUUAGUGGUGCAGCUAGCGUUGGAGACGAUGUCAAGCUCUGGCUUGUACUCAUGCUCGUUGACACCAACAACAAACAUGGGUGCAUCUUUGCUUGGGGCAGAGAUGACAACCUUUUUAGCACCACCCUGAACAAAAGGAACCAACAAACACUUAAGAUCCAAUCAACAAUUCAACAAAGUCUUAAAUCAGAUCUGAAGCAUCAUUGAAUCCUAACAUCAAGUCAAAGAUAGUAAACGCUGAUCCUGUAUGAUACAUCCAAAAUCCAUCAAUCAACGAAAUCAAACAUAGCACGAACCUUCAAGUGAGCUGCGGCCUUGUCCUUGUCAGUGAAAACACCGGUGGACUCAACUACGAAGUCAGCACCAACUGAGCCCCAUGGGAUCUCCUCAGGGUUCCUGAGACCGAAAACUUUCACGUCCUUGUCGCCGAAGGAAAGGGUGCUCUCAUCCUUCACCUUCACAUCACUGUGCUUCCAGUGACCGUGAACGGUAUCAUACUUGAACAUGUAAACCUACAUCACAAACAAUAUAUAACAACCGAAGUCUCAGCCAACCAGAUCUAUCAACUCAAUUUCCUCCCGAAGUCAAACUAGCAGAGAUUCAAAAAACAAGCUGCAUACCAUGUAAUCGGUAGGGAUGAAAGGAUCGUUAACAGCGACGAGCUCAACAUCGUCUCUCUGAAGAGCAACCCUAGCAACCAAACGACCGAAACGGCCGCAUCCCACAACACACACACCAAUCGUGUCGGAGGUUGAAAGCAACGAAGAGCUUACCCAUUGAGAUUGACGAGAAAGGAGAUUUGAAAAUUCGACGGAGAAAUCGAGAAGCUGUGAAAAUGGAGAUUUGAAAGUGUGAUACAAAGUGAAGAAGAGCUGGGGUAUAUAAAGGGAGGGUUUAAGCCAGUAAUCACGUGAGUGGGAGGGUUUUUAUUUUCCUUUUUUAUUUUUAUAUUUUGCCUUGGGGAAGAAGAAGGAUUAACGAAGCCCGCCGGUUUUAUUAAUUGCUGUUUAUGGUUUGUAUUCGCCGCUGAUUAAUCGCCGUUGAUUAUAGAAAGAGAGGGAUGAGCCCACGCGCUGCAUUCCAGUUUCAGCUACACGCGUCAUAAAUUGUUCCCAAGAAGGGAGUAAUUAAUAUCAUGUAAGUCUCUUUUUUUUUGCAAAAUUAAUGAUGGUUUAAUUAAUAACAUAAUUAAAAUGAUCGGAGUUUAGGUAAAAUUAUAAAAUUAGAGUAUUGAAAAGAAAUUAAUUUGACAAUUUUAUUUAAAAUUUAAUCAAUAUAAAAGUAAAAUUAUUUAAAUAAUUCUGAGUUGACUCAUCCUUAAUUUAGUUACAAAUUUAAUGAAAGAAAAAUAUAACACUAUUUUAAUUAUAAUAGAAUGUAACAUAUGCGUAAAUUUUACUUACAUCUCCUUAUAAAAUAAUAAAAAUACACAAAAUUAUAUUGUAUUUCUUCCAUUGAUUACUAACAAUAUUAAAUAUAAUUCAUUGUAGCCAUUAAAAUUUAAAUACACAUAAAAAUACAUAAAAAGUGUGAAAUAACCGGCAUAAGCAUCUAAAUUGGAAAAAAAUGGUGGCAUGACUUAUACUUUCAAAAAUAAACCAAUAUAGAAUCUUAUAUAUAAUAAUGUACCAAAAAAAGCGACUUUCAAUCCAAGGAAAAAUAUUAUAAUUAUAAUAAAUAAAGCUUGGGGUUCGGAAGGUGGGGGACAAUCGCCUUUUGUUGAAAGUGGACACGUAAGUGCAAGAUGAAAGGGAUAUUCCGAAGGUUGUCGAGGAUUUAUUCCAUGGGCCAUGUCGGACUGUCCGAUUGGGCCCAAAGCAAAGUUGGUUCGUCAAACCCAAACAUAGCACGGAAUGAUCUAGAAAGUGUCUCGGUAACGAAUGUGAAUGUAUCUAUUUGACCUAAAGCCAGGAAUGCAUCUUUCUGUGGCUGCAAAUUCCUUGCCCUUCAAACAUUUAUGCAUCUUUCCAAAAGAGGAACAGUCAAUUUCAUCAUCUACAAACGUACGUACUACUUACACAAGUCCACGUAGAGUUGGCAUGAGUAGAAUAGUUUUGAUGAUAGAAAUGUUUUAGAAAAUCUAUAUAGCACCACUAGCGGUGGAUGCUCACAAAGCAGUUUUCUACAGCUCCGCACCCGGAUCGGUAAUAGAAUCAGGAUGGUCGUAAAUUAUAGGCGGAGGGAUCAAUAUAUUUUGAAAAUGAGUUGAGUUGGUUUCACCCUCAAUUCUCUUAUCGCUCGUGGGUGAUAACUAUAGCGAAGUAUUAUUUGAUGGUGACAAUUGAGUUCUCACUAGAAAGAGAAGUAUUAAUGAUUUGAAUAUACAUUUUGAUAUGAUAACUAAAAAGGAAGAUAAUGAGUAACGUACAUCUAUCAAGUUAUCUCGCACUAUUUACAUAUUGAGUAAUUAUUUCUUUGCAGUUUGCACCACUCUUGUGUCUUGAUCGCCUCUAAGUUUAUACCUAAUUAUUAUAAUCAGAGAUUAUUACCUAAUUAUUACAAACACACUUGAUCACCUCUAAUUUUUUACACUCAUUAUCGAAAAAAUUUAAUCACAGUAAUGAGAAAAAAUAUAAAAAAUUAUUUCUUACCGAUAUACUAAAACUUCAUAAAUAAUAUCUUGAUCACCUCUAAAUUUUUACCUAAUUAUUAUAAUCGGAGAUUAUUACCUAAUUAUUACAGAUACUUGAUCACCUCUAAACUUUUACACUCAAGAAAAUUUCAUCACAAUAAUGAGAAAAAUGUGAACAAUUACUUCUCAUCGAUAUACUUCAAUUUUAUAAACAAUAGAUUUCAAUGCCGAAAAUUCUUUCACAAUGGGCUGCAGGGAUCUAAGGAUAUGUAUUAGUAUAUGGGCCGAGAAGGCAUAUAAACUGAAGCCCAAACUGUAAAAUCAAAAACAAAAUAUGAAAAUUCUGGCUUCGCCCGGGUUCGAACCGGAGACCUUCAGUGUGUUAGACUGACGUGAUAACCAACUACACCACGAAACCAUUGAUAUUAAAGUGUAAUCCUUUUAUUAGUAGUAUACGGAAAACUAGGUUGGCAGCCGGACAAUAUUGACUGUGAUCGUGGACGAACCUUCUCCGCGUAAUCCUGAGAAUCCGUUUCCCAUCCAAAGCCCAAAAACCAGCACAAGAAUAUAUACUUUCACACAGUCAGAUCAGAUCUUUCUUUCUCAAUUACUUUUCCAACUUUGCUUUCCUUCUACGCACAAUCUCCUCGUUUGAAAGUUUCCUUCUUUUAUCUCGCUCUCUCCGCAACUCAAAACUGCACAAACAUGUCUACUGCGUCAAGAUGGAUUCGACCCGAGGUAACGCCGAUCCCCCAUGUCUCAAUUUUCACUCUGGUUGCUCUGGUUUCUCGAUGAUAAUGAUAAAGAAACUCUAUUUUGUACGUCAGGUGUUCCCUCUGUUUGCUUCCGUGGGUGUCGCCGUUGGGAUUUGCGGGAUGCAGCUCGUCAGGAACAUCACUGGCAAUCCUGAAGUCAGGUAUAUUCAGGGUGUUUCAGGGUUUAGGGUUUUUCUGAUGAUUGCAUUUGUGGGUUUAGCCGUUUAGGGUUUUCUGAUGAUUGGAUUUUGUGGUACUGUUUAUGGAAUUUAGGGUGACUAAAGAAAACAGGGCAGCUGGGAUUCUUGAUAACCAUAAAGAAGGUGAGAAGUACAAAGAACAUGGGCUGAGGAGGUUCGUUCGUACUAAGCGCCCUGAGAUCAUGCCAGGGAUCAAUGGCUUCUUCUCCGAUCCUCAGCUUCCAGGCCGUUGAACUGGUCCGUGUUCAGCUUUAUUAGUUUUAAUGAUCACAUUGAGGUUUCUCAAUGAUUGGAUAAGACGGAUCAAUUCUUUGCAGAUGCUGCUGAAGAACUUGUUUCUCUUUUGUUGCGGUAGAAGUUUAUGAUUUAGAAUCGAUAUGGAUGAUUCAGACAGAUCAAUUCUUUGCAGCUUGAUUCUGCUGAAAACCUUGUUUCUCUGUUGCGGUUUUAAGAUACGAUUGGAAUCCGCGUGGGUGAAUAAUAAUAAAGUUUGAUUCUUUGCAGCUUGAUUGAGUUGAUGCUGUGAUAUUUGUUUCUUUCCUUGCAGUUUGAGUUUUGGAUUAGAAUCUACGUAGCUGAAUCAGAAAGAUCAGUUCUUUUGCAACUUCAUUGAUCGAUUGAUGCCGUGAUACAGGUUUCUUAUUUCAAGGUUCCAAGAUAUUAUCAGGAAUCAUUGUGGAUGAAUACGUAAGAUUGCUUAUUUGCAGCAUAAUCGAUUGAUGCUAUACUUUUUCCUUUUGUUUUGGGUUUAAGAUACAAAUUAGAAUCAAUGUGGAUGAAUAAGGAAGAUCAAUUCUUUUGCAGCUUCAGUUAUGGUUGUGUCAAGCUUGUGUUCAUUUGCUGCAAUUGAGAAAAAUUAGAAUUGAAAUUGAUACAGUAAACAUCUGUUUUUUUCUUCUAAAUAGGGAUUCGGUAUGAAUCCAGAUAAAACGGAACUUCUUGAUCCAUCACCUGCGUCGUUUGUGUUGCAUGUCAUCGAGGAAUCUGAUGUUGGAGAUUGUGCAUCCCGUCGAUUCGUUCAUGCUGAACAAUUGAAUAUGACUACAGAUCGACUUGUUUCUUCCCGUUUGAUCCUUCUGUUUCACUUGGACGUGUAUGUCCAAGACACUCUUGCCACAGGCACAUCCCACCAGAUUGUGGACAUCGUAAAUAGAGUCUGAAGCCUAAUCACCAAACUACGAAUAAAGAACAGCUGAAGAAUAAUUCCGAGUAUUUUGCCCGGGUUGUGAUUUUUUUCGAUGGUAUGCUGAGAUAAGGAGCUGUAGGGGCAUAUGUAGAUUCACAAGGUUAAUUUUGAAGGUAUACUGAGAUUUAGCAAUGGUGGCUGCUGCAGAUACACAAUGUUAACACUCUCGUCUCUUGGCAAUCCAAGGCCUUCUCUGCUUGUUUUCUGCUGUGAAUCUUUUAUUCACAUUCCUCUGAACUACUAUUCUUUUGUAACGGUAAACCUGAAAGAGGCUCAAAGGUACAAAUAUUUACAUAAUGAGCCCUAACAUCUGGACAAGCUACAAGCUGUAUAAUAAAUACACUUGGAGAUGAGAUUACAUAUAGCAGAAGAGCACGGAGUUUUAUUAAGAUUAUCAGAAUUCAUGACUGUUUUUAUCAAUUCACUCCUCGAUACAUGGCACCGGGUCGAAGAUCAUCCAUACUGUCGAUGUUUCUGUAGCCGUCAACCUCCCUUAGACAUGUCCAUCCCCUUCGGCUCAGAAACUCCCGGUAGUCGUCCUCAGUAUAGAACAGUUUCUCCUCGGUGUGAACUGGAAUGUGGUCCGUUUCGUCGUACAAGCACACUUUUAUAGCCAAACCUUCGUCGAGGUGAAGACUGUAGUUCCCCAAAGGCAUGUCCCGGUCGAGGCUGCGUAUUACUUGGUCUUCAUCUUCCAGCCAGAACGCCCGUUUCGUUCUCAAUCUGAAAGCCGACCUGAUAGCCUCCUUGAUGGCAUCAGCGGUGCCAUCGAUACCGAUCUUUCUCAAGUAGUCUCCAUAUUUGACUGAUAUCACCCUCCCGCCAUAUGACUGACUUUCGGAGCCUGCAUAACAGAAACAAAUGUCCUAAAGACACCAACCAAAUAACCGCGAAAAAUGAAUUCCGGUUAAUGUAUAUUCCUCACCACUUGCAGGGGUUUCUCUCCAGUUCCAUGGAGGAACUCCACUUGCUCCAACAGCAUCGGUUGCGGUGAUUGCAAGAGGAUGACCGUCAUGAUCCAAGCGUCUUUCAAGAUUCAGUGUUGGCCUGCCACUAGCUGCACACCAAGAACCUUAAACGAGGGGAAAUGCAUAUCUAUUUGAGAUAGAUGAUACACAAACAUACAAAUGUAACAGUAUCAUAAGUUUGCCACCAUAGAACAAGUAAACUGAAGAUAAAUAAUGCAGAUCAUUCUACAUCUUUCAAGAAGAAAAAACGAAAUCUGGUGGGUUUGGACAGAUAGAGGCCAACAAAUUGUUCUGGUUUCACUUAAUUUCAACGCGAUGAUCAACUAGAAGCUAUUGAAGAUAGUCUUAAAAUCUAUUAAUCCAGAUAGAGCACAGCUAAGUACUAACAACAAAUCUAUUAGUCAGUAGCACAGGGAGUUUAAAGAUCACUUGGGCUCAAGCUCCUAACCAUGCUGUCAAAUUAGUUGAUCCCAAGAACUAUACAAAAAGCGAAAAAAAAGCCUAAAAGAUACUCUUCAUAUAUUGAUCAUUAGAUCCAGCUAGGUCGCAGGACAAAUAGAUAUCCACCGGAAAACUAUGAUAGCAUACCUUCAACGGGUCCAAAAGAUAUACUCGUCUCUUCAAAACCUGCAAGGAAAUCAGUUAGUAUUGUUCUUUAUAUGCAGCACUUAGUAACCUAAAGCACCACUCUACUGUUCAUAGUACAUGCACAUAAGGUCAACAAUCUCGCUUGAUUUCACUCACAUCCUAUGCCUCCAUUGCUACUAUUCUCCUACAUUACCCCCUAAUAUCUCCAAAACCAAAACAAUAACACUACAAUGAACUAAACUCAAGCAUGUACCUUUCUCAGCAAACUGCAUAAAGGAAUCGACUUUAGAACUCGGAGUAGGACACUUAUACUGCUGCUGCUGUUGACUAGUAGUCUUCCCCCUCUCUUUCAAAAUCUCGUCAAUCUCCUUAUAGUAAGACAUUUUAGCAGACCCUUUAUCCUGAUGCUUCACCUUCUUAAACUCCUUCAACAAGUUCCUCCACUUGUCAGUACACAUAGUGGGAGACCUAUCAAACCCUUUAUCCCUCAUUCUCAGCGAAAUCUGCUCCCAAAGGUGCUUGUUCGACUUCGAAGUAUUGAAAAGCCCAUCCAUCUCCCUCCUCAUGGCGAUCAAGCACCUCAUCUCGUCCUGGACCCACGUCUCCGCCCUCUUCUUCGGCGCCCUAAUCUCGUGGGUGUCCUCUCCGCUGCUCUCCCCCAGCAUCAUCGGCGGCGGCGGCGGCGGCGGAGGAGGCGGAGGAGGAUUGGUAUUGGGAUUGUCGGUGUGUUGCUGAAGAGGAAGUGGAUGCAAAUCGCAAUUGGGUGAGACGACUUCGAUGAUCAUGUUGUCUUGUGAAUUGGGCGCCAUUUCUUCUUUGUAGAAGUCGAUUGGGCGUGGCUUCUCGGAUAGGUACAUAUCGGAAGGGAAAAUAUUGGACGAUAGAUACAUAUCGGAGGGGAAAGAUCGGAACUUUUGAGGUGGGGAUUGAAUUUUGAUAAGGACUGUCUGGUUUUUUCUGAGAAAUGGGGGAAAAUGAAAAUUGGAAGCUUUAGCUCAAGAUUAGUCAGACAGAGAGAGAGCGGGGGAGGUGCGUGAAGUAAAAGCUUCGUCACUGUCAUCGCUGUUUAGUUUAUAUUAUCUAUACAAACGAAUCGGUUGCAUAGAAGCUGAGCGCCCGAGCCGAGUUAGGCUCGAACUCGGUUGGUUAAUUUUUCGACAAGUUCGGGAUGAAACAUUGAAGCUUGUAUUGAGUUCGAACUGAUUUAAAGUUGGACACUUUGACAGUGCUCGACAGAGUUAGAUAUAGAGGUUGGCUCGCUAAUACCAUUGACGAGAUUGUUAAAGGAUGCUAAUGUGGUAGGUUGCUAUUUUAUAGUGUUUUGAUGGAUUAGAUUUGAGAUUGGUUUGUUAACAUCACAGUUUAACAUGUUCAAAUUCAUACAUUUAGGUAAUCGGUUUAAAUACACCUAGUUAUGUGUAACCAAUUCAAAUUUGACCAAAUAAAAGUGGAAACAUGGUAGAUCACUGUUCAAUGGUGUUUGAGGAAUUAAAUUCGAGCUUGAUCCGCUAACUUUAUCGCAAGACGUUCGUUUGUCGAUCUUGCGUCAAAACAACUGUAAGGGAUGUUGUGAUGGUUAUAGGGAGGAGAGUUGGGAAGGGCGUUGUUCAUAAUCAAAAUUGUAGUCCAAGUUCACUAGAUUGCAUGUUCACUUACGAGUCCUAAAGUUAAAGUAGCAAGUAUUCGUACGAAUUGUCAAACUGCUCUAGUUGAUGAGCGGAUAUAAUAAGUAGUAAGUAUUCAUACGAAUUGUUAUGUCUCGGUGGUGGUUCAAUACGUGAUUUAAAUCAGCUACGAACGAAUACAAUAAGAUAACAAAACCGUUCAUUUUAUAAUAACGAUUCUUAUAUAUCUUUCAAGGGUGUUGACGGUAAUCUUGAAUCCCGACACUUAAUUAAACCUCCGCCGGUCGCUUAAAUCGUCCUGAUGGUGGUUCACUUAACGUUAGUGAUCCGUUUGAAAGCAGUUUAGUUCAAUUUAGCAGGCCGAAUGCCCAUAUGAGAAGUUGUAAUAAUUACGUAUCCAUAUAGGCCCAGAAAGUUGAAUUAUUUGAUUUUUGGAUUGAGAGUGUGUAAUUUGGGAAGGAAUGGAUGGAUUUAAAUGAUUUUGAUAAAAAAAUUUGUUUAAGUUUAAGAAAUAGUGGAGAAUUGAAUUUACUACAUGCAGUUUUAUGGGGAAUUGAAAUUACUACAUCCACCUAAUUAAAAUUUAUUAAUUACGGAAAAUUACUAAAUUAGAAAGUUUAAUAUAAAGAAGUAAAAGCCAAUCAAGUCUUUUUUUUGAAAUAAUAUAAUUAUUCUCAAUUUUGAAAAAUAAAAAAAAAUUGUGAAAUCACUCGCUAUUUCGAAUUUCAAAUUAAAAUAGAGUGUAACUUGAUUACAAGGAAACACUAAAAAAUUUGAGACCGCGUUUAACAAUCAAGAAUAUCAACUCGUACUUUCAUAUACAACACAACUUUGGUUCAAUACCCAGAAGGAAAAUAACAAACGAUUUCAUAAACUCUAUGACCAACUAACCACAUAAUUAUAAUUGAGUGAAUUAGACAUCUCUAUUAGAGAAUCCCACCAAAAACUGAAAGAAUUCGUGACAUUUAAUUUAUUAAUUCUGUCAAACUCUAAUUAUAGGAUAUAGCUUUACCGGUUAAAAGAACGAUUAAUUGAAAGGUCUCGUAUUUGGAUACGCUAAUAUAUGCAGCUAUCAGUAUCAUCCUUCGAUUAAUUACAUCACCAUUCAUCUGUUGAUGGUAAGCACCUGCACAACAACAGUCUUGAUAGUCAAUGCUCGCAUCUUCAGCGACAUGACAUAAUGCCUAAAAACUGAUGAUAAUAUCCAAGUAUGGACGUAUGAAAUUGAAUGAUGUUUAUUCGUAUCAUUAUUAUUACAUUACAAGAAACUGAGUAACUAACAUUAAUUUUAUAUCUAGUUUAAUAGCAGAUAGUCCNNNNNNNNNNNNNNNNNNNNNNNNNNNNACUCUAACAAUGAAUACGAAUUCACCAUUAAAUUAAAUAAUACUAAAUAACAUAACAACGAAAUUUAUUCACCGUUAAACUAACAGCAAAUUUAAUCAACCUUUAACCUUUUCAUCCACUAAUUAAAAAACGUAGAAACCCACCAACUAAAUUUCUACAUUCUUCGUCCAUUAUUCUUCAUUUUUCAUUCUUCAUUCUUCUUUCUUCUUUUUUGUCUUCUAGUUAUCUUCUUCUUUUCUUCUUCAUUCUAAUUAUCAUCUUUUUAUUUUAUUUUAAAUAAAAUUUCUUAUUCNNNNNNNNNNNNNNNNNNNNNNNNNNNNNNNNNNNNNNNNNNNNNNNNNNNNNNNNNNNNNNNNNNNNNNNNNNNNNNNNNNNNNNNNNNNNNNNNNNNNNNNNNNNNNNNNNNNNNNNNNNNNNNUUUUCUUCAUUGAUUGUUUUUCAAUUUCUUCUUCUUUAUUAAUUGUUCUCCUUCUUCAAUUUUUUUCUUUCUAUAUUGAGUAUAAGAAUAAAAAUAGAGAAAGAAGAUUGAAAAUAAAAAUGGAUGAGAUAGAGGGAAUAGAAAUAAAGGGAGGAAAUUUUUAAAAUAUUGAAAAAAAUAAAUAGGAGAAAACAUCAAAAUUUUAAAUAUUUUAAUUUUUACGAACAACUUAACAACGAGUAUAUCAAAAAUCAUUUUUUAACUAACAGGGGUUUACAUAUGCGGUUAAAGUAUACACUUUAACAACAGAUAGUUACAAAACUAUUUUUAUCUAACAGCGUAUUCCUAAUUGACGUUAGCUGUGCAUCAUUAGACUUUCAGUUUCUUGUAGUGUUAAGCCUCCUCGCUUCCACUAAUGCAACUUGCUUCAGGAGUAACGAGGAAUGUAAUAUACGGCGCAUUGAACGGUCACUGAAAGUGGCCAUGUAUGGGUUGUACAAAAAGUACCCACCAAUUAGCUGGUGGGUUAAUUUUUCCGUCAAACUUAACCUAACUCUCUCAAUGUUCAUCUAUAAUUUAAAUUACAUCUUGCAUUAUUUGAGACCACUAAGUCGUAUAUUCGAGUUAGUACUGAAAUUAGCUCUUGAGCUUAAGCUGAACUAAUUUACAAACAUAUUAAGUCGAACAAGUCUUAUCUCAAAGCCUGACUCAUUUAAAAUCUAACCAAAUAAAAAAUGAUCCAUUUUCCAAUUGAAUGCCGAAUUACUCGUUACGGUUUGGCUGGUCAACCACAAUAAUUCCCAACCAAACCAUCAUUGUUAUUUGAUUGGUUAUUAUUCCUAAGAGCAGGCCCAAUCAAUUUUUCUGAUGAUGAAUCAAGCCCAACCGAACUUUCUUAUGAUAAACAAGGCCCAAUCUUCUCUAGAUACUUUGUUCUACAGAAAAUGUUCGCGUCUCGGUUUCUGCUCUGCCUCCAAUCGAACUCGUCUGGAACUGGUAUCUAAUGUUGACGGCUGCUCUCCGAUCAAAUUUGUCAUCCCUCCUCCGCCAGUCAUGGCGGCUAGGGUUUCCAUGCUCCAAUCACGGUCUCUGUUCUUCAACCGCUCAAUCAGAAAUAAACAAAAGCGACGGAAGCUUGCUGGAGCUUGGCGAGGUGGAGAAGAUUCUCACCGACGUUAGAGCCGAUGACGUUAAAGUGAUACCUGCCGGAAAUCGCUACGAUUGGGUCGAUUACAUGGUGAUUGCCACCGGAAGGUCCACCUGGCAUGUCAAGAACAUCGCCGAAGCUCUUAUUUACAAGGCAGGUUUGGCUCAGCAAGCUCGUUCGUUUGUUUGUUAUAAGACUGACUGGUGAAGUUCCUGCUUGAAUCCCUAAUGGAAUGUAGUUCGUCAGCUUUGAUGAACAUUUGAUUUCAAAAUUCGAACUUUUAUAGCUUGGUGAUUGGUUGAUUUGAGUUGGAUUGAACAGGUUAAGCAGAAGCAGAAGGGGGCGAAGAGAAUGAUGCUUCCAAGCGUUGAAGGGCAAGAAGGAGGGAAUUGGAUCGUUAUUGACUCUGGUAAUAUUAUUGCAUUUAGUUUCGUUAUGAAUGUCUGAAAUUCGAGCUUUAAUGAUGCAGUCCAUCCAACGAACAAUGGAUUAGGACUUGGAGAUUUUUUACUUGACAUUUAGUCUCACAUUUUUUAUUAUAGCUGGAAUUCGAACUAGGAGUAUAUGGUACAAUUAAACUACAAUUGGUUAGGGCUUAGGAGUUUCAUACUUAAUUCUGAAACUUUCGUUUGUUCAUUACCUUCUACAGGAAGGGUGAUAGUUCAUGCUCUUGAUGAGAAUGCUAGAACUUACUACAAGUUGGAGAAUCUUUGGAAUUCAGAUAAAUCUCAGAAGGAUCCAGCUCAGGUACCAAUCACUUUUAUAAACUGAACAACGUUGAUUAUGCCUAAAGAGUAGCUCUGGUCAUAAGAUGACUGGAAUUUCUUGGUUGUUUUGAGUGCCUCCUAGUCCUUGUGGAUUCUUCAAAUUUCUUGAGUUGAUUUAGCUGACCCUUUAGGCAUUCUUCUGUUCUGAUCUUCUUAGACUUUGUUUGCUUACUCCCCGACUGGCUGAUGCAUCAUCACUAUUCCUAUAAUAUGUUUAGUGAAGCAGGAUAUUUAUGAACAACCAUGUCUCCUACUUGAACUAGUGGUUUAGUAAUCAGAAAGAACUGCAAAGGGUUUACGCUUUAGCAUUAUAUCUCCUAAAACAAUAGGCAACUGAGGAACUGAUGGGUUCUUUUUUGUGAUGUUUCCAGGAUCUAACAAAGGCUUUUGUGAAGAUACGACCCAAGAACAAUUCUAAGAAGCGAGUGCCGAGCAAAUGAGCGAUGCUCGAGUCUUGAUUUCUUCGAAACAAGCAGCUUUUUGGGUCUCUGGAUUUUCUCAGUGUAUAAACCAGAAAUCCGUCUCUCCUCUGGUCUCCUUACUAUCAUAGUUAUUGUGGAGUUAUGUAGCCUUUAGACUGCAAAUAACAGUAAAGCUUUUAUUGUCUAAUCCGCUUGUAUCGCGGAUUUUGCUGGUGAUUGCAAAUUCCAUCAUCUUACUUUCGAUGUUGUAUGAAACAAGGAAUCCGUAUUCGAAAAGGAUUUUUACAAGUAAUCUUUCUAUUCGACCAUGCAUUGACACAUAGUUGGAGGUUUCGAGAAACCAACUUUUUUCGAUGACCAUUCUCGUGUACUUGUGGUACACCUUUUCCUAUACGCUUGCAAUGUUCUAAAAAAUCUCGUUGCUAGCAUGUUGCUCGACUCUUACUUGCUUUAGAUUCGAUCCGAGAUUCUUAAGAUGUUGUGUCUAUCGUUCUAUAACAAUAUGUACUUUGAGUUGAACAAAUUGACAACAUUCUGUAGCGCAUUUAUCAACUUCCCUAAAAUGGGUUUCAUAAUUAGCUUUGAUCUUGGAACAAAAUCCUAAUCAAAUCACAACGGCUACCCUAUUUAAAACCCGGCCAGUUGGACCGGUUCAACCGAUGACCCAAACCGCAAACCAAGAAACUCAGUGCUCACCAAAUUCUUGUACACAGCUCCCACACUAACAUCGGUAUUAUCGAUCCCCUUGUCGCCAGCGUUUGCUUACUUGCUUGCUUGUUUCUUCCGGAGCUUCCAAAGCCAUAGAUACUCUAUAAAACCGAAGCUCCAUUCACGAUUGUCUCUCUGGCUACUCUCAUCGCUUCGCAUUCUUUCAGGAGGAACCUAGUAGGCGGAGCUAUCAUGGCUGCUAUUACCGGAUCCACCGCCGUCGCAUUCAAAUCCGCCGGGUUCGUCGCUGCCUCCUCCGGCGAAAGGGGCAUUAACCAGUUCCGCCACUGGUCUCCUGUUCCCGCCAGCCUCCACUUCUCCCGUGCUGGCCUCCGGUGCAGAUCGAGAAGCUCGGUAUCCUCUUCCGGUAAUCGAGUCCUUCCAUUUUUUGUGAUCGUGGAGUUUCUCGUUAAUUGUUUUGAUCAAGCGAAUUGACUGAGAGAGAGGAAUCGGUGUGGUGCAGGUGUGAGAGCUCAGGUUGCUGCAGUUGAACCAGUAAGCAGUGAGUCAGUUAAGAAGGUGGAAUCUCCAGUCGUUAUUGUAACUGGAGCUUCCAGAGGAAUCGGGAAGGCGAUUGCAUUGUCGUUGGGGAAAGCAGGUUGCAAGGUGAGUUUCGAUAUUGGUUUUUUUUGGUAGACGAUUCUUCAUUUCUGUGCUCGUGUUGUUUAGGAAUUUGAACUUAUUUAUUGUGAUUAAUUUCCAGGUUCUGGUUAACUAUGCAAGGUCAUCCAAGGAGGCUGAGGAAGUCUCCAAAGAGGUAUUAGGCAUUUGCAUUAUGCUGAACUCUAUUUCUCUGUGCUGCAUUGGUGAAUUUUAUACGAAUUCGAGCAAUUGAUUUAUGCCUUCUAGAUUGAAGCUUCCGGUGGUCAAGCUGUAACCUUUGGUGGUGAUGUCUCUAAAGAAGAGGAUGUGGAGGCCAUGAUGAAAACUGUGAGCAGAUAGUACGAUUUAGUGGCUUAUUUGACAAGGAAUUUCUUAUCUUGAGUUGAAUUAUGAUUUUUGGGUUGCAGGCUAUCGAUGCUUUUGGAACAGUUGACAUACUGAUAAACAAUGCAGGUAACAUUGCAGAAUACUAUAUCCUAGUUGACCUAAUUUUCUCUUCAGGCAUCAUGAUCUUACUAAGCAAAGGUUGCAGGGAUCACAAGGGACACUUUGUUGAUGCGGAUGAAGAAACAGCAGUGGCAGGAUGUUAUUGACCUCAAUCUCACUGGUGUUUUCCUUUGUACGCAGGUAUAUAAAGGCUGGUUCUUGUUAAGAUCCCUUAGUUAUAUGAGUUUUUUCUGUACAUAAACCGAGUAUUUAACUUUUCUCAGGCUGCAGCCAAGAUCAUGAUGAAAAAAAGAAAGGUAUUUACUACAACUUGUCUAGCUUGAGUUCCACUCUAUUUUCCAUGUUCCGAAAUCUGUCUUGAACGUAGUUGAGGUUGCUCAACUACAUGAUAGUCCUCACUCCUCUUUUAUCCAACUAUAACUAGCUCGAACAAGAAGCUGAGACUUUAUUCUGUUGUGUCCAUUGUUCUAUCCGUCACCGAUUUUAGCUGUCAUACUCUGUUUCUAACUUGCAAGUUUUCAAUCUUGUUGUGUUUUGAAGGGAAGGAUUAUCAAUAUCGCUUCAGUUGUUGGUUUGGUUGGCAACAUUGGGCAAGCUAACUACAGUGCUGCAAAGGCUGGAGUCAUUGGCUUCACAAAGAGUGUUGCGAAGGAAUAUUCAAGCAGAAAUAUCAACGUAUGGGCAUUGGUCCUGAAGAUCCCUCUUUCAGUUGUUUUUUCCCCGUUUCAAGUUCUUAGAUCAAAUCAGGCAUCUCUAAAUAUCUCCUGUUGAACGUAUAAUUCUAGGUCAAUGCUGUCGCUCCUGGAUUCAUUGCAUCUGACAUGACUGCCAAGCUUGGGGAUGACAUUGAAAAGAAAAUAUUGGAGACAAUUCCGUUAGGUGAGAUACAAUUUCAAAUGAGAUACAUCAUUCCUGGCGGCAUUUCGUUUCUUUAGCCUAAACAUCAACUGAUUCUGCAAUGCACUGAAAAAUUGUGACUAUUGUGUUUCUUAUUUAUCCAGGGCGGUACGGUCAGCCGGAAGAGGUGGCCGGAUUGGUGGAAUUCCUUGCUCUGAACCCGGCUGCUGGCUACAUGACCGGGCAGGUUAGGCUUCUUCCCUUCCAUUAUUUACAGUUUGAAAAUAUGAGUUGUUGCUUUAGUGACAUCAUUUCUAGUUAAACGUUCUUAUAAGUUCAUUCAUCGUUGGCAGACCCUAGCCAUGGUAGGAUUUGCUUCAACCAUAGGUUUUAAUACUCCGCAAGUGCUUUGACAUUAACUGCAACAGAAUAGAGUCCACCAGACUUAGAUAUAUCGUUACCUUUUAGCAUUCUGUGAUGUCGCUAAAGACAACGAGCGUUGACUAUAUCGUGACUAUUGACCGCAGGUGCUUACCAUCGACGGAGGAAUGGUGAUGUAAAGCAGAGGAGGAGGGUUCCCCGCUCCGGAAGCUGCAUCAUAACAUAGUCAAUUUUUUUAACCAGGAAAAUGUGUCCUAUGAUUAGAGCUUAGCAGAGGUAAUACAUGAAAGGGUCUUUGUUAUAGAAUGAAUGACUUUGUUAUCGUAUUGUAUCCGCUCGCGGCUGAGUUAAACCACAUAUUGAACCACCACUGGGACGGAACAUAAACAUCUGUUAAGUCUCGUAACUUGAUCAAGCAAUCAAAUUAUCGUAAAUACAUAUCUACUAGCUCGAAAAAUUCUUGGAAACGAUUGGAUGCGUGUUCUCCUCGUCCUUAACCUAGGCAAGCGUGAUUAAUUAUGUAAGCAAUCAAAGGAGUAAACGUGAUGAGUUAGUUUGUAGUGUACGGAGAAGAAAUCUAUCACUUGACAGAAGAAAUGGAACGUAAGAAGCUGGCAAACAAACACGAAUGCGAAUAUCCCAAACGCAGAAACAAAACAAACGUAUCGACAUAAAACACAACAACCAACCAAACAAAGUACCAACCAGAAGUCCACUUGACUUUGCGUCUUGGUCUUAGCCUCUCCCUUUAGUGCUUUGCUUGCACCCUUAUCCUCUCAUCUAUUAUUAUUAUUAUUAUUAGUCAACCUUUUCCCUUAAUUUGGAUGUUAAACUUUAAGUUUAUAUUUAUUAAAAGUUAAGUUUCAUUUCAUUUACACGCUCCUUCUGGUCCCGACACGGCAAAGUAUUUAGUUGAGCUUACAAAAUGUACCAAGUCAAAUUCAAAAGUAUCGCAAAUAAAUAUAGAAUUCGGUGUUGAAAGUGGGAUGAAUUGGGACUCACCCCCGGCUCCCCUGUUUUCUCCCCUACUUAUGAGGCCACAAGCGUUCAUUAAAUGUUACUUGUUAGAUCGGGGCUAGAUGAUAUUAGUGAAACAUGUUUCUCGGGAAGGCAAUCAACCAGCAUACCACUCAUAUAGCCUUACAAUAUGGUGUUCACCAUAUUUUUGCUACGAAUCCUAUAUUAUCCUUACAGUAAAUAUUUUGUUUGACUUAUCGAAAAUUGCUAAACUUCGUUUGAUUGUAACACGCUAAAUUAGUUAGUAAACUUUAGAAUUUAUUUGUAUCAAUUAUGAAAUCUUUCCCUUUAUGAAAGCCUCAUUAUAUGGAAAAAAUUAGAAGUGAUGUUCAUCAACUAAUAAAUAUCUCUAAAUCCCUUUCUCCAAACGAAAAAUAUAAAAGAGAAGCUUCUACUUUUCCCCUUCCGAAUAUUCCCCUUCAUAAUUAGCUCCUCACUACUUCUUCUUCUUCCUCCGUCCCCAACAAUUUUCCAGCAGACUCUGUUUUUCCUCUGCAAAAGAAUCCCCUGUUUUUCUAGCUCUAAUCUCCCAACCAUGGAGCUUUCUCUAAACUUCUUCACCUCCUUCGCCUUCUUCGCCUCCGUCUACCUCUUCGCCUACUUCGUCGUCUUCCGCAAUUGGGGUCCCAAACACCGCUCCGAAGCUUCCUCCUCCUUCAUGUCCUUAUCCCACGGUACUCCCGCCGUAAUCCUCUCCAUCCACGCCUUACUCCUCUCACCCUCCUCCUUCGCCGCCGUCAACUCCGCCGCACAGAGCGCCGUCCUCGAAUUCAGCGCCGCGUACUUCGUCGCCGACCUCCUCCACUACCUGAUCUUCUUCCCCCGCGACGUCCUCUUCAUCCUCCACCACUUAGCGACGCUCUACGUUUUCCUCACCUCCCGCUGCCUCGUCGGCCGAGGAGCGUACGGCCUCCUGGAGCUGCUGAUCCUGGCGGAGGCGACCAGCGCGUGUCAGAAUGUGUGGAGUAUUUCUAGGUUUAGGAAAGAGGAGUCGCCGGCGGCGGCGAGGAUGUACGAGUUUCUGUCGCCGCCGUUUUACGUGUUUUACUCUGUUGUUAGGGGCGUUUUGGGGCCGGUGUUUAUGAUUCAGAUGGUGGUUUUCUUCAUCGGCGGGGAGGCUGAGGGGCUGAUUCCGGUGUGGGUUUGGGGUUCAUGGAUGGUGGUGAUUGUUUCGGCGAUUGUGGUUAGUGUUUUGUGGGUGAUGGGUCAUUGGGUUGGUUGGUGUAAGGAGAAAGGGGUUUUAGGGUUUGAUUUGGAGGAGAAGAAGAUGAUGAAGGUUAAGUAAAAUUAUUGAUGGAUUGUGUAAAGGUUUGGUUAGUGAUAGAUGAUUUGUGACAAUGUGAUUGGUUAUUGUACUUGUAUAAUGUCUUGAUAAUGUUCGAAAACCGUGGUUUAUGCGACGAUAAAGAUAUCAAAUUCGGUUGAUUAGUAUGAGUAUAUCGUACUAAUUUGAUGUGAAGAAAAAGGUUAAGGGUCGAGAGAUAUAAGAUGUUUAGUGAUGAUGAUUAGAGAUAUUGUGAUCGAUAUGGGUGAAAAUUGUGUGGGUUGGGUUGGGUUUGACGACAAAACCAACUCCAUAUUAAAUUUUAAAAGUCUUAACUCACGAGAGACAAAAAAAAAAGGUUGUUCUUCAGGAUUAAGACUAAUUCAUCUAAUGUAUAUUACUAAGGAUUUGAAUUAUAAAUUAUGAGUGUUUGGAUUGUAAAAUCAUGUGUGAUUAAUAUACCUACAUACGUAUUCAAGUAUGGUUAAGUAUAGAGUGAAGGAAAUUGAUCAAAAUCAUGACAUUAAUCGACUUUUUUUCUCGAAUAUUAGUAUUGAGUAACUCAAAUUCGGAUUAUCCAUUAUGGUUUAAGAAUAAGUAGCCAAUCCGACGGUGCUGACUUUAAUCUAUAAUUUUUCUCACCUACUAUCCCUUAAUUGAUACCACAAUGAUAAUUUACUAAACCAUACACUAAUCAUAUUAUCCAUAAUGAUACAGCACUGAAUUUCCGCAAAUUUACAUUCCUGCCCCGGAGUUAUUAACUAUUUGUAUGCUAAUCCAUACUCUCCAAGGAUUCAAAGAAACCGUAGCAUGCUCGCUCUGCUGAAAUCUGUCAAACCACUUCACCUGAUUCCCAAGAACCUAGCUGCGAAACUAGCUCUAUAUGCUCAAGAUCGAAGCGUUCAUUUUAUCAGGGCUACCGCCAUAGUCGAUCUCUGCAAACGUGCCACCACCUUCACCCUUAGCCAGCCUUCCCGGGUUUAUACAGAUGCACUUCUUUGCCUCUUCAUCUUCAUUUCCUCCGCCAAUCGUUAAAACCUGUACGGACGAAGAGAAAAACAUAAGAACGAAAACCGACAAGGCAAAUAUGCUUCGAUUAUUAUACCUUAAGGAAGUACUUGGUGUCUGAAGGUAGUAUAAGAAUGUCGGGUGCAGAAUCGAUGUGGAGAGCUUUCGGAGCGAGUGAGAAAUCUAUAGGGACAUCUUCUGCCGGUGGAUAGAGAGGAUAGAAGCUGAUAAUAUUCAGAAGGUUUGAUAUUAGGAAAGUCUGAAGCUUUUAUAACUAUAAAUACAGUAUUCGGGUUUGAACAAGACAUGCCUUUGCUGACUUAGGAUAUGGCUUGAAAGUCUGCUCAUACGGUCACUUGGUGGUGCAUCUUUGGGAUACCGAGAUAGCUCCUCUCCGCUGAGCUGCUUGAGAAUGUCCACCGUGCAGCAACCAACUUUCACCUGAGGGUAAAAAUCGUCUAGGCAUUAACGUUUGUACACAUUAGGUGAAGCUAGUGUCACCUUAUUGGCUUCAAAAGUGUCUGGAUUUGUGAUUAGGUGUUACCGUAUUGGCUUCGAAAGUGCCUGGAUUCGUGAUGCUAGUGACCUGCACAGAUCAAAACAUCUGACAUAAACAAAAGCCGGACAUCAUGCAUGAUAAAGAUCCACGAAAAUGCGGUAACUGAAAGAAGUCGUAGUCCUCCAACCAGAUAACAUGUACCUGAUGUUUGAGUUCUGGAAGAUUAAUAUCGAACGCAGGCUGCAUAAAGAACUCUACUUUAGCUACAAGGGUAAGCAAUUGAUACUAAAUCAUGCAUAGUAGUAAACUACAAUAGUUGAUGCGAGCCAGAUAUGACUUAAGAAACCUGAGGGAAAACGAAGUCGUGGUUAGCAUCGCGUAUAGAUGGUACGAGAAUCACUCGUGCAUUCAGACCCAUGUGUUCAACGUAAUCUUGCACCUGAAAUUGGGUGGAAAACAAAAUCAUGCUUAGACGGAUUUCCUUAAGCAAAUAUUUGUACCAAUUUGUUGGGAUUGUACCCUUUUGCUGAUUUCAAGACGAAAAAUGUCAUCGAAGCUAAUGUCUGCAGUUCCUUUCUUGAUAUCAGGAUGUUCAGAAUCAAUAAACGGUCCCAACUGAAACAUACAACAAAGAAUUAGUAAGAGAUUGUUUCAUUUGCCAAUAAGUAAUCCGAACAGUGGAUUAUGUUGACUUCUUACCAGUAUAAGCAACUGUGGUUGCUUUCUUCUGGCAUAUGCUAGCAGCUCAGAGAGAGGUUCAUAGAAUAAGUUGUCGGUUGUGGUAAACGGACCUGAAGCAAUAAGCUUUCGAAACACAAGAGAAAAGAAGUUACAUUACGAUAUGGGAAACAGUCUAAGAAACGUUUUGGAACUGACAGCAAACUUAACUAACCACUGAAAUCUCUCCUUCUAGAGCGGAUAAAUCGGCUGACUCAAGCUCUUGGUCCAAAGCCCGUCUCUUCACAGGGUGCAAAUCUUUGACAUUGUUUCCUGACAAAGGAACAGAAUCUACAAGCUUCGACGCAAUCAAACAGUAUCCACUUGGAUUGUGACCUUCAACACCUACAAUCUGCAGAAGAAAAAAAUUUGCUUAGUCUGUCGGAUGAGUAUGUAAUAAGGCAUGAGUGAAUACAACAUUAAUGAAUUUGUUCAUUGCAUGUUUACCUGUCCUGGAAAAACAGAGAAAUGGUUCAAUUUGUGUAGAUCUAGACGAGCACGCUGUCCUCCAGAAUGCUCAGUGCUGUUAAAUUUGGUCAUAGUAUCCAGAAUACGAGUCAACAGACGAACUUGGUUCAAAAUAGUUAAACAUAAUGAUUCUUUCCAUAUACAUCUGCAAUAUGAUGAUCAGUAAAGGGCGUGGAGGAAUGAAUAUAUGUCGAACUAACUUAUACAAACAAACGCUACCGAACUAACAAUGAAACAGCUAGAAUGUGCUACCUGCUUUGCAACAAAAUGGACUUGUCAUUUAGUCGACCUUCCUCAUCACAGCAAAUCAUUCCAACACAAAAUACAUUUCUCUGCAAAAAGUAGCUUCCAUUCAAUUAAGAAUGUUUUGUAACUCUUACCAAAUCGCAAAUGAAACACCCUACGAGAGUACGAGAUUACUUUCAAACGAUGCAGCAGUAAGUGCCUAUAAUACAGCAAGCUUAUACAAGGAAAUGGAGCCUAGAGUUGACCUGUGAAGCAACAGAAGGAUCUGCUGGUUCUUCAUAAAUCCCAGAUUCAGAAAAUGCAGCAGCACGCCUCCUGAUCCUGUCGUCAAGUGCAUCAAACUAAAAACACAGCAAAAACAACCCUAAUUUAGUACAACUCAUUAGAUUUCCAAUCUAACAAACUAAAUUCGAAGCCGAAACAAAGUAACAACUACCCGGUCUUCAAUCCUGUCAUACAUGAAUCUGCAACCUGGCUUAGGACCAUCUCCAUGAACUGCCAAGGAAACUCCCUUCAAAGGCUUAACCCUCUUGAUCACAUCAUCCUCCCCAACAUCCUCCGUACCACCACCACCAUUCUCGGAAUCAGGCAGAUUACCAAUGCUGAGUCUCGCUACAAACUUAUCAGUUCUCCGUCCAAAAGGAGUUACAAGCCUAGAAGGCUUCUCGGAAGAGUAACCAUUUCGGUUCCACAUGAGCGCUGAAUCAAAUGGCUCAUCCAAGUACAGAUUCGUAACUUUCUCCGGAGUUCUUAGGAUUGCAUCCUUCAAGUUCUCCUCAUCGUCAUUCAAAAUCCUUACGAAAUAAACAAACCAUUUUUCAAAUUCGAUAUGAAACUCAUGAAAUGGAACUUAGAAACAAAUAGUGGAUACAGAUAAACUGCUUACAUAUCUACAUCUUUGCUCGAAUAGAAAUGCAGAUCAGCCUUCUGUUUAAUCACGGCUUCUUUCUGCUCAUUCUGAAGGUAGGAAAGAAAACCAUCCAUUUCCGCAUUCUGAACGACCAAAUCUUUCAGUUGCCUGCAAUUCAAAAGCAGAAAGGAAAGAAGACUAAAUACGAUUGCUACAUAACAUAAAGACCAAUUACAGUAUCUUCUGAGUACCGUACCGAUUGAGAUAGUAAACGUCCCAGCUCGAAACGAGAUCUGUUGGAGUAAGCUUGUAAUUUAUGCACAAAGUGAGACCUGACAAGAUCGGGGACAUCCAUCCAUAUAUAGUUAAGGAACUGAAACCACCAUGGAAAUGAGCGACGAAGGAGUAAGGUUUGCUUACAUUUCUUGAGAAUUUCCUCUUGAUUGUCCAAGCUGAACCCGCUCUUCUCGAACUCAACUUUGAUUUCUUCUUCCAUGAUUGGUCUCUCUUCGUUGAUUUCUCUCUGCUCCGGCUAGGGUUUUCAGUUUUUGGGGGGAGUUAAUGGAGAAAGGUAAGACUGGCGGGAAAAAUGUUGAAGGUGAUAAUCUCCCGCUGGUUCUGAUUAAUGAUUUAAAAAUUAAAACCCAUUGAUUGAUUUUGGGCCUUAUACAGAAAGCCCAGUGUAACUAAAAGGUCACAGCCCAUUGAUUGAUUUUGGGUACGGUAACGUGUUGAAUCUCAUAAAACCUACCAAAAAAAGUAAAUACACUCGAAUUAUUACUAUAAUGAUAUCUGAUUCACUAACUUAAGAUUAUAAGAGUAUGGGCCGCAUUUUAUUUACCGAAAAAUUGCUUUCAGACCGGUUGUUUAAUUGGAGGGGUGAUUUGUCCAUGUGAUUUAGACUAUGGUGAAAAUUCGACUGUAAAUUAUUCAUUUGGAUAUUUGAUUUUAAAUUGUGGAUCAAAAUAUAAUUUUGUGGGUAUGUGAUUUUAUAUUACUCCAAAUGGUAGAAACUUUAGAAGAGAUUUGAGAAUUAUUAACCAAAAAUUUCAUUUGUCAUUUUAGUAAUUUUUUUUUUAAUUGUUUAUCUACAAAAUUGUAUGUGAAACCAUUUAUAAAUUACUAACUCAAACGGUCUAUUUUGAAAAUAACAACCUACAUGUAAAUUUCUUAUAUUUUAAAUCUCUAUAUAUUUUAAAUAAUUUAUAUUAAAAUCUCCUACUUAAGCGACCCCUAAAAUAAAUACUCAAUAAUAACUUUAUCAUUGUCUCAAACCAUCUAUCUCCUCAUUUGAUAUGUGAUCUCUCGAAUAGCUCGAUGAGAUCGAUAUUAAACAAAGAAUUGUAGUAAAAUUACUAUUUGAAAAUGGCUAUNNNNNNAUGGCUAUUUAGUGAAACUAAAUUUGUCCAGGCAAUUAGAUUUAUGUACUCAACCCCAAACAAUAAAAAUCUUAAAUUCUUGCUCAUGGAGUACCUCCCCACACUACCUAAUUAAGAAAAAAUCUACCCACAAGAAUUCUACUUGCUCACAUUGAUUUAGCCAUUGGUAGGGUGGGUAGGAUGGUAAGUUUGGGUUGCUAUUGGUACUGAAUGGUAAGACUUAGAUACUUAAAAACUUAAACCAAUUAGAAGUAGAACAACAUUGGCGGGAAAGUUUUAGAAUAAAUAUUUGCCUAUACAAUUUUCCCUCCCAUUUCAGUUUCACCAUCUCUCUCAAUGGACUCCGAUUCAGACUCCGGCGGCUCUUACGUCUCCGCCACGCCUCCAAGAAAGUCAAGUCCAUCGCCGGCGAAGUUUCCUCCACCACCGAAGCCGCUACGGCAAUCAUCACGUACCAAUAAAAGAGCCGGAAACAAAGCUCAAUCCUCAGAUUCUAAAUCCCUAGAACAUCCAUCGAACUCAACCGGUGCUCCUCUCCGGUCAAAUGGAGACAUCGAUAGGUCAUUCGAUUCAACGCCUCUAUCGAACUUGCCGUUCCAGAUCUGCUAUUCUUCAGCUCAAAACCGAUCGAUUUCGUCCAGUUCAAUGGAGACUCUCCCCGCCGGAUUCUUCUCCAGGUCUGCUUCCUUCUCCAAAAUCCGAAGGGCUUCUCUCACUUUCGAAUCAGUUGACGAGGAAUGCCGAUUCUCUAAUUCCAAGCAGCCUGAUCCUUCCACGGCGGACCAAGUCCCGAGACCUAGCAAAAUGAGGAAGAAUCUUAAUCUGAUUAGAGGUGAAGUGACUGCGCCGCCGUUGGUCAAAAUUCGGAACCCUAACGAAGGCAACUUCGUGAAGCUCAAUACGAACAAGAACAAGUUUGUUAACAGGAAAGGGAAAAGGAAGAGUAGCUACGGUUCGAACAACCGGAGGUAUUACCGAAGGAGUAAAGGGAAGUUGAAGGCGGCGGAUGGCGAAGCUGAAGUGGGAGGGGCGAUCUGCGACGAGGAAGGUUUAGUCACGGAAAUCACUCCGCAGAAGCCAAGUAAAGGCAGUGAGCUGAUUCAGGAAGCGGUUUUUGCUGCUAGGGAUGAGCCCUCUGAUGAGAAUUUGGUGAGGUUGUUGAGUUUGAUGUACGGAUACAGUUCGUUUAGGGAUGGGCAGCUUGAAGCUAUUAAAAUGGUGCUUGAUGGGAAAUCGACCAUGUUGGUUUUGCCCACUGGAGCUGGAAAAUCACUUUGCUAUCAAAUUCCUGCCGUUAUUUUGCCUGGGAUAACUUUAGUAGUAAGCCCGUUAGUCGCAUUGAUGAUUGAUCAGCUUAAACGGUUGCCUCCAGAGAUUCAGGGUGGUCUUUUCUGUAGCAGUCAGGUAGUUUUCUCUCUUUAUCUCGGUCUUCAACUUGCUUUUGGGUGUAUUGUCGUGUUGUUUUGUCUAACAUAGCUUCUUUUGAGUUCCACAGACGCCUGAGGAGGUUGCAGAAACAAUCAGGCAGCUUCAGCAAGGAGCCAUUAGGGUAAGCUUGGUUAAGGUUUAGUUAUAAGAAAAAUCUAUCUGUUUCCUGUGUAGUUGGCAUAUUUAGUGAAAGUUUUCUGUUUGUUCCAGGUGCUUUUUGUUUCGCCAGAGAGGUUCCUGAACACAGAUUUCUCGUCGCUUUUGUCUGAGAUUCCUGUUUCCCUUCUGGUGGUCGAUGAAGCUCACUGUAUCUCUGAAUGGUGACUUUCCUGUUGCUAUGGUCCUCGCAUUUAGAAAUGAGAGAUGGGGUUUUGUCAUUGCUGAAUUCUCAUAUACUUUUGGAUGUUUUCGAGCAACAGGUCUCAUAAUUUUAGGCCUUCAUACAUGAGGCUCAGAGCAUCCUUGCUACGUGUCCGCCUCAGCAUUGGAUGGAUUCUCGCAAUGACAGCAACGGCUACUACCACUACUUUGAAUGCUGUUAUGUCUGCUCUAGAUAUUCCUUCACCUAAUCUUAUUCACAAAGAGCAGCUGAGAGAGAACCUACAGUUGUCAGUAUCUUUUAGUAGAAACAGGCAAGUUUACAUCUGCAUUAGCUCUCUUUCAUUCAUUUCGGAAUGUCUCCAUUAGGGGUAUGCAUUUCUUGCUCUUAACUGUAUAUAUUCAAAAUUUGGCAUCUGUAGAAUGAAAGACUUGCUGUCACUGAUCAAGUCUUCCCAGUUCAGUGAAGUCAAGAGCAUCAUUGUGUACUGUAAACUUUAGGUGUGUAAAUCAGUAUUGGUUAAUGUAAAGAAUAAGAACUGAAUUUCUAACAAUUCAUCACAACCAGUUCGUGACAAUAUUUCAAUUUGAAACUGAUGUACUGAGCAGUCCUAUAUUGUAGUUCCUCGUUAGACCAGUUCUAUGUAUAAGGAGAAAACUGAGACUAGUCUUUGGCUUCGCAGUAUGAAACUGAUAUAGUAAGCAAAUACUUAGGCGACAAUAACAUCCCUGCAAAGGUCAGUCGAUCUGUUAGCAUAUUGGUCUCUUUAGUUUCUACUAUAUUUUGCAAGUGGUUCGGGAAGUUGCUUACAUAUAUUUCUCGAUGAAGGUUGUUGCAACUGUGGCAUUUGGCAUGGGGCUGGACAAGAGUGAUGUUGGAGCUGUAAGAAAAAAAUGCAGUUCAUUUGAUACAUGAUUUAUGCAACACAUGACACCAUUAGGCCCACUUGCAAAGUAGAUAAAUAAAACAGUAACAGAAUUUCUCAAGUAUAGAUUUUCAAAUGCUUGACAGUGGAAUGAUGUGGGUCUGGUCUAUUUAUUUUGCACGUGUAUCAUGAAAUACUCACAUAUGAAUCUGUUCCAGGUGAUUCAUUACAGUUUGCCAGAAAGCCUGGAGGAAUAUGUUCAGGUGGAAAUUCAGUUCUUAAUAACUUGCUGGCACAAGUGCUGUUUCUAUGGUAACUGCCUAAAUUAGAUGCUAUUACCUUGACACAGGAAAUUGGACGUGCUGGAAGGGAUGGGCGGGUGUCCCAUUGCCAUCUAUUUUUCGAUGAUACCACCUAUUUCAAGCUUCGAAGUCUUAUGUACAGGUUGACAUAUAUUUAACGUAAUGUCUUUCAUCAAUGGGAAUAUACUGUUCACAUUCUGGAAAUUACAUCUAAUAUUGGUGUUUCUAACAGUGAUGGAGUAGAUGAAUAUGCAGUAAACAAGUUCCUCUCUCAAGUUUUUAGCAGUGGAACUGGCUCAGUAGAGAAGGUCCAUUCGAUUAUCAAAGAAUCCGCCUCUCGCAAAUUCGAUAUGAAAGAAGAGGUAAGUCUUAACCCCCGUGACACAACUUACAGGCAUCAUCAUGACCUUUUUUAGUCCUUAAAACUAAAUACAGUGAAUUAGAAUGGAAAGACUCGUGAAAAGUUUCUUGUUAGCAAUUUUCAAUCUGUGAAUUCCUUAUUUGCUUUUCUUUUAUGUUGUAAGGUGAUGCUCACACUUCUAACACAGUUGGAGUUGGGGGAUGUGAAAUACUUGCGCUUACUGCCUCAAGUAAAUGUGACAUGCACUUUGAGUUUCUACAAGGUUGGUUGAGGUCUUGUGGACGGGAAUCUCUACCUUCUAUUCUUAACAGUCUACUUUUGCUUGCUUAGUGUAUCUUAAUAUCAGUGCUUUCCUGCAAAUCAAUUUAAGUUGAUUGAACCUCUACAAUACCUGUUUAGACUUAGUUUUAUUGCUCGGAACCUCUAAUGGCUCAGCUUGUAAUGCUAGAUGACCUGUGGAGCUCUAAAUUGACCGUGCUUAGUCUGAUCCAAUAAAUCGACUCUGUUUCCAAACAUUUUCUGUUUUUCUUAAAUGGAACCUCAGUGCUAAUGCUUUCAGAUGCGCAAAAAUGCAGACUUCACCAGUGGAACUUGCUGCCAAGGAUAUCCUAGUAUCUUCAAUUUUGAAAAGGUCAGCACUGGUUUUGAAACCUGACUGCAUCCCUUGCAAAACAAUGAUAUAUCCUAUGGUUUUUGGAACACUUUAUGGUGUCAUAAGCCUAACCAUGUUUUUCAGCUGUGAAACUAAGCAAGGAGAAUAUGUUUUCAACAUACCUUCGGUGGCAAAUAGCAUUGGCGUCUCUAUAACCGAGUUAUCAGAUCACCUGAUGAAGCUCAAGGUAUGAGAAACUGAGAGCACCCUGAAUUCCAUCCUUCUAUGCCCGAAUUGUCUAUACUAGAUUUUGACCGAGAGUUGAAGAAAAUCUGUUUGGAUAUCAGCUUUAAAAUAUUGUUUUGCUAUGUGUUUCUUCUCGAUGAAAUAACAAAAAACCAUAACUUGAUCUCAAAGUACAAUACUAGUGUCUUCUUUUUUCAAGCAUACAAGGAUAAUCCUUGUUGGAGGUGCAACUUUCCAGAAAGGAAUAGUAAUUAUUUCAGAGUGUACGUAAGUCUAUUAGUCCCCGUUGGAGGGGAAUAAAUCCAUUAUCCCUUGCCCUUGGAUCUAUUUUUAAUGUCUCUUAUGGUCAAAUUCCGCAGAACAAAUGUAGUUAUAUAUGUUAGUUUUCAAUGUGAUUACAGUGGAAAGGUGAAAUAACAUACGAGGUCAAAGAUCCAGCCUUUUGUUAUACAAUUGUGGAACUCCCCAAGGACUUGUGCUCCCUUUCAGUACAUCUCACCAAAUGGUUGUCUGAAGUCGAACUCUGCAAGGUGAUUGAUUUUGAACCAGUAAUGAAAUAGUGUCUCCCUUUCUGGACAGUGAAUUUUAUGUAGUGUUCUUUUCUCCAGGUCAGAAGGCUAGAAGAAAUCCACAAUGCUGUACAGUUCGCCGUGAAUGACUGUAAAAAGACGCAAGGUUGCAAGGGCAGUGAGCACACAAUGUGCUUACAGAGAAGGAUUCUGGACUACUUCAAGGAAGAAGACACCAGCCACGAACCAAAGAAAGAAUCGGCUCUCCAAUGCAGCCCGUUUCUGCGAGCAGAUAUAAAGGUGAAGUGUUCUCCAAGUUAAACAAUCUGUUUAAAGAAUACUAUAUCAAUUACAACUCGAGUUAUUGAGAUGUGACAAUUCACCAUAGUAUAUGCUUCCGCAGCAUUUAAAAUUCUGGCAAUUCGUGUCAUAUUUCUGCACGCAGGUCUUUCUGCAGAGCAACUCGCAUACGGUGAAGUUUACUCCGCGAGCAGUGGCGAGAAUCAUGCACGGGAUUGCCAGUCCAGCUUAUCCUUCCUCAACUUGGUCCAGCACUCAUUUCUGGUAACCUCAAUCAGUCUCUUCCAUGGUUGGUGUUUUUUUUGUUUGCAGUGGUGAAAAUCGUGAAAGCUGUUUGAUAAGAUUCCAUCCUUUAUGGUUUGUGCAGGGGAAGGUACACUGGAACAGAUUUUGAAGUGGUGAUGGAAGCUGCCAAGGGAGAGCUAAUCAAGUGUGCUGGUAAAGGGUAGGUACCAAUUACCUGACGCUAAAAAACAAAUAACCUGGAGUUGAAAAUGAACAUCCUGUGAUUACACAGCUCACCUGGUGAAAAUUCACAGCUGUUGGUAAGCAACUAAGUAAAGCAAAACAAUCUCAGUUUUACCAAUACUACCACUUUCAUCUGGUUCUUACCAAUGUUUACAGUGGGUUGUAACAGUCCUGACGGUUGAAAAGAGACCGAAACAGUCCUGACUGCAAAUGUGAGACUGGUACGCCGUCGUUUCGUUGCAUUGUUCUAACUGCCAGCUAGCUACUGGUACUGUUUAAUUUAUACAACUUAGGACACAGUUUUGCCGUAUACUCCACUUCUAAUUAUUAUAUUCCUUCAUCAUGUAAGGCCCAAAAUCAAUGGCUGCAUAUUUGUAGUAUUCCUCAGACUUUAAUUAAUAAUUAUGGUAUCACAUGUAAUUAAGGCGGACUUCAACUAAAUAUUUUAUUUUCGGGUAGAGAUCUUCUUGUCAGUACAAAAAUUCAUGAAUCAUUAGUGACAUACAUGAUUUGAUGAGGUUUCGCUUACCGUCGUCACUCUCCAACCUUAGUGUCCGCAAUUUCUCUACCAUCGAUUUGCUUGUCGAUCACCACCUUAUGCUUAUGAACCAACUUUGAGGAUUGACCACUAGCUUAACUAUUGUUUGUUAUCCAACAGUCAAAUUUACUGAUUUCUUCUCGUUAUAGUUAAUAUAUCAUGUUCUGUUGACAUUGUCCACGAUAAAUACCUACAUCGUAAUCCAAACACCAUACCGCCUGUCACCAUUCCCCGUUCAAAACCUCAUGUGUUUACUCUUUAUUAUUUAUUUUUAAAUUAAAUUGGUCCGUUAUCUUAAUGCUAUUAACUCUCUUAAUAAUGAAUCCUAAUGUCUAAUGAUGUCCAAAUAAUAUAACUUGGUCGGCAGUAUAAUAAUUAAUUGUUUAAAGAGGACUAAUGAUACUUGUAAUUCCUUAAAAUGGACAAGGAGGCAUUAUAAAUUUUAUAUAAAGGAUAUAAUUAAAAACACCUAAAAAAAAUAACAUCGAAAAUAAUAUAUAAAAGAAAACAGGAGGUUGGAAUAAUAAUUUGGCGGGGGUUGGUUUGUCCGUAUAUUCGUUACAUAAUUUCUAAGAAGAAGAAGCUGCAGCGGCCUGAGUCAGUCCAGAUCCGCCAUUAAAAUUCUGGACGAACAAGGAAAAUUCCCCCAACAAGGAAACGCCUUUACUCCGAUUCUCUUCUUUCUAAGCAAACCCCUUUUCUUCUUUUGCUUCUUAAAACUCUCUUCUUCACUCCUACACGGCGCGGCUCCUCGUCUCCGUCUCUCCGCCGAUCUUCCCCGAUGCAUAAAUAGACAGUAAAGAAAUCGAAUAGAGAGAAUCGCGAAUUUGAACUCUCAGUCACAUGGCGGAUUCAGGCAGCGAUCAGAGCGUCGUUAGCUCAUCUUCUUCUUCUUCGUCGUCGUUUCUCACCAAUUACCCUCUCAUCUCGGCACUCGUCGCCUUCGUCGUGGCCCAAUCCAUCAAGCUCCUCACCUCCUGGUAACGGUUCUCAUAACUUCAUUUAAUCAGCCGAAUUGAUCAGUCUUCGAUUUCAUUUCUGGAAAUUGGACGUGUUUGCUCCACGACCUAGGUUUUGUUGUGUCGUAGAUCUUUGAAUGGAAAAUGGAAGAUAAUUAGAGCUCGUUAGAUGAAUCAGCUUGUUGUGGAGCUAACCAGCUGACUUUUACUAGAUUAUGUAUAUAGGGUUGUUUGGAUUUGGUUAGUGUUCUUAAGGCUGUUUCUUUGAGUUCUGCAGUUACAGGGAAAAAAGAUGGGAUAUGAAGCAGCUCCUUGGAUCAGGUGGAAUGCCUUCUUCCCAUUCUGCAACUGUCACUGCACUAGCCAUGGCCAUUGGCUUCCAGGAAGGGUUCGAAGGAUCUCUUUUCGCUGCUGCGUUGAUCCUAGCUUGCGUUGUAUGCUUCUUUUUUCUGCAAUCAAGGAUUAGCUCUCUGUUCGUUCUAAAAGUUCAAAUGUUGAAGCAGUGUUUUUUGAAUGUGCUUCACUUUUGGUUUGCAGGUGAUGUAUGAUGCUACUGGUGUAAGGUUACAGGCUGGCCGGCAAGCAGAGGUUCAAAACACUGAUCUAAUCCAUCGUUGCAAUUGACUGUUCACUUUUUUUUCUGUAGAGGUUAUUGAAUAGGGUUUUGUUUCUGCAGGUGUUGAAUCAAAUUGUGUAUGAACUCCCUGCUGAACAUCCUUUGGCCGAAAGCAGACCUCUUCGUGAACUCCUUGGUCACACUCCUGCUCAGGUACAUAUGCCAUAGGUUGCAUUAGACUUAUAUGCUUAUGUUGUUAAGUUUGAGCUGAGAAUGUGCAUUCAAUGAUUAGAGCUCUCUGAAGUCAUAUGUUGAUUAUGUUGUUAAUUGUUAUGUUUGAGUUGAGAAUAUGAGCUAGACUUGCAGGACUCUCUGAAAUCAAUCUCGUACUUCCGACUGCGACUUCACGAGCAACCUCAUAGCAUAGUUUUUUUUAUUCGAUUGGAUCCUGUGAUGUAGGGCCAUCACGGGAAGUUUUCAUAGAGUAUAUAUAUAUCAUAUGUUGCAUUAUAUGCUUAUGUUGUUAUUGUUUGAUAUAAAGGAAUGUGAGAUUGUGAAGUAACAGUAAUGAACAAAUAUCGAUUCUAUGAUCUAGCCAUCAUCGAAACCAACCUUAUAACAUCAUCUUUCGAUCGAUUGUAUGCGUUCAUAGGUUAUUGCGGGUAGCUUGCUUGGAGUUGUGACAGCUAUCAUUGGCCAUCUGAUCACAAUGGCAACUAGUCGCAGCUGAAGAGUCUUCGUGUCGACGCCAUCAAACGGCUAAAAGCUCGGCGAGUCGGCUCGACGAGGGCAUGUGACCAUAGAAUUGCAGUGUGUUUCAACUGAUGCCAUUUUCUGGGUUUUUAGGAGACUCACCUGAUCAUAAGUAUAUACAUUCCUUCAAAAAAAGUGUUUCUAUUCUUUCAUACAUGUGAUUUGUUCACAGUACUGUCCUCAGUCAAAUGUAAUUAUAGACAUCAAAAUCUGACAGAUCAUCUCUAGCAAGUUUAUGAUGAAAAAUUACAGGCUUUUAGGCUACAUGCUGUUCUUUUGUUGUGUUUGAAGGUUGCUGUUCUUUUAGGGUCCCAACUGAUUCGUAAGUGGAAUUGAUCAAAAAUCAACAACCCAAUCAGUUGCUCAUUUAAAAAAAUCACAAAAAAGCAGCAAUCCAAAUGAUUAGUGAUCCAAUUUGUGACCCAGUUGAACUACAACCUUAUUGUUAGUAACACGUAACCAAAUUAAUCUAAUUCGUAACACGCUUGAUCUGCCCCGACAACUCCACCAUUGUAUCUUAUAUUAAAUGGACCCGAGUAAUAUAAAAAACCAAAUUUUAUGAGGUGAGGAUACUUUCUUUUUGUUCUCACCCGUAAGAAUACUUUAAAACUGUUAGAUUUUUUAUUGAUUAUUUAAAAGUUUACAUUAGUCUUUAAUUUAGUCUUGAAUGGAACAAAAGAAAAACUGUAUGUCAACUAUUAAUAUUUUAGUCUUGAAGUAUGUAAGCGGUAUUAGAUGGUACAGUAUCAAGUGGCAUCCGCCCCGCAGGCAUCAUGAAAUGUAAUGUGGGUGUGACCCGCUUUGAGACGAAUAAUAUCACGGGGAACCGCAUGUCGAUUCUCAACUCGGGAGGCUCUCUUGUGCAAUUUCGAAUGAAAAUGUGGAUGGGGUUGUACGAUGUGAAAGUUGGGGAGGCCACGACUCUUUUGGAGGGAAUCAGGUGGGUGAUCGACAUAGAGCUCCAAUCGGUCGUUUUCGAAAGUGAUUCUCAGAUGGUGAUGUAAGCGAUCGAUGGCAAUUAUGAAGAUCUUACCGAGUUUGGUGCUUUAGUUUUUAUGUGUUGUUGUCUUUUACGUUCCUAAGAAGAUUUUAGUUUUUGUUUUGUUAGGAGAGAAAGGAACGAAAUUGACUACACGUUAGUGAGACAAUCCCUGAUCUAUACGUCCUGUUUGUGGGUGUUAUAUCUCUUGUCUGCCCCAGUCCAAUGUUAUAUCUUACUUGUUCUUUGACAGGUCAUUAAUGAAAAAGUAAUAAUAAUUUAUGCGUCAAAAAAACAUUACCAUAAAUUAUUAAUGCUAAAAGAGGUAAUUGUCUUGUCAUUUUAUUAAUGCUGAAAGUCUAAAAUUUGAAAACAAGCUUACAUUGUUUGAGCGGUAUAAGCCUAGAUAAGAGGUGUAUUUCCGACAUGGGGUUUACAAGGAGUCGCAGUCUUCCGUGGAUAAAUGAAUAACUCAUUUUCGAACUUUCCUGACCAAUUAAUUCUAAGCGAACAAAAAAAGCCUAGACUCGAACAAACAAAAACUCAAACACUAACAAAGAACAAAAGACUAACUGAAUCGGCUCGACAACAAGAUCGAACCAAUACGACAAACACACAAGAGACCUAGAAAACAAGAAAAAAAAUACUAAAUAGCCACUAACACAUACUCUUAAGCCUAUCUAUAAAUAUUUAAGACAGACUCUUGACAAAAAAUAUAUGAAAAACACAAAAAAUGCAAACCGAAUCGUACCAUUAAAACAAAAGGAGAUACGUAAAAGUAGCAAUGGUCUUCAUCCAUUGUCUGUACAAGGUGACCCGCCUCCACAAUGCCAAAACUAUUUAUGUCGAUGGGCAGGACUCCGAAGGUUUGCCAACUCCUACAUUGUUUCCAGCACCCUCGUAAUUCCCCUCCCCCUCCCAAUUCUCAAUUUGUUUUUCAAUUGAUUGAUAAAAAUCUUAUUUUUAUUGGAGGUUUAGGGCCCUACCAUUCUCCUCACUUUGAAUUACUCAGACGAUGUGCUUUUGAUCGAACAUUUGUCUCACCGGUUGGGUAAGCUUGAACCUGGAGACAUUGUUCUAGUUCGAUCCCCGGUUGAACCGGGAAAGAUUGUGGCUAAAUGGAUAGUCGCAAUGGAAGGUGAUCGCGUCACUUUCCUUACUGCCCUUCACAUUCCGGUAAGGGACAUACACAAUCAUGUCACUGCAGACUAUUAAUUGUUCCGGUUUGGGGUGAAUAGGUUGUUGUUCCAGCAAUGAUGUGCAACUUUAUUUCAACUAGAGAUUGUGGAAGUUACCAUUCUUAUUGUGUAUUGCAGGGAGAAGCUGAUAGUUCCGAAAAAAAGCUGCAGUUUUGGACAAGGUUCAUAUGCCGAUGUCUGAGUACAUAACGAGAAGUAUCGAGUUCUUGUAUUAGUACUCUGUGCUUUUUUAAAUUGUUGUGUGUUUUUAUAAAGUGUUGUGUGAAGAAAUGAAGGUAACCCUUAUUUGUAUUUGCUUAGUAGAAUCGUGGGUCUAGUUUUACGUAUACUAGGGGUCUAGCUAAAUAAUAAUAAUGAUUGACGCGUCAAAAAAAAAUACCAUAAAUAUUUAAUGACCAAUUAAUUUAAGAUUCAUGCACAAUCAUAAUUGGAGAUUGGUAAAUGAAAUAGAAAAAUCAUUAAAUAAAUUUCCUUAGUUCAAUUUACUUUAAGAAAAAUACCUUAUUUGCCUAUAAACAAUUAACGUCUAUAUAAGAAAGGUAAUCAUUUAAAUCAAAAUUUACGAAAUUGCCAUUUUUCCUUUGACUGUUUACUCCUCCAAUUUUCUCGUAUAAAUUGCAAUUGUUAUUGUUCUGGGAGUGAAUAGGUUAGACGUUCGAUUGUCUUUGCAUUGGCGAUGACCAAUUCUUACAAUACUAUUGUUAGUUUCAGAGUGAUGGCUAUUAUGUUAUUUUUUAUGGUUUUCGGUAUCGGCGUAAAUGGUAUGGUUAACAAUGAUAAUAUGAAGUUUGAUCGUGAUGGCAUAUUAAAAACCAUUGUGGUUAGUAUUUCUUUGAAUAUUAUGUCUAUAUACAAUAUACUUGAUUGGUGUUAUCUUCACCUUUUUAAAGUUAUCAUAUACUGUUUUUAUGGGUGGUUGAUGCUUAAUUGUGGCAUGGAUUUGUAACAGAGCGGAGACGAAACUAUUGAUUGUGUGGACAUCUAUAAACAACCCGCUUUCAACAAUCCGCUUUUGAAAAAUCACACUCUUCAGGUGAGCUUCAACAAAGUUGCAUAUUUGUGUUUGUGUAAUUUCAAAUAAAAUACAGUUAUGAUUUGUUUUUUCUGCAAUUGUUUAGUUGAAACCAAGUUCAUACCCGAGGGGGUCGAGAUCCAAAGUUGUGGUUAACUCAACAAAGUACAUUCAAAUGUGGCAUAAGAAUGGUGAGUAUUGCCCCAAGGGAACAAUAGCAAUGUUGAGAUCGUCAACGACGACUUGGGCAUUUAAGGAUAUCGAGGUACAUGUAGCGUUAUAGAAGAUUGAUUGAGAUUUAAAUAUAUGAAUAUUCUGAAAGUGAAAUUAUUGUUCGAUUGAUUACAGGUGGCGGGAGUGUCGUCGUCUUAUGAUUACUAUGGACUCAAUAUGGAUAUGAGCGUAUGGAGCCCACAAACACAACCAAACGAAAUGAGCUCAUCUCAAGUUUGGGUGUUCGGUGGGGACGGCCUCAUAGUGCAGUCGUUUCAAGCUGGUUGGAUGGUAAUUAUUGGUAAUUAAACAGCUUUAUUUUUUGGUCGUUCAAAUAAUAAUAAUAAUAAAUAUCAGGUAACGCCAUUGAAGCCAAAACCCACCAUCUUCGCAUAUUGGACCGUAAGUGCAUAUGAAAUAAGAAUAUAUGGUUGUAGCUAGCUAGGUGUGCACAAUUAUAUUAUUAAUUAGUUAUAUAUAUGGAUCUCUUCUAUAGAGGGAUGCAACCGAAGUAUCUGGAUGCUACAAUCUAGACUGUCCUGGUUUUGUUCAAACAAGUUCUACCAUUGUCCUCGGUUCUCAACUAAACCCAGUUUCCAUCUAUGGCGGCCAACAAUUUUUUAUCAACCUCAAAAUUCACAAAGUAAGAAAUUUAAAUUCCCAAUUAUAUAUAUUGAGAUUGUGCAUGCAUGCAAACUCUCUUCAUAAAACUCAUUCAUCACAGGAUUUUAAAACGGGCAACUGGUGGCUAAACAUCCAAGGAACGGAUAUAGGGUACUGGCCGGGAGAUUUAUUGCCGAGCAUGAAGAUAUCAGCAACUGUGAUGGUGUGGGGAGGUAAAGUUAGCAAUACGAAGCCGAAAGGGGUUCACACAAGGACUCAGAUGGGGAGCGGCCAUUUCCCGAGCGAAGGGUUCGGAAAGGCGGCCUGGUUCAAGAACUUAGAAUAUGUGGACGACAAAGGAUCGUUCCAGGAUGUCCGCUUUAUUCAAACAACAGCUUCGGAUGAAAAUUGUUACGACGCACAAGUGCAGGAUUGGGAUCAGAAUUUUGGUACUCAUUUCCUCUACGGUGGUCCUGGCUAUUCCUCUAUUUGCCAGAACUAGCUUGCUAGUAGUCGUUUUGAUGCAUAUGCAUUGUCUGACAAUCAUUAUCCUAAUUCACCAUGCCAACCGAAAUAAAGAUGAUUGGAAGUCCUGAGCAAAAUUUUAGAGUUUGGAAUGAAUUUUAAAACAUACUAGUGCUCCCUAAUGUUGAAGCGGUUAAAGUUCUUAAUCCACUGGUGACGAGAAAUGAUAAUUACCAGAAGUCUUUUCCACCAUUUUCGACAAAUCCCAAUACCUCGCGCGCACUUUUACUCCACUGCUCGUGAGUUUCACCUCUCCUUUGAGUGCUCAAUUGAGAGGAUAGCUGUGAUUACCUUCUGACGCCAGGGAUGUGAAAGACGUGCCGUCCGUUGUACCAGUUUCGUAUGCGCCUCGUGUGGCGCCCUUGCCGGAGGAUAAGGUUGAAGGUGAAGUGCAAGAGAGUGCAAAGGACGGCGAGGACAUGAAGACCGAGGUUCGCCGGGUUGAAACGGAGAAUAGGGCUAUGAGAAGGAUUUUGAGGAUGGAGGAACAAACAGAGCAGGCUGUUGUGCCUUUUCCUAGAUUGAUGGUACCGGAGAAGAAGAAAGAGAAGAGGCCACUUCCGGAAUUGAUGGACGCCAUUCGCCAAGUCAAGGUUACUGUCUGUUUGGUUACAUGUAAAAUGGAUGAUGUUAUUAUAUAGUUUGUUUUCGGAUUCUAAUUUUUGGUUGGACUGUUUCUUUCAACUGGUCAGGGUGACGCCAGGACGGCCUUUGAUGAAACUAUUGAAGCGCAUGCGAGAUUGGGAAUCGAUCAAAUCUCGAUCAGACCUGGUGGGUGUUGAGUUGUUGAAUAGGUAGAUUGCUCUGUUGGAAAUUAAGUUCCCCGGCCUAUAUAUUAAGCUUUGCUUUCCUCACAAGUGAAGUUCUUAAGUAGCUUGGAGGUAACGAGAAGACCUUUGAGUUGACAGAGAAGAAGCUUGUUGCUGCUUCAGCUGCGGUCCCGGAUGAUAGCCAGAGCAGAAUCCUGGCUGCUCAUGAACGGUUUCUUGCUCGAAAAGGGAACAAAUGAGAGUCCGGUAUUUGUCAAAGAGUGAGCAUGUAACGAUAUGGUGUUCAGCCAUGGCAGCAGGUUAACCAUCUAGUCGGUCAAAAUUAAUGGGAAGAUGGAUGUUGUAGCUUACUUAGUAUGAAGUAUUGUGGUAUAUCGUGCAGUUUUCUUUAACUAUAAUAGUAGUCGAUGUAUUUACUCUCGACAACAUGUUGCUGGAAGAAUGCAUUUGAAAUUGUUACGAUAAAAUCAUUGGGGAUAAUGUCCAAUUCGAUUCCAUGGAAGAUAAAGGGGGCUAAGAGAUUGAUCGGAGAAACGAUCAAAUUCUGGAGAAGAAUAAGGAAGCAGAGAAUUGAUGUUGAAGCUCUGAAAGUUGUAUUCGAUUUAUUCAGCUGUUUGGGUUUUAUACCAACCUCAACGGUAACAAGAACAGUAAAAAUGAAAUUACAAACGCGGGUAAAAACACGUGUCAUUAGUUCAUACAUCAACUUGGUAAAAUGGACGGGAAAUGAAACUCUCCGUUUCAAUCAUCUUCACUUCUUCUUUCGUUGACGUUGACUAACGCUUUUCCCACUAACUCCGUUUGUUCUUCGCUGCAUUCAACAGGGGCACUAGCUAGUAAACUCGGCCAAUUUAUACGAACCUGAACGAGCUGGUAGACAAUUCAAAGCAUUUACAGUCGGGGGGAUAUAGCUCUCGUAACACGGCAACAGAAAAAAUUAAGGCGCCAUGAAAUUCGAAUUCUGCCAAUUAGUUGCUGUUUGCCGGAAGCUGAUUCAUCCUUCUUCUCCUCGCUGCCAGUUUGGUAUCCAUAAACUGUGGCCAACUGUGAUUUGUUACCCGGAGUAAGAAUUGUCGAAGGAUGAGGGAUUGAGUGAAGAAAUCUCGGGGAACCCUAACCAUGAAAUUUUUCCUGCUGCCAAACGUACCAUAGGUUUUCAGGCUGUGUUUGCUUCAGCUUUGUCUACUGUUUAGGUACCUUAGUACUGAUGGAUCCGAAAAAUUCUAUCUGACCCUGAGCUUUGUGGUUAUAAUAUUGAAUAAAUCCCAUGAGAGGAGCUUGAACACGUAAGUUCUGCAUUUGGGAAAAAAAUGGUUUGUGACCAUUUAUGUAGCUUCCACAAAAGCAAAAUCAGCUGAGAGUUACAGUUGCUAAUGACCUUUUUAGAGACAUUUUACUGCGAUUGGUAAAGCUAUUGACGAUAAUGCGUGAAUGAAAAGUAAAAGGUCUGAUCACAUCUGCAACUCCUGAUCGUCUUCUCCAGUUCUCCUCCGAUCUUACUGUGUUCUUUUGAUGAUUUCCGUCCCCUCCUCCAUUACCCUAUAUAUCAAUCCAAUGAUGAUGCUGAAACUGAAAUACAGGCCUUCUCUUUUCUUCAUUUGUUUCGUGGUCAAUUUUUACGUCGUCGGUGGCGUCAACUUCAACUAUUCGGCAUUUCGGGGGACCACCACCGACGAUUUCAUCUUACAUAAAUCGUCCCUCGGUGCUGACAUGGUGCACAUCACUGCUGACUACGAGCGCUGGGAUAUCACCAAUAAGUCGGGACGGUUGCUCUUCCACCGGCCGGUCCACCUACUCAACUUCAAGACGAGCUUCGUUUUCAGAAUUGUUCCGGUGACUCAGCUGCCAGGGGAAGGUCUGGCAUUCGUGCUUGCCGGAGACCCGAACCUUCCGGAACACAGCUCGGGUCAGUGGCAUUCAUUCCAAUAACUGAAUUCCUAUUCGAUGCCUAUGUACAAUUCGAAUGUUGGUCGCCUUAGACUAAAUAAAAAGACGUAACUUAAUCGUAAAAAAGAUUGCAUAACUUACUUUAACUACUGUCCACAUAACCCUUCCUGUACUGAUGAAGUUACCGGGUAUCAAAAGAAUUAGAUAGGAAUGAGGAUGCAAAAAGAAGGCUUUACAAUCCAACUCAUAGGUACUGUUCCUAAGCUACAGUGGCACCAUUUGGUUGGGCCCUAGCUUACGCCUUACUUUGUCUUAUUUCAUAUUUACCCAACGAUGUUGCCUCCUAUCUUACACACCUACGGCGGCUUUCUUUGUUCCCCCUUCAGUCACCUUGACGUACUGCUCCUGCUAUCUGACGAACAUGCUUCUAUGACGCUUCGGUGUUCUGUAUUAGGCCAUCAAUUCUCUAACACACCUUGACGACCUCUUUUUUCCCCAAUCGAUUUCCCUUUAAGCGCUCAAAUUUGCAGAAUCACUCCAAAUCAAAAUCACUUUCUCCAUCCCCCUGUUCACAUAGACACUGUAUGCCACAAAAUUUUCCAUGUUGCUUCUUCUACCAUACCCCCCCUGGUGACUCUAACCUUUCUUCACCAGCAAUUAUCCUCGACACCUAGGUUGUUGCAAAAAAAAAGUACGUCGAUUUCUAUUCAUCGCUCUGUUGAAUAGGUUUCCGUUGGUUGCUGCUUUCUGCUUGACGUGUACCUUUCAUAAAGACUGAAGGUUUCCGAUUGGCACUGUAUCAAGCUGCUGCGUCUAACCAGGAUUUUGAUUCUUUCUGGUGUGAUUCACACUUUUCCUUCGACGAGGAACAAACUAAGCGCUUGCAUUACUUUCUUUCUUAAUAAAAAGUUUACUGUUGUAAAUGACAUGUGGGGCAGCUGAGGGAAAAUUCGUGAGAUUUUGUAAAACCAAAGUCUCUAGAAUUCGUGCACCAGCUACAUUAUCGUUGAUUUUAUGAAUCUAUCCAGAUGAGGAAAAAGGAUUCUGCUUUGUCUUCCAAUAGUUGUUAACAGGAUAGUGGUUCAUGAAUACCAGCAACGUUGAACCUCUUUCAAUAACUCGAGUUAUUGAACGCAUUGGUGCAUGAUAUGGUAUUAUAAUCUUCCGUAGUCAAUUUAAGGGUUGGUGGUUCGAUUAGGACCUAUGUUUCACCGUUUUUGUGAAUGUGAAUUGUGACCUAAGGUUGGUUGGUUCAUUUCAAUUAGGUUUUAGAUGAUGGCAUAAUUCAUAGGAGGAACAAAUUUUUGUAAUUAUUGUUUGCAUCUGUGUCAGUGAGCUGGCGUUUUAGGGAAUCUGUCUGCAAAAUGUUUGCUGCUUUGAGGAGUUCACAGCUUGCCUUGCUUAGUGAAGGAAGUUACAGAUGACAGUUUUCUUGCUAAGCUUCCAUGUGCCUUAUUCUUGCCUGGACAUUUCAAUGUAUGUAGUUGUGCCAUAGUUCUUCGGAUGUCCUUCUGGUUACUUUAAGCAUCUCAUUUUGGCUGCCAAAAACUUAUGCCGACUCUAAAUUUGAGAUUCUAUAUGUGAAAUUUGUGUAGCUAUCCAGAUUAGAUAUUCUAUAUGUGGAAGUUGAGAAACCUAAGCUAAUUUUUAGUCAUAGCCAACUUUAUGCUGUUGUAUCAAGUAUCAACGGUCCGUUCCAGAUGGUCUGCAUUGUCUUGCAUUGUCUUACACGAAACAUUGUUUCUGAUGAAAUUCUUAGCGGCCUGCCAUAGAUUUCAAUUCAGUGGUUUAGUAGGAAAUUGGUUACUGAUCCUAACUGCUAUGCUGAUUUCUGCUUACACUAAGUAUUAUUAUUACUAUAUAAUUGCAUAAACGGGCUGUCAUGGCCAUCUGCACUUCCGCAGCGUAGCACGGACAUAUACUACCUAGUUUUAACUAAAAAGUAGAGAUACGGAAAACCCCUUAAUGAACAGUUUAGUUCCUUCGUGUUUUAUAUAAUUUUAAUGAGUUAUUGAAUAAUGUUUGAUAUUUGUUGAACAAGUUUAGUUUGGACAAGAAAUAUGUUCAAUGAUUUGAAAGCUGGAUAAUAUGUCUGUAAGUUGCUAAUGAUGCAUAUUUUGAUUGAAUAAAACUGCCAGCCAGAUUGCACUAGAUAUUUGUUGAACAAGAUUAGUUUGGACAAGAAAUAUGUUCAAUGAUUUGGAAGCUGGAUAAUCUGUACUUAAGUUGCUCAUGAUGCAUAUUUUGAUUGAAUAAACUGCCAGCCAGAUUGUUCAAUGAUUUGAAAGCUGGAUAAUCUGUACUUAAGUUGCUCAUGAUGCAUAUUGAUUGAAUAAACUGCCAGCCAGAUUGCACUAGAUCACCUACUUGAUAUAAUUUUUUUUUGGCUGCAGGUCAGUGACUCGGGAUUGUAAAUGCGAAAACGAACGGAUCAGCUAAAAUCGUGGCGGUCGAAUUCGACACGAGGAAGAGCUAUGCUGAGGAUUUAGACGACAAUCAUGUUGGGGUGAAUUUUGGGUCGGUGUACUCCGUUCACCAAGCUCCUCUGGCAGGAAUCGCGAACCUGUCGUCAGGUUCCGAUAUCACCGCCAGAAUCGAGUACGACGGAGAGAAUAUGGCUGUCUUCGUCGGAACAAGAAGCACCCCUGUAAUUAAUCGAAAACUGGAUCUGUCACUGUAUCUUCGAGACGGGGUGUAUGUCGGAUUUACCGGGUCGACCAGUCAAUAUACCGAACUGAACCUCAUCAUUUCCUGGGACUUCAGCGGAACAGAAAUCCCACAAAGAAGAAAGAGAUGGUUCAGAAUUGCUGCAUCAAUCGUAUCAGCAGUCGUGAUUCUGAUAUUUAUAUCUGGAUUAGUGUACUGGAAAAGAAGAAAUGUAGAUGACAGCGACGACUCCGACCCCAAAUUAAUCGACGAGGCGAUUCAGGCUUCGUCGGCUCCUAGAAAGUUCAAGCUGAAAGAGUUGAGGAAGGCGACGGGGAAUUUCAAUUCGAGGAACAAGGUUGGGAAAGGAGGAUUCGGUACUGUAUACAAAAGGAUCAUAAAGAAUAAGGAGAUCGCGGUGAAGAAAGUGUUGGAGAAAACGACUCAGGGGAAGCAAGAGUUCAUAUCGGAAGUCAUCACAAUUGGAAACCUUCACCAUCGGAAUCUGGUCAAGCUAAUUGGAUGGGCUUACGAGAAGAAGGAGUACCUCCUGGUUUACGAAUACUUGCCCAACGGAAGCCUGGAUAGGUUCAUUUUCCCAACAGUUAAUGGAUCGUUGAAUUUGAGCUGGGCUAUCAGGUUGCGAGUGAUUUCAGGAUUAGCUCGGGCGUUGGAGUAUCUACACACGGGCUGCGAGAAGAAAAUUCUUCACAGGGAUAUCAAGUCCAGUAAUAUAAUGCUGGACUUGAACUUCAAUGCGAAGCUCGGCGAUUUUGGCUUGGCCAGGACCUGUGUCCAGCCAAGCCAGACCCACCACUCCACCAAGGCAAUGGCGGGGACGCCCGGUUACAUCGCUCCUGAAGUCUACCUGACUGGAUGGGCAACGGAGGAGGCAGAUGUUUUUGCAUUUGGAAUCGUGGUCCUUGAAGUCGCCUGUGGGAGGAAACCAGGUAGCUGCUGGAUCGAUCAAGAUGAGAACGGGACAAAUAUUGUUAAGUGGGUUUGAGACUUCUACAAGACAAAUAAUUUGAUGAAUGCUGCUGAUGCUCGAUUGAAUGGCCAUUUCCAGGUGGAAGAGAUGGCCCGGGUGUUGAUUUUGGGGCUGACGUGCUGCAAUCCCAACCCCAAGGACAGGCCUUCGAUGAAAUUUGCCGUGCAGGUUUUGGCUGGGGAAGCUCGAGCCUGCUUUCGUGUGGCCUCCUUUGGCUUCUUCGCCUGCUUUGCCUCCGUCUCCUUCUCUCGAAAAUCAGAAUUGUGACAGUCAGCGCAGUGUGUUUUCACAACUAUCAGGUAGAUGAAUUGCACGUGGUUAGUGUUUGUAUGAAGAACAAAUAAGCGCUCUUGGAGACGAUAGAACUUUGUACCUGAAACGACACACAGAUCGACUUUCUAAUAUGAAUGUAAUUGAAAGAAAAUAAACAGAUGUACAAAGGUGCAGAAUAGCUUCUCUUCCUAGGCUGAGUUGCGUGCUUUUUGUAGACAUGAAAUUGGACUCUAAUUGGUCUCGAGCUUGUUAGUGUGUUUUCACCUCAAGUUUGUUUCUCCGAGUUUAUUGCUAUCUUUGUCUAUUAGAAGGUAAACGAAUCGCCAGUUACCAACUCGAUCCCUUUUGUAAUUUUGUGAAACGAAUGGGCUGUAGAGAUCAGUUAUCAGUGUCAAAUCAAAAGAUGGAGGCAUGAGCAGCUUUAUUUCCAAUGGAGAUUUGAACCAAAACAAAGUAAAUGCGACUUGAAAUCACUCUGGUGAUCGAGCAGUUGAUAUAAUCUGUCAUGGAGGAAAAUAAACCAAAAGAGGUAGUAUGAAGGCAUCUAAACACAUCAGCAGUUAAUAUCCACAUGCUAAACUCUGAUUUUGAUUUCAUUCAUCAAAUUGUACACAAAUUGCAGGUUAUCCAGCUGGUCAAAGUGCAAGCCAUGCCACCAUCUCCAAUUGGUGCAAUUUGACAUGAUUACAUGCCUCAUGUAGAUUUGCAACAGCUGAUCUGCACAUUGAUAUUCAUUUUGUUAGCAACCAAAUCUAUGAGUAGGAAAGAGUGAAGUUCACUUGCUAAAACAGAUCAGACAUGUACUUAUUUUUCAGGCAGGUCAUCAAGGAUUUUGUUAUAAACAAUGUUUGGCGUCCUGUCCGGUGGGGCUGCACCCUCAUUGUGCAAUGCAAGGUGAGUGAGUGCCCGAUCAAACAAUCAAAUAGCAGAUGCUAAGGGUCAGCACAAAGAUGAUGGUAAUCAGGACUCAAAUGUGCUAAACACGGCAUACCACAUAAAUAAACAAAAGAAGCAGACAAAUAACACAGACACGUCGGAGGCAUAGACUGAGCAUAUAACAUGGAUAAGAAAGUGUGAAAUCAAUUCCCUAUUGGAUUCGUCAUGCAAUCUGGGCAAACCCAAAAUACCAGUUGUGAACAAACCUGAAAUCAACCUUGUAAACAUGUUGAUGUAUUCUUUCAAGUCCUAGAUGACCAUUUCUUGCGCAAGAAAUCGUAUCUGUAUAGCAGGUAUGGAAGUUUGAGAUAAAUAGAAUACAUGAUUGUAAUCAUGAAAUUUUCCCAAUGUACCGCAAACCCUCUUCUGUGUUGAUCAUCUAACGAAAGAAGAUUCAAUCACUUUGUUGUGCAAUUUUUCUACAACAGAAAGAAAUACAUCAACAUGUACAUAAGGAAAAUUGGCUACCACUUUCAGCACUAGGUUAUUAAAACGGCAGAACAAACUUAAGAGGAAAAUGCAGAGAAUAUCCUCGAAACUAAUUAUUCGAUGAAAUCAGAUGCGUCAGAAGACAUCAAGACAUGCAAUGGAGGAAGCCCACUGAGGCCAAAGCAGCAAAAGCAAUAGUUUAAUUUCCUGCAGAAAAGUGGAAAACACUGAGUAACUAUGCUUACAUCAUCAUAAUAUUGCAGCAUUGCAGCUCCACAAUGGUACAAGCAACCAUAGAAGCUUCAAACAGGAAAGAAAAAAAACUGACCAGAAUGUUAACAAAGCUCGAAGAGCGCAAUUUACCGGCCAUCAACAGGCAAACUAACACCAUGAAUCUAUAAAAAAAACUUUACCCACCUGGAUGAUGAAGAAAGGGGGGAAAACCCCAUCAAAUUAACUGAUAAUAUAGUCAUCAAAUUAACUGAUGGACAUAUGAACUGAGCAUCAGCCGGGAGACACGGCACAACAGACACGUCAAUCUCAAAAGAACGAGUUAAGAACAUAUGAGGGAUUAAUAUUAGAUUGAUUAAGAAUUGUGUUGUAUAUGCAAUAAGAUGGAACCUACAGCGUGGCUUUGAACUAGUUCCAAGAAGCGGGCUUCGGACACUUGGGAAAUAUCUUCACAAGCAGAAAUCUGCGGAACACAGCAGGCUGAUGGACAUCAAAUUGACUGCAAGCACCACAGCAGGAUUCAAGAGACCAUUAUUAUAUUAAUCAGGUGCUUUACUAGAGCUAUAUAUAGCUAUUGGUAUUGCGAAAUAAUGAAUACAUCAAGGAAAGUGCGGAUUCUUAUGGUUCGAACGAAACCAAUACAUAACAAAAGUUUGGCUCGGAGGAGAUUUUCACAUUCCUGACCUGUCUUGAGGAUUUACUCAAUUUUCUUUUUGGUGUGAAAAUGAAUUUAAAAGCGCAAAACAUAAUCUGAAUUAGAACUUGAAUAUCCACGAUGACCGCCGCUGACGGGUCACACAUAGUCUUCGUCGAUUGAACCAAUUGAAGGGUCAGAAGUGAAUCUGUUUCCACCAACACCUGCUUGUAUCCCAAUAACUGCACCCAUGAGAGACCGUCGUCCCGCAAAGCACAAAGUUCAGCAAAGAGAAUUUGUUGGUUACCAAUCGAGCGAGCAUAGCCCCCACCCCGAAGAACACUUCCAAUUGAAGAACUCCUUCCUCGAUCGAUAAGACUACCGUCCAAGGUCGGUGGAUGGUUGGAGAGAUAGUUUCCAAAUCUAAUGGUUCCCACUCGGUUUUUUUCCCAGAGGAUGAAAUGGGUUACCCGCUAGUUAUACAAGUUUCGGGUAACUAUUGUAACCAUUUUAGACACUAUGAUUGACAAUUUGUGUGAUUUAAUUGGCUGUGGGAUUCUCAUUCAGACUUGAUUUGGCAGCUGGAAAGUUCAACAGAGGACGGUGGCAAAAAAGUUCGCACUAAAAAUUCACUUCAUUGAAAUAUGGCCUGAUAAAUUCAUGUUGCUGUUUGGUGGAUACAUCUGCUUCCUGUAAAACAUGAACGACAGAGUUCUGGAUUGGACAGAGCCAAAUUAGGUUUUGAAGAAAG